This 120627-nucleotide long non-coding RNA is filed under the name Ananas comosus (pineapple). Its description in RNAcentral is "long non-coding RNA (ACOM_LNC012856)". The stretch from base 87799 to 88108 matches the Rfam family "Plant signal recognition particle RNA". The record is from RNAcentral. Lineage: Eukaryota; Viridiplantae; Streptophyta; Magnoliopsida; Poales; Bromeliaceae.
GGUCACUUGUCACUUCGAUAUUAUAUUUAAUUAAUCUAUUUCUAUUUCUAACAAACUUUUAAUUCAGUUGAAUUAACCUGUUGAUUGCCGAAUCAGCUAUUACAUCCUUCUCCGUAGAGAAAUUUUUUGUCAAAUUAAUUUACUAAAAAUAAUAGAUAAAAAUUAAUGGUUUAAAUAAAAUUUUAUUUCUUGAUGACGUUAGCAAAAAUUUUCACACACAAGUUGUGCAUGUGAAAGUAGAAAUUGUUUCAAAGCAACUACUACCAUUUCCUUUUUCCUAAUGAAAUUUUAAAAAAAAGACGUUAUAAAGGGUGAUGGGGAACGGUCGAACCCGAUAUUGGUAAUCGAAUUCGGAUUGGUUCGAUCCGGUUCGCUUUCCGACCCUUCCCUUAAACCCUUCGUCUAGGGUUUUACUUUCCCGCGGGAAAAAAAAAAAAAACCCUUCUCCUCUCUCCCCUCCUCCGUCCCCUUCUCCCCCACCUCCCUCUCCUUCCACCGCCCCCAUCCACCUCCACCUCCACCUCCUCCUCGGCUCCGCGCCGCACUAGCCUUGCUUCGGAGAAAAGCUCUUCCGGGGGGAAAAAGCGCUUCUUCUCGGGCGCUCCGGCGAUGGCGUCGAAGGCGAAGAACCCCGAUUACGCCGCGCUCCGCGAGCUCUUUCGCCCCCACAUCGACUCCUUCGACUACUUCCUCGACGAGGGCCUCGAGAAGGCCCUUCUCUCCAUCCGCCCCGCCGAGAUCGCCGAUCCUUCCACGGGCUCCAAGCUUAGAAAUAUCCUUUCUCUUUGUAACCCUACCCUCUCCUUUUCUCUCUUCUGUUCCUAUUUUUCAAAUCUUUUUCUUUGUCUCCUUGACGGAUAGAAACUAUCUUUCGAGAAGCCACACGUGCUUCCGCCGAUGAGAGAAGGCCGGUUGAGCGAGCCCUUGUUUCCUUUUGAGGUCGGUGAUUUGUUAAUUUGUGUCCAAGUUUGUAUCUUGUGUUUGUUUCCGGUCGUGAUGAUCGCAGUUUGUUGAUGAGUUGAUAUGAUAUGAUAUUGUUCCUGGUUGGAUUGGAGCAGUGUAGGCAAGCGAGGACGACGUAUAAAGGCGAAUUCAGGGUGGAUGUUGCUUUCCAGUAUGAUGGCGGAGUCGUCGUGAGAGAAAGCUUCAAUUUUGGCCAUUUGCCUAUAAUGUUGAAGGUGUGUGCACUCUCCUUUUUUCUUUUUUUUUUUUUUUGUGUCUCUUACUUUUUGCUUAUAUCAUGCCUUGUAAUGAGAGGUAUAUCAUGUUUUGCUCAUUUUUGGCCCUUUUCCUUUGUUUAAUUACAUUCUAUGUUGUUCUUGAUUCUUAUUUAUUGGAAAAUUAAGGAGGAAUCAGAUAUCGCAAGAAAAAGGUAAUCAGCAAUGAAAUAAGUAACGGGACUUGUGGCUGAGUUUUACAUGAAAAUUAAGUAUGCUUCUUAAGCCAGUGUGUGAUGCUUAACAUACAGGAACAUCAGAUACUUGAGAUGUGGAUAACUCUUUUUCAUAUGGUUAUUUUAACUUCUCGAAGUUUUAGCGACUGUAAUUUAUUGCAUGAGAUCAUGUAAAACAAAUGCUUUGAUUAAUUAGAUAGAUAGAUUCGUGAAUAUCCUUCUCUAUAUCUUGGUUUACUGCUUCUCUUUGAAGGUGGUGCAUGUAGGAGGGUAGACAAAUAGUUAUCGUUAAGACAAUUGACCUGGGUGAUGUCUGAAUACAUGGAGUCAGUUCUUUAUUCAGCAUUUCUACUUCAUAUUUUCUUCAUUUUUGUGAAUAUUAUUUCACGUGCAGGCAUUAUGUAGUUGUCUGACUCAAUUUUCUGUUCUUGCAGUCAAAACUCUGCCACUUGAGAGGUGCUGAUCCUCAGAAACUGGUUUUCCAUAAAGAGGAGGCAACUGAAAUGGGUGGGUGAGUAUGGGUUAACUAGUUGCCUGGGUUUUGGGUUUCUUAUAGUGCCUUUCUACCUUUUCUUACGUGGAUGAUAUUUUUUUAACUUCUAUCAUUCUUAAUUUUCUUUUGAACUUUAUUCCAGUAGGCAUUAUGUACUGCAGUACUAGUAAAUUGAUUGGUGAAAAAAUCCCCUAAUGAUUGUGUUGCGCUAGAAAUUGAAUUGUGGAUAAAGGCCUUCUCUUUUUUUUUUUUUCUUUUAGUCGACAAUUUAAGGUCGUUCAAAGGUUGUUUUCGAAGCUGUGAUAUCUGAAUUAACCAUAAUUUCAACCACUAAUAUUGAGAUAAUGUAAUUUCUUGCACCUCUUUUUAUGGUAUCACAUGCUAGAAUUAGAAGCCUCUCUGUGAAUCACUAGUUUCACUCAUUGUAAUCUUUACAGGAAGGAAAAGAGAAACCCUAUUGUUAUCUUCAUAAUUAUAAUAGUUUUACUAAACUAGUAGGAAAUGAUAUGAAGUUUGUUCAUUUUUUGUUUCUAUGCUUUCAGUUGAUUCAUUUCUAAGGGAUUACUAUAUAUUUUAUGCUUGAAGUUCUUAUUUAAAAUGCUAUCUUAAAACCUGUAGGUACUUUAUUUGUAAUGGUCUGGAGAGACUUGGUCGGCUUCUUAUCAUACAAAAGAGUAACUAUGUGAGAUUUAUGAUUCUCCAAAUUUAGCUUCUUAUCUCAUAAAAGGGCUGCUGUCUUCUAGCUUAUUAUCUUGAAUGAUAUAUCUUUUGUGUGUCUUCAUUGUUCUCCUUCCUUGCUAUCCCUACGGUUUCGUCAUUUAGUUAUUAUUAUUAUGUUUAUGGUGUUUCAGCCAAUGGGCAUGGUGCGGAAAUCAUUUCGUGCUCGAGGAGCUGGAUACAGUGAUAAAGCAGUGGUCAUGAGGUUUUUCCUCCCUUUUUUUCCUUUAUGCCAAGCUAAAUUUGUUGAUUAACAUUUGUUUGAUGUCAGUAAGCCCCUUGCCAUUAUAUGAUUUGUCCAAAAAGUUCGUUUCUAAUAUAAAUGAGAUAAGAUUUAAUUGGUUGAAAUAUUGGUAAGUGGAGGAGGGAAAGAGGCACAUUCUGUUAUCUUAUUAUACGUUGGAGAGAUAUUAGGGUGAUUUGCUCCCUCAAGUUUGACCUCGAUUGCGAUUUGCCAAAUAUUUUAUGGUUAAAAUUGAUAUAUUGAGAAUGCAAUUGAACUUAGGGUCAAAUUCCACUAUCCAAAUUUUUAGAAUUGAAUGACAAUUGAAACAGAGAUCAAACUUUAGGAUAAAAUUUGUAAUUGACCCAAAAUAUUAUUUUUUAUGGGAACUUAUUUGGAGAUAUCUUAGACUGACAGUCACCUUACAGUAUCCUCUAAUUUCCUACUUUUUUCUCCCCCUGUAGAUGUGUUCGAGAGGAUCAGUCUUCUGUGUCGCUUAAGUUGUAUUACCUUCAAAAUGGAAGUGCAAGACUUGGAUUCUGGUAACUGUCCAUGAACUGAUAUGCUAUAUUUAAUUUUUGAGAUACUGAAAGUGUUAUUUGCUUAUGAUGUUUUUAGGAUUAGAGGGAGGGAAUUCUUGCUUCCUGUGGGGAUUGUUUUAAAGGUGAUGUGUGAUGAGCACUUCUAUCAGAGACAUUUGUUUCCUACCUUGGUGGUUCUCUUGAUUUUUUGCUAUUAAUUAUAUCGAGUUUUCUGUUUGGCUUCCUCUACUUUUAUUUUGUCAAAACCAAUACUCAAGUGAUUUCUUUGGAAAUCUAAAUGUGUUUCGCAGUAUUUUGAGUCGUGCUUCAUUCUUUAAAUUACAUAAUUUGGCUCCACAUCUUUUGGAUUUUUAGACUACAUGUUUAUUUGCUCUGUAAAAUCAAUUAUCUUUGGCUCUUUAGAUGGCGUAACUUGGGUUUAGAAGAAUUGAACUUUUAGAGAACUUGAUGUAUUAUAAAAGCAUUUUGUAGUGGUUCUCCUCGUGAUGUGAUUUGGUUAAUAUGAAGGUUGCAAGUAGCUUGGGUUCAUCUGGUUCUAAAGAGCAUUUGUUGGCUUGAGUAGUAUCAUUGUUAAAUAGUUCUUUUGCACCUUAUCAAAAGUUGCUCUAACAAUAUAAUUUUUCGUUGCUAAGUUAUCAUUUCUAUUUAUGUUUCAUUAUUUUAAUUUUUCCACUCUCAUCAUUCCUCUUUUUAUCAGUGAAUUGAAUGCUGCUUACCUACUUAUGGUUGAAUUACUGUCAGCAGGCUCUUAUUGACACUAGUGACCGUGAAAUCUUUGUGAGCUUGACAUGCUGUUAUAAUGAUAAAUACCAAAGAGAGAAGGGUGUGGUUGGCACUCAACUCAUUGGUGAGAGGGCACAAAUAAUUCUUGAUGAAGUGAGGACAUUGUCGCUCUUGACUCGCUUGCAGUGCUUGAAGCACAUUGGUAUAUCAAUUGUCAUUGUUUGCUCUAGUUUGGGCACCUUGUUUCAUCUUCUUGUUUCUUUACGAUUCUGUUGAUGUUUUAUUUAGGAGAGUACUUCCAGCCUGUCAUGGAUGGUUUUGAAUCGGAAAGUCAUGAAACUGUGAGUUAAGCAUGGUGCUAUGCUAUGGUUGUUUCCUUAAUAGUUUUUUUUUUUGGAAAAUAGUCCUUUUUUCUCGGUAUUGCAAGUUUGGUCAACCUCUUUUAAGUUUGCAACGUUUGUUUGAAAUCUCCUUCAUGGACCCGAAUGUCCCUAAUUGACGUAUUAUUCACAAAAGAUUUCACCCUAGGGCAUUUUGGUCCAUAAAAAGAUAUUUCACACUGAAGUUUCAGAAACAAAAAAUAUGGAUCAACAUUGCAAAGUUGAAAAUAUUAGACUGUUUUACAGAGAGGCUUUUUUGUUACUGGAUUUACCUGAUAUAUGCUGUGUGUAAACAAACAGUAUAUACUAACGUGUUCUACCUUCUUUUAAUCAUGUAUUUUGUAGGUUGCAGAAGCUGUCCUCAGAGACUAUAUCUUUGUGCAUCUUAGCAACAACCAUGACAAGUUCAAUCUCCUUAUGUAGUAACAUUUUCUUUGUCUAUUUAUUUUUCAUUCUCAAUUGUUGCUUUUAUUUCUCGCCAUAAUUUUGGUUCUUGAUAAUAUAAUCUUUCUGCUGUAGAUUUAUACUGCAGAAACUCUAUGCACUUGUUGAUCAAACUGCUGCUCCUGAUAACCCUGACGCAUUGCAAAAUCAGGAGGUUCUGUUGCCUGGACACCUAGUAACCAUCUAUGUGAAGGUUUACUUAUACUUCCUGAUAUUUUUAUCAAAAUUGCAUCUUCUAGAAAUGUAUGAAACAGAUGUUUGGAUUGCUUAAUUGUCCUGUGAAAUGUUAGCAAGACUUUAUUUGGUAUUUUAUGCAAGUAUGUUGUUAAUUUUUUGCUUGUACCGUAAAAUAGUUUGCGACUGGCAUGGUAUUGUACUCCAUGCUCAACAAUUGCAUGAUUUUGGCAGUUUCAGUUGACUUUGUGUUGUUCCAUAUACAUGCCCUGUCGCCUCCAGCCAGGCAGAAAGCUUGACGCAUAUUUAAUGUCUUUGCGGUCUCAUAGAAUGUGGUUAAUGCACUUUCACCUGCUUGUGUGGUCACUCCUGCAUUUCACAGGGUGCUGGCAUCACCCUCUUGUAUUUGAGCUCCUUUUGGCAAGGAUGUGUAUGAAUACAGAUGAACUGCUAGCUGAUUUUAGUUAGCAAAAUCAGUGUAUACCAUAGUAAUAGUAGGCUUUCUGCUAAAGCAGAAGAAAUAUGAAGGAUAUCUGUUCAUCUUUCUUCCUUCCAGUAUUAGGGAACUUGUCAUUCCCGCUUCUAUUCUGAGAUUCUAAUUUUUUUUUUUUUUUUGGAUUAGUACAGGAAAAACUUCAAGAUUGGUUGAGCAAGUCAAGACGUCUAAUUCAAGAGGAGAUCACAAAAGAUAAAAGCUUUGAACUUAAAAACUGUAUGUUGAUUAUGCAGUAGUCGCAUUGUACUUAUAGGAGAUGAAUUUUCCUUCUCACUCAUGUAUCAUUAUUUACAUAAAAUUUCCCUUUUUAACUUUUCCUACUAGGAAAUUUGAUAUGAAUAAUUAGAAGUUUUGUGGGUAUUGGAAAGAAGCUUUAUUUAUGUUUAGUUGUUUCAUGUGUACAUAUAUAGAUUCAUAUGUCCCAGAAUGUUCAUCUAUACAUACAUUUGGACAUACAUAGUCAUGCAUUUGCCUACAUUUAGUGUAGAGAUGAGGCACCAAUUCAUAGUAAAUAUUCACACUUCUGGAUUAUAUCUGGCUCUACGUUCUUAUACUGUGUGCCCCUAGGUAUGCAUGCAUGUUUUGCAUAUGGAUUGUAGUUUCCUAUGUCUUAGUCGUUGGACCAUUAUAUCUCUUCUUGCCUUCUCCUUAUUUAUACUUUGCCUUGAUUCUAGUCGUCCAAGCACAAUAGUAAGAAUAGGUAAAAAAACAAAAAAAAUCUCUCUUUUCUAGGCUCUGAGUCUAUCUUGUCUUAUUGUUGUUUAUUUUUUUCCGAACAUUGAAUUUUCUUGCCUACAGUUGGCAUAUUUUUUUUUGUCCUUCAGCUGCUAAGAUAUUUAGACUACCUGUAGGAACACUAAUUUGAACAAAAGUACAUUCUAACUGUUAUUGAUGUGAACAAAAUUCAUCUUUUGAUUGUUUGUAUAUUAGAUUUUGAAAUUUAUGGUAUCCUCUCUGAAGUAUAUUGGAUUUUCUUCUAAGGUACCAAAUUAGACAUUCUACCAUUGGAUUUUUUUUAUAGAUAAUGUUUAGGGAGCUAUACCUCCCUUCAUUUUUGUAACUCAUCUUCCAGAAUUAGUAAACUUUUGCUUUUCUACUACUGUGAAUCACCAUGUUUUUUGUUCUAAAAUGUCAAUUGCUUCAGUAAUUUUGGUGAAUUUCAAGCCUGUAAAACUGUAUCUUCUUAUUUCCAAUUGAUUCUUCAUCAAUUUAUUGUUCAGUAAGGUGGUCAAUUUGUUGAGUUGUUACCAUUUUUAAUUGAGCUGGCGCUCAAUUUGCUUCUAUUACCUCUUUUGUGCAGUAUAAUGCACUUCAAUAUCAUGUCUAUUGGUUUUAUAAUCUGAUCAUUUAAGCUGAAAACAUGAUAUCUCUCUUCAUCUUUUGUGCAGUAAAUCACAUUAAGAAAAUUUUGAAUCGAAAUUCUGGAUCAGUAGGUAGAGCUGUGGAAAGUAUGAUAAAACUUGGAAGAUUGAAUACAGCAUCCGGUCUAGAUUUGCCACAGGUACUCUUUCUUUAUAGAUUAUCCCUUUCUUUUCUAUUUCUUUUUUUUGAGAGAAAGGUAGCAUGCUACACGCUUCGUUUAUUUCGAAAUAAACUUAGUUGGAAAUGUGAAUCAACUAGGAUUCAAACUUGGGACCUCGGGUACCAACCAUCAAGCCCUUUCUUUUCUAUUUCUCAAAUGUUAAAUAUUAUGCUUCUGCACAUUAUUGUAACUGAAGAAUUUUAUCUGAAGCUUGAGGUUUUUAAUAUUGAUCUUCUACACAGUUGUUGAUUUAAUUGGUAAUUUUCUAUUAAUACUGCUGAAUGACAUAGGCUUGUCUUUAACAAAACCUUUCAGUAUUAGAGUUGUGAUUUAAUGGGUAAACUGUAAAGAAUGGAUAACAAGCACAAUCUGACAAUCUUUGCAGUAGAUAUUUCUCUUUAGUCGAAAUUAUUUUGUAUCAGCUGACUGGCCAUAAAAUUACACUCUUUUUUUUAAUAUAUUUAGCAACUGUAGUUUGACUUCUUUUUUGGUUUUCAUAAUGGCUUUGUUGCAUAUGAACGUGGUGAAUCAUUAAUCUACAAUUUAGAAAUUUGUCAUCCUUCAUACAGUUAGUAAAAUUGACAAAGUAGAGUGGUGAGACUCGAUUUCUUCAAGAGUAUCUUGGCAGAGGUGACAAACAAUUUGUGCAGGGAACACGUUAGUAUCGAAGGCACAUGCAUCCUUUGUGUUGAACCAUGGAAAAGAAAUUUAGAGCAUAUUUUUACCUAUUGGAAAAUGAUCAUGUGUGGUUUAUUAACCAUCUUCUUAUGGCACAGUUUCUAUUGUUUCUAAAGUGAAAUUAUGAUCUAUGCUUUUUCCACCAAAGAGAUUAUGUUUUAAAAGCACUAUUGAUGAUUUUCUGAUGAUAUGAAUAGAGAGAAGGGAUGACCAUCCAGGCAGAGCGGCUGAACUAUUGCCGCUUCAUUGCACAUUUUCGUUCUGUUCAUAGAGGUGCUUCUUUUGCGAAAAUGCGCACAACAAGCGUUAGGAAGUUGCUCCCAGAGUAUGUGAUCUCAUUUUCCUGCUUAUGCAAAUGUUUGUUGCCUUCAUAUAACAUUGAGAAUUACUUUCAGAUCUUGGGGGUUCCUUUGCCCAGUUCACACACCGGAUGGGGAGCCUUGUGGUUUGCUGAACCAUAUGACUUCUACUUGCUGUAAGCUUAUUUCUUAGAUGUGUAUGAUGAUUCUGCUUCUUUCCAUAUUUGCAAAUUUUCAUUUUUUACAUGUCUAUGUACACGGAUAAUGUCCUACAAAGAUACUUCAGUGAAUGUAGCAUGAUGUAUGAAUGGAGUUUAUAUGGUUCUUUCUUGCAUUUUAGUGAAUCACUGCCGGUUAUUUUAGUGUAAUUCGACACUUGUUCAUGCCUGUACAUAUUUUCAGGCGUUGCAUCUUUCUACAGCUCAGAUGGGAAAAUUAAAGAUUUUCUCAAAAUAAGAAUGUCUAUUUUGACUGUUCUGGUUGGAAUUGGAAUGACUCCACUAACGCCCAAGCUUGAGAGAGCUGGUCCUCCAGAAGUACUCCAUGUUUUACUAGAUGGAUGUGUUGUUGGUUCUAUUGCUUCUGGCAAAGUGGAGAAAGCUGUUGCUCAUCUCCGAAGUUUAAAACUUUUUGCCGUGUCCGGGGUCAGUCCUCUUGUUUCUUUCUCCUUCAUCUAUUGCUCUCUUUUUCUUUCUUUUUUUUUUUUGGCUUAGAACUUUUGGUGAUUGUUACAGAUACCUGAAGAUUUGGAAGUUGGUUAUGUACCUUUGAGCCUUGGUGGAGCCUAUCCCGGCUUGUACCUAUAUAGUAAUCCUGCUAGAUUCAUUCGACCUGUUAGAAAUCUUUCUCAUUCUUCUAAUGGAAGUCAAAGUAUAGAGCUAAUUGGACCAUUUGAACAGGUUCAACUAACUUUCAUCUUGUCACUUUAUCUCCUUAAGAAUUCUCUUUCUCUCUCUCCACACUUCAGUGGAAGUGUGGAACCAUAACUGAAUAAUGGUUUUUUCCUUCAUUUUGUCACAAUUAUCGGAUACUAUCCGAAUGUGUAGACUAAAAUAAAGGUUUUUUUUCCUUGUUUUAAGGCAUUUAUGGAAAUAAGAUGUCCAGAUGGUGGAGAUGGAGGAAGAAAAGAAUCAUUUCCUGCAACACACGAAGAGAUCCAUCCAACUUCCAUACUUAGUGUGGUUGCCAAUCUCACACCCUGGUCUGAUCACAAUCAAAGUCCUCGCAACAUGUACCAGUGCCAGGUACGAAUUCUCACACACACACACACAUACACACAAAAGAAACAAAACAGUCACCAACAAAGCCAUUGUGUUAAUGUUAACUGUUACUUAUUCCAUAUUUUAUUUUUGCUUCUGUAGAUGGCGAAACAGACUAUGGGUUUUUCAUCGCAAGCUUUAAAAUUUCGAGCAGAUGUCAAAUCAUAUCAUCUUCAGGUCUGGUGCAUCUGAUUAGAGAGAUCUUUCAUUCUUGUCAUUUGAGGCAACUUUCAGAGCAAAAUUAGUUGUAGAAAAGAUGUCAUGUGAAUGCAUAGGUCAGAAUAGCUCUAUGGCAGUAUGUCAUGCAAAUAUUCCUAAAGGAAAUUGUUGAUACAUGCCAUAUAGAAAGAUUUUUUGAAAUUCUUAGAAUCGGGUCUAUCUCAACCAAACAAGUUCAACAUUGGACACUCUAAACUUUUGAAAGUUUGUCAAUUUGGUCCUUAUUUACUGCUAGAAGAAAAAAAGUAAGGGACUACUAGUGAAAUUUUCCCUUCCCUUUCCCUUCUUAAUAAAUGUUACUUGCCAGUAAGAUCAAAUCAUCGUCUUUUACAAACUGAAUGCCGUUAUGUAUUUCUUUUCCUCCGAAAACUUCGAACCUACAUUGUCCACAACUGCACAUGGAUUAUAUUUUACUGUGGGUUUUUUCUAAAGGGUACUUGUAGUAUUUCUCUAUUACUUUUUUUUUUUGUUAACAUCUUUUUUUACCGACUUAUUCUCCAUUGCUGUUAUAAGCAAUUUUUUUUUUUAUUGAACAUGCUUUUAAUCCCUCUGUAGACCCCUCAAACACCAAUUGUGCGGACAAGAACAUAUAGCAAAUACUGCAUCGAUGAAUUCCCAACGGGAACAAAUGCAAUUGUUGCAGUGUUGGCCUACUCGGGGUAAGCUCUUUGUGCAUCAAUUGUUUCUCAUCCUUGUCUGUAGUUGGGUUUUAAUUUGAAUGAUCCCAUUUCUUCUGUUCUAGUUAUGACAUGGAGGAUGCGAUGAUCCUGAAUAAGUCAUCUGUUGAACGCGGAAUGUGUCGUGGUCAUAUAUAUCAGGUCUGUAUAUUAGCUUCUUCUGAUAGUAUAUUAGCAUUUCAAAGUCUUUCAAAUUGUAGUUAGAAAAUGCACCAAAGUCUAAUGGAUGACAAUGUGGCAGCUAGAAUGAAAGACUCUUUAUGCGGACUCUGGUGUGGAAGUUUUGAGAAUUAUGUUUCCUUGGUUUUGGCUGUUUGAGCAUAACAUGAUGACAAAUGAGACAUCAUAGUUCAACAAAUAGCUUAAGCGGGUCAUAUGUAAUAGAGCAUUUCAGUGGUUUUGGAUAAAGAGCCUUAAUUUAUGUGUCUGCGCACCUGUGCUCUAAGAAUGAUGACAUUUAUAGUAGAAGUUGAUAACACUUGCCUCAUAAUGGCAAUGAAUUUGAAUAUGAUUUAUAGGUGCUUCAUAUUUUUAUGAAACUAGAGGCUGGAUAAUAAGCUGCUUUAACAUUUGUUUCCCCUUCUCUCUUAAGAUGUUGAAUUUAGAGUGAAGCAAAAUUCUCACAUUCGCAUAUGUGCUAGUUUAGUUUCGUCUAAUUUUUAUUUUCACCGACAAGCAUUUAUGAUAUUUGACUCCAUUGAAUGCUUUAUUGUUCAGACAGAAACUAUUGACUUGGCAAAGAAGCUUGACAGAGGAGAUAGAGUUUUGGAAAUAUUUGCAAGGAGUAAUGAUCGAAAGAUGAAAUCCUCAAUUGAUUCUGAUGGCCUUCCUUAUAUUGGAGAGGUACUUAUUUGUGCUAGAAAUUUUGUUUUUCUUCUUAUCUUCAUUUAUAUCAGGCAAUAGAGAUGGAUUAAUUAUUUUAUAACAUUUUUUUGUUUUUUUUGGGGUGCUGUAUGUGUGGGCAGACGAUACAUCCAAAUGAGCCAUGGUAUAGCACAUAUAAUACACUAACCAGUGUUACCAAGCCUACCACACUAAAGGGUUCAGAACCAGUAAUUAUCGACUAUGUUGCUGUUGAUGGUACAAGCUCGAAAAAUUACAUGCAAAAGGUAUACUUACAAUUAUCAUGCAUAUAUGCAAUAGCAGACAGACGGAAAACAGUGGGAGGGAGUAUGUUGAAUUUUAUAGGCAUUUAAUGCAUUUAUUGAAAGACAAAUUUGUUAGUUUCUCUUAGUUUAUGAUUUUGUAUACUAAAGCGAAUCUGUAAUUGAAUUCUUAGAUAUCAUCAAGAUAUAUCACUUUCUGCUACUUUGUACUGAAUACAACCAUCAGAUCCCAAAAGUCCUGCAUUCAAUAUGCGGGAAGAACUCAUGGGUAUAUAUAGGAUAUGUAUACUAAUGGAGUAAGUUGAGCUGAAGCAAUUUGGUCCACAUCAUUGGAGGUUUCUUUAUUCAAGUUACUAACACUAGCUGGCUUGUCGGGCCUGACAACCUGUGGAUCCUUGGAAGCUAAAAAUAUUGCUCUACCUUUUGUUUGCAGGUGAAUAUCCGAACUCGCCGCACCAGAAACCCUAUAAUAGGUGACAAAUUUAGCAGCAGACAUGGGCAAAAGGGCGUCUGCUCUCAGUUGUGGCCGGAUAUUGAUAUGCCCUUUUCUGCAGUUACUGGGAUGAGACCAGAUCUUAUUAUCAAUCCUCAUGCAUUUCCUUCAAGAAUGACCAUAGGAAUGCUUUUAGAGUCCAUUGCAGCUAAGGUGUGAAUAUUAUUUGUCUUUUUCUGUGUGGGAAGAAACCAUAAAGCAGAGCUUCCUUAUCACCAAGCAUUAUAUCAAACUGUUACCUAAGAAAAAGCAGCUAAAAAGGAAAAAAAAAAAAGUUGACAUUGAUUUUAAUUUCAGCAGCUAAUGUUUUUUGCAACCAGUAAUUAUAUUUAAUUGCAGAAGCUUUACACGACUCAUGUUUAUCUUUCAUAUUAAUGUUGUGUUCAAAAUUCUUCUCAAUAGGGUGGCAGUCUGCAUGGGAAGUUUAUAGAUGCCACACCUUUUGCUACCUCAAAGGAUGCCAACCAAGAUAAUCCAUCUAAACCGUACUCUGUGGUUGACGAACUAGGCCCUUUGCUGGCCUCGCAUGGCUUUAACUAUCAUGGAGUGGAGGUUCUGUAUAGUGGAGUUUUUGGCACAGAGCUAACUUGUGAGAUUUUCAUUGGACCUGUUUAUUAUCAGCGUCUUCGACAUAUGGUCUCAGACAAAUUUCAGGUUAGCAGGGUUCUGUUGUCUCUCUCUUGUUUUUCUUUACGCCCUUAUGGCAUUACUCCUAGAUUAAUGAACUAGAAAUUCCGCAUAAGGAUGAUUGUUCCUGAUGCCUUAAACUAAUAUUCUAGUAAGUACUGGAUAUGCUGUUUUAUAGUCUAUGAUGUAUUUAUGAAGAUCUUUUUUCACGUUUCUCUUUUCCGAGUUACCUUAGAUGUUUCUCUUUUCCGAGUUACCUUAGACAUCUUUACAGUUAAUAGAAAAAAGCUGCUGUAGAUUGAUGUUACCAAAAAGUGCAAUAGUUUCAAGUAUAUAGAUAAGGUAUCAAAUUUGAUAUAUCGCGUUAAAAGGCCUAUUUGGAUGCAUGAAAAUCUUGUUCUGCAGAUUUUUUUUGAGGGGCAUGUUGUAAUUGGUUAGCAGGGAGAAAGAAAAGAAGGCUAAAACUGUAUAUUAUAUACAACUGCCAAAUUUAUUUCUCAGUAUAUGAUAAAUCAACUUGUCGUUAGGACGCAAUACUCUGAAAAUUCAUGAUUAUGAGCUGCAAAGGGCUAAAAUUUAUGCCUGGGAUCCAAUCACAGGAGGACACUACCCUACUGCAUUAGUAAUUACUGUAUAACUUUUCCCAACAUGCAACUAACUAGAAAGUUUGAAGAAUUGAUGAUCAAAAUCAAGAUAACCUGUGUAGAAUCCUCUCUUCCAUUGAGCUCCACUGACUUGCCUUUUCUAUAUUCAGGUUCGCUCUACGGGAACUGUAGACCAGAUAACAAGGCAACCAAUAGGAGGAAGGAAACGGGGCGGAGGAAUACGUUUCGGGGAAAUGGAGCGUGACGCGAUGCUUGCUCAUGGGGCCGCUUAUCUAUUACAUGACCGGCUGCAUUCUUGCUCGGAUUACCAUAUUGCGGAUGUUUGCUCCAAUUGUGGAAGUGUACUUACAGCAACCACUAUUCAACCUCAAAAAAGGGCAGUUCGGGAAAUCCUCGGCCUUCCACCCGCGAGAGCUCCCAAGAGCUUCACUUGCCAUGCCUGUGAAACAAGCAAAGGGAUGGAAACAGUCGCGAUGCCUUAUGUUUUCAAGUACUUGGCGGCUGAGUUGGCAGCAAUGAACAUAAAAAUGGAGCUCAGAUUGAGUAAUAGCGCAAAAGCAACAGAAUGAUUCUGAUGCGAAGUUUUCCCAUAAUGCCGACAUUGCCUUGAAGAACGCUUGAGGAUAGCCAUCACCGAAACAACAGGUAACAAUUUUGUAACACUAGGAAAAUUCUCCUGUAUAACAAGUGUUAUUUAUCUUAAUUUUGCAAUCCAUAUAAGUUGGUCGUGCAUGUUGUGUUAAACUAUGAUAAUGCAGAAGGAAAUUAUUUUCCCCAACAUGUAUUUAAGAUGAGAAGUCUUAUUUAAGAUGUAAAAUUAUAUAUUUGUUUCCGAAAAGAAGUUUUGAGGACGUAAGAGGACUUAAGAGUUUACCACUUUAUGGUAAAACCUUUUUGAGUUGUUUUCUUUCCCCCUUUUCUGCGGUGGAGGAACCAUGUUCCUUUCUCUGUGGCCUCAGGUGCCACUACAGAUGAUUUUAGAAAAUUUUAGAGGGAAAUGAUGGAUUGUCAUGUUCCAUCUCCUCAUCUAUUUAAAAUGGAUAUGCGGUACUUUUUUAAAAAAAUCAUUAUUAAUCUCUCUAAGAGAUGCAAAUAAACGUGCCAUCACUAAUUAAAAUAAUCAACCUCGAGAUGCUCUUUAUUAGUUUAUUAUCACUUAUUAUAGUCGAGCAAAGCUACAUUUGGUCAAUUUUAUGUAAUAUUUUCAAUUUUGACUGGAAAAGUUCUGACGCUAUAGAAUUUGUUCAUUUCCUGAUUACCUGUAUCUAUUCAAGUAAAAUGAAGUUAACUUCAAUUGACUACAAAAUAUGAUAUGGUAGUAUACCACAGCAAAUGAAAUCGACACCUAAAACCAAAUUUUUAGGUGAUUAACUUAUUACUAAAUUCAGAUACUGAAUACAGCAAAUGAUCAGGUUACAAAGAACUAAUCAUUAUCAAACUCACAGGGCCCAUUAACCCGUUCUUCUCUCAUUCCCCAAUCUGGGGCAUUAUUGACAGCUUCUUAUUCCAUCAUCCACAAAAUGUAGUGGCUAGAAAUACCAUUUUCAUUUUCAUAUAAUGAAAGCCCUAACAUAUUUACAAUGCUUAUAAUCUUUCCUUCUCCAAUUCUUUAAAAGUACGAUUACAAUCACAAUUUCAUAUCAUACAAAAAGGAAAAACUAAAAGCACCUUUCAAAUUUUUGUAAACCUUCUAUAAGGAUAAUGUUUUAGUCACCACGUUACUAAACUAGGCUUCAGCCUGGCUAUGGAAUAACAUCACAGAUAUUUAAGUCCUAAAUUCGUCCUUAGCCCGGCUAUCGAAUAACCUCACAGAUAUUUAAGUCCGAAAUGGCAGGCGCACGAAUCAGAUGCUUUGGAUGAAAAAUACAUGCUACACAGUGAACAAUCUCUCCAUAACCACAUGCGCAAUAGCUAAUACAAAGUAAACUACUCGGAACUCGGAAGGCGGAUAAAGUUUAACUUGGAGGAAAUGUGGUGAGAGAAUUACCUUACCUAAGAAGAAUCCCUUUUGUUUGAAGAUAUAACUUCAACAGAUGAGCAGCAGAUCUAUUAGUUGAAACUCUCCACACCUCAGCACUCAACAGAAGCAUUAGAGAAUUUUUCCGGCUAACUUGCAAUAAUUGAUGAACAAUUCAUUGUAUUGUUCUAUCUAGCACAAAGAUCAACAUCGACAUUGCUUCCAAUCAUGGUCGAUAUGAAGCUUUGAGUCAAGCAUUGCUUCAAAAAUAAUCAGAUACAAGAAAAAAAAAAACAUCACCAUUCUGAAUCAUGAUUUACCACUAGCUGCUAAAACAAACUGAAAAUGAUCUAUUUGUUAUUUCCUAAAAAAAUGAUAAAGCAACUCUAACUAAAGUUAAGCAGAAAAACGAGGUGGCGUCUUCGAAAGGAGUUUUGUUCUGACAAAUAGUUAGUUCUUUCCCAUGAUACACUUGACAAGAUCUAAGAUGCGAAAGUAAUGAUAAAAGAGGGCCGACUGUUCGCCCUCGAGCCCAUCUCGGCUGUGGCGGUUGCUGCCCGCGAGAUUAUUGCACGGGCUUCCGCCAAUCACGAGAUCGAAGCCACCGAAUGUGCUUAUCAGCUGCUCGAGCCUGUCACUGUUCACCUGUUGAACAUCAACAAAUUCAAUCAGCUUACCCGUCUGAUUCGUCUGCUCCCACCAACUCCUAAGGACGUUUCUGUUUAUUUCAGAUAUCUCAACAGAAACGACGGUCUUCAUGUGCACUCCCAACCGGUGAAGUGCCACCUCAGCUCCCCCGAUGCCCGAAAACAAAGAUAGGACAGUCAGCCCGUUUGGAAACAUAUCCUUUAGGACCGAUAGGUGGUAAGCCACUGUAUCCACCUGGAAAGAAUUGCCAAGAGACCGAUACCUCUCUGUUCUACUGAUUCCUCUUGUAUGAUUUCUAGGAAACCCUAACAAAUACUCAAUCUCAUCCGGCUCUAAAGGCGCGACCUUGUUUAGUCCCACCCAAACCAAGUUCCAUUUCCUGCAUUCGUUCAGCACAUACUGCUGAACCCUUGGUGAUGGUAGGUCACCGGAUUCAAUAAGAGCACGUCGAAUUCUCUCUGUCAAUUUUGCACUAGCAAUGCAGGUCUGCAGGCAAUUGAAUUGGGUCCUAUGGUCCCACGACGGCCACCACUUCUUUGUCAAGGGAAAAGCCUCAUGAAUGGUUUUUGGUGGCAUCGGGAGAAGGGGAAAUCUAUUCUCUAUAGGAAGGUUGUGGAUGUACCCUCUCUUUCGUGCGGCUGCACAGAAGUACUUAGAAUCUACGAAUUCUGGCUCUAUGUCAUAAAGGAAACGUGAGAUAGUUGCCCAAACUCCCUUUGGCGCUAGGGCAACAUUCUCAUAAUAAAAGUAUGGCGGACCAAUAGCCGCCUCUGGUAGCCUUCUGUUCACCACAUGCAUCAUGCUGUUGGUUGGGAGACCAAACCCAAUCAUUGGGUUAGGAAGAGCUAUCAUGUCAUCAUCAUUAUGAGAUACAUUUUUGUUACGAUUCUUCUGAUCUAUGUAGCGCCUUCUCUUGUUGUUGCUAUCUUCCAUAAAUUUUCUUCUUUUAUUAUCUCUGCUGAAGGAGGUGAAUCUACAAAAGGGCUGUGACCCAAAAAGAGGACAAAGGAAGAUAGCGAGGGUUCAAUAACAAGGUAAAACUUGAACAGAGUAAUUAUAACAGUCAGUAGCACAUUAAGCAAUUACUUCAUCUUGAGCAGACCAAGAAGCAGCAUAUAUAGAAUCCGUCUCAGCAGUCUGAGCAGCGUAGAUAGAAUCAGCUAAUUCAGAGACAGGUGCAUCUUGGCCUGGAGGCAGUUAGAAAUAUCAAAUAAAUUAGCAAGAAUGGAUAGGUCCACAAGUCUGUCUGGUUGAAAGGAAAUUUAUACACAGGUUCCUGACGUUUGAAACCAUAUCUUUAGAAAAAGAAAAAAAAUCUUAGCACCUCUUGACAUAAACCCCUCAACUACAACUCUUAGCGUCAAAGAGUUCCCUGCUAAGCACCUUUGGAUGAAAUCUUGGAAUAUUCAAUUAGAGAUUCUAACUAUUAUCUCCUAAAAGGUUUACCCUUCCAAAGCGAAGUUUUAGCUUCUGUCUAGCAACAGAUUACCCUCAUAAAAUUUCAUAUGUACAUUCCUAACUUUAAGAAACUAAGUCAUUUUAUGCAAAUAACUUCAAUAAAAGAAGAAAAAAAAAUCAAAGUUGGAGAAGACGUACACCUAUCAAUCCAAAAAGACAUGGAGGAGUCUAUUAUACCAAAAUGGUCAAAUAGUUCAGGGUGUCUUUAUACAUUUUUUAUGAUUGUAAACGAAAGAGUGGAUAUUUAUGAGGCCACUUAACAAUUAAAUAUCCGGAAGAAAUUUAGUAAAAUAACUACAGCAUUUCAACCAGAUGAAAGAAUUACCACAUCUUUCGAUGGCUGAGGCAGCCUCUUUUGUGGUGAAACCCAUCUCCACUAAGGUCAACAAUUUUUUAUCCUUCUCUGCUAAUUCUUCUACAAAAUCCUGUACAAAAAAUAACAGUAACUUCGCAUAAAUCAUAUAUCAAUAGUGGAUGCUUCAUCUAGGAUAGAAGCAGCAAGCACGCACUCUUUUAGUCAGUGAUCGUGGUGCUUGUGAAGUCCCUUACCUAGUUAUAACAGACAAAAGACAUUGCUUUGGAUAUAAUUAUAUAGAAUCUGAUAAUUUUAUUGUAUUCAGUUGCAUAUUUUAUUUUCCAGCCUCUUCCUUUUCUCUGUAGUGAAACAUUUAUUACGUAUCAUGGAUAAUAGGCAUAUUAUAAGAAGGUCGUGGCAAGAAUAACUCUUGUAGUAGCGCCUGAAUUUGUUCAUUGUUGUUCAUUCAUCAUUAUAGUUCUCAUAGUCGUUACCAAGUACACUACUUCAAAUGAAUUCAACACAACAUAAAUCAACCUAGAUUAGCCUAGAAAUGGAUGUAAUAAAGAAGACAGCAAUAUGAUAAUUGAUAAUUCAUCAUUAUCAAUUAUGUCUCUCGUUAUGGCAAAACAGAUAUCCAAAUAUAAAGGAAAUUAUCAAUCUAAAAAAAAAGCAUUUGAGAGUUAAAUCAAAGAAAAAGAAAUAUGAAGGAAAAAUAUGUUGAGUCAGGUUAACGUGUUGCAUGACAUCACCAAAUAAGGCAUAAACCGACCGACAAUGAUCCAGAUUAUAAAAUGGCAAAAACCUAAAUAAUCUCUUCUCAUAAUAGGCAACGCACAUUCACAUCAAAUAAGCAUCUACAUGUAGAGUUAAAAAAUAAAUUUAAUAAAUACGUGUUUGCAGCUGGACCAAACUGCCUGGUAGGACCGGGUUGGCCAGAUAAUAAUCGCUCCAAUUCGAUGAUCUGGUUGGCUUUCAUAUUCACAAAUAAGGAACCAAAAUCUUCAUGUAAGAUAGUAGCACCACAACUGAUUCUUAAUAUGUAUAUGUAAUCUAGCACAUCCGGCAUAAUUCCCAAAAAGAAGUAGCCUCCCCCAAAAGCACAAAUAUUAAAGGUACCUUAUCUUCGAAGUCGUCCAAAUCUGAAUUAUCAUCCUCAUCCCAAUUAUCAUCAUCACUAGGUGAAGAACAACCAGCAGGAGAGCCUUCCUCUUGCGAGGGAGAUUUAUCUAUUGCCUGCAUUGCAAUAUACUCAAUGUCAAAAAAAGGCUGGAAUCUAUAAAUAUGUUUUUCCUGCAGAAAAUACACUUAAGGCCUCAUUUGGUAUCGUUCUCGUUUUUCUUUUUUUUUAACAAAACAUAAAUUCUAUGCAAUAGAGCAUGCAGGCGGAUGAUGGAGUGCUUACAGUCUACACAUUUAUGAGAUUCGUUUGGCAACAAAAAGCAAAAGCUUAGUAAUUUUUCUUUUUUUACUUCUUUUCUCAUUUCUUGAACAGGUUGCCGUCCAUCAACCAAACAAAUUGCAUUGUAAGCUAACCAACGAUGACAAGAGUAGGGAAGUCCAUCCGCCGACACAUCCAAUCACACAUGAUUUUUGUUUACAAGAAAGACAACAAUACCAAACAAGGCAUAUAGUAAUUAUACUCUUUGAUUUCCAUUGCUGAUGCCAAGUUGAAAUUAAAUCGCUGAAAGUAAAUAUAAUAAUAAAACGCAAAUACUUACUCCAUACGUGAGCAGCAACUCUAGUAUGGCUUCCGAAUCUCCUUCACCUGCAAUCUCACAAAAAGAAACAUCUAAUGAUUCGCGAGGCACAUUACAGAGAAAAUAGGAACAACUCCAAGAGGGAAUAAGCUCUAACCAUUGCCUUUGAUGGCUUUCGCAACCAUCUUCUCAGAGAAACCCAUGGCGACAAAAUGCGCCGUCAAAUUAGAAUUAGACCUAGACUUAGAUGCUCCCCCUUCCGAAUCCUUCAAAUUUUACAGCGAAACAAACAACAAUUCAAGCAAUGCGCAAGAAAAACCACUCCCAGGUGCUCUACAAAGGAAGAGCUCACCACCUUCUUGGACGAGCCCGCUUCCGACGAACUCGGCACAUCGCGAAUCGGCGGCGCUUGCCCCUCCUCUCCCUCCCCGUCGCUCUCCCAAUCCACCUCGUCCCCGCCGUCGCUGUCGCUGACCCAAUCCUACACACCACCAAGAACAACAACAAAACCCUCGCUCAAAACAACCCCAAAAAACCCACACGGAUCGUACCAAGAACAAAAAACGUAACGUCGCCAUUAACGCACCAUUCCGAUCCGGAGAUCUCUCCGGGAAACGCUUCCGACGAGAUUCAAUUCGCCCGCAUUGCCGCGUUCCGGCGACGAGCGCCCCGAAUCCCCGCAGCGGCGGCGCCCCUGCCGCAGCAGCAGCUAGGGUUUCAUCGCUCGAUCGCUCGCUCGACGACGACGACGCGAAAACGGAGGGAAAUAUGGGCGGGAGCGCUCACUACUACUACUCACUCCGCUUCGCUUUGAUUGGGCCGCGGAAGAGCAAGGGCUCCGCGGUAAUUUCACCUCUCUCUCCUCCCCCCCUUCCUCUCCUUUCUCCUCCUCCGCCCCAGUGCAGGAGAUUUCAAGGAGAAAAAGGAAGAGGAGUGGGAGCGAAUUCUCUGCGGCCCCGGUGAGCACAAUCGUAUUAGUCACCGCUGACGUGGUAGCGAUCCAAAUAUUAUAAUAAAUAUAUAUUUAUUAUAAUUAGAGAGGUGAUAAUAACUAGCGGAGCACGGGACCCACCAAAAGAGAGAGAGCACAAUAAAAGAGAAAGUGACUAGCGGGUGCGGGGAUCCGCUGCGCGGACCGUAAUAUAAGAUACGGCGCACGUGAAUUUCUCCUUUAUUUUGUACGGAUCUUAAAGCCCGAUGAACGAUGAAUAAAACUGUCUCGAUUAUUUUUCACGGAUGCGCUACAGCAAAUCUGACCAUGGAAAUAGUGCGAAUCACUGCCACUAGUUAUUGUUCGUUGUUGUGGAUUGCCGACACGUGUCCCUGAUGAGAAGUGCUUUUGACCACACUAGUAGCCACCUACCCUGGUUGGAACUUCUGCAAAAGCACUAUUUAAUAUAUAUAUAUAUAUAUAUAUAUAAUCGUUAAUUAAUGUUUCUGUAUAUUAAUUAUUAUUGGUGUGAAACAACUGAAUUCUUCAAAAACUUAUUUUAUUUUAUUAUUAAUUAAUAAUAGACUUAGGCUGAAAUACUAUCAAUAGCACAAAGCAUUUAGUGCUAUUAGGUUUUCGGCCCUUGUAUUAAAAUAUGUGCGGUUAGGAUGAUAUAGGCCCUCUAGGGUUGAGUGAGUUGUUGAUUUAAUAGUAUAAUCUAACGGAUGAAAAUAAUUAAAGAGUUAAAUUUAACGACGGAAAACUUGAUAGCACCAAAUGCAUGAUGCUAUCGAUAAUAUCCCAACAGGACUCUUAAUAAUAUAUACGGUUACUAUAUUUUUAUAAAUAUAAAUUAUUUUGUAUUUUAUAAAUUUUUAAUUAUUAUAUCUAUCUCUUUGAUCAUUUUAUUCAUUAGAUUAUAUUAUACAACAAACCACCUAUCUAAUUCUAAAGAAUUACUAUCAUUCUAAUCGCAUAUCCCUUCAUCCAACGGCCGAAAACUUAUGAAUAUUAAGAAUCUAUACUUAUAAGAGUAUAAUAAUACUAGCCUAUAUAUAUAUACUAUACUGUUACGUAAUUCGUGCAGUACAUAAUUAAUAUUAGUUGUUUUAUGAAGUUUUUAGUAAUCAGUGAUUUUUUUUUUUAACUUAGAAAUUUCAGAAAAUAUGUUUCUGUUUUUUCCCGUGUAAUAAUAAAAUAUAUAUGGUAACUAGCUCAUUGUGAUCCGUGCAACGUGUAAUGUACAAAAAUAAUUGGAAUAUUUAUUUUUCAACAUAUUUACUCAUUGCACGCAAUGAAAUUUGCCCGCAAUACUAAAUAAGACCUAAAAGUUAUUAGAUUAGUGAGAAAUUUCAUUUACUUGACUAUUUACUUCAUGUUUGUGCUCAAUGUUCUAACUAUUGUUAGCAUGCAAUUGACAAGUGGUGGGCAACAAACAUGUGGGAGUACAAUGCUUGGUGAAAUUUAUUUAUGAAAUUUUAUUUUUUGUGAAUAAAAAUUGUGCGUGUUCGAUCAUAUCAUUUUUCUAUAAUAUUUUAUUUAUUUCAGAAUGAUUUAACAGGAUUUAUUUCGAUGUAGACAAAUCUCAUGAGAUUCGCAAGAUUCGAUAAUAUUUUUUUAAUAUUAUAAAAUUGGUAGGUGUACAGAUAGUACUGGUGAUAAGAUCAUUUCAAUAUUAUUUAAAUAUCUUCAUCACUAUUCUCAUGCCAGUUUUCUUACUAUUUAAGUCUUGAUGAAUUAGGAAAGAGAUAAUUAUUAGUAUAAUUUCUAUUCCUAUUUUCAACCAAUAGUUUUUAGAUACAAAUUACUCCAAUUUAUAUUAGUUUUAUUAUAAACAGAGGAAUAAUCAUUUAAUAUUAGGUUCAGCUUAAUUAUCCUGACUCGAAACAGAUUACAUUUUUCGAACAAUCCAUUAAAAGAUGAGGUGGAGUGCAAAAUUAAGAUUAAGAUAAUUCAUUAAAAUCCUUUACCAAAAUUUAUAGCGACUUCUUAAAAAAAAUUAAAGUUGUGUUUAGUAUUGGAAGCCAUAUAAUGAUAUUGGACAAAAAAAAAAGAGGCCAAUUCGUAUAAAAAUUUCAUAAAUUUUGAGAUUUUACAAAUUCAUGUAUUCUUCACACCAAUCGAAACAAAGAAUUAAAAUUAAAAUAAAAUUAUAAAAGUAGAAUAAGUUUUGGUAAUGAAUGGUGUAAUUACUAAUUUUAGAUUAAUUUCAUACAGAUCCCUGCAAAUAUAGUGAAUGAUGGAUAUAUCUUUACAAAGUUUAACUUUCAUAUGUUGUUCUUAUGAAAGUUAUAAUAUUUUCAAAUAUAUCUCUCUGAUUUGUUAUUAUUAGAGUACUGUUUAUAUUUUUAAUUUUGCCAUCACAAAUAUGUCCUUCCAAAAGCCAUAACAGUAUAAUAUAAGAGACGUAAAAAUAUAAAAAACUAACCAGAAUUAAAUAUUUAAUCUAUAUUUAAUAAUUAAACUUUUAUAACGGAUUCUAAUGGCAGGAACAUAUUUGAAAAUAUCAGGACUUUCGUAGAGACAAUAUAAAAGUUGAAACUUUUAGGGAUAUAUUUAUUAUUUAUUAUGUUUGUAGGGACCUGUAUGAAAUUAAUCCUUGCUAAUUAAUCGUUAACGCAUACGGGCCACAACCUUAAUCCGGGCCGGAUUCGGAUCUGUAAUAGUUGGACUGGGCCCAAUUGAACCAAGGCCCGAUAACCUUAAACCCUACCAAACUAUUAAACAGUUUAUCACGGGCAACGCCGCACAUCGAACCCUCUCUCUCUCUCUCUUCCCCGGCGACGGCGAGGAAUCUCCAACGGAGACGCAAAAGAGUAUAUACGGCCACCAUCUCCGGCGAGCCUCGGCGGCGACGCCGCCGCAUAGGGAGGCGGCGACUCGAUCCCAGGGUCCACGCCUCGGCCUUGUGCCCUCUCGCUCAGCGUAGAGCCCCGCCCUCUGCGGCGGAGAACGACGCCGCCGAGAGAAGGCGUAGGAGGAGGAGGAGCCUACCUACCUUCGGUUUUGGCUUCUCCGAGAAGCUGCUUAGGGUCGGAGAAGCGAUUCUAACUCGAGGAUCGAUCGAGAUAGUGAUAGUACUAUCACCUCUCUCUCUCUCUCCGUCUCUUAGGGUUAGGGCAUAGAGGAAGAAUCGGAGAGGAGGUUUGCUGGAUAUAUUGUGUUUUUAGCAUCAUUACCGGAUUAAAGCUCCGUAGUUUGGUUGUAAUCGUUGAGCGCGACCAUGUCGGAUAUUGAUGAAUCAGGUACUCUUUAAUGAUCUCCGUUUUUUUUUUUUUUUUGAUAAUUUUUGUUGUUUUGAUCGUGUUUGAGUUAUAUUACUCUGGGGUUUUCAGAGAUAAGCAGCUUUGGGGAGGAAGAGAACCCCUCUACUUCCCGAGGGAAAGCUAAACAGCACGUGAAACAGUUGCAAAGGCUUCAAGAAAAGGUGGGUUUUUUUUUGGUCCAUGAAGCUGGUAAUGUGCUCACACUUGGGAACUCUUUAAUUCUAAGAAUUUAAGGAGACCGCGUUCUUCUUAUUGUUCAUGUGAUAGGAGUUUAAACAAGCUAUUAAAUUUGUUUCUCCCCUAGAAUUUAUGGUCAGUUGUUCGUCGAGUGGCCUAUUCAGCUGUUUAAGAGAGGAGUGAGGCAUGAAUCAUCUCUAUAAUUUGCUUCUGAUGCGAUCGGCAUUGUACUCUUGCAGGAUCCUGAGUUCUAUCAGUAUCUUAAAGAGUUUGAUAAGGAGCUCUUGGAGUUUCAUGACGAAGAUAUUGAUGUGAGUAUACAUUGCAUUUGUUUUCAAAAAAUUACUGCUUUUUUGCUUAAGAAUAUAUGGAAGCAACCUGUUUGCCGAACAUGUUAUUUAGGAGGACACAGUAACUGAUUUUGAUGAAGAUGUGGAGUCCGAACCUAUCGUCGAGGAGGAGCAGAAACCGUCCGCAAAGGUUAUUACGACUGAAAUGGUUGAUUCGUGGUGCAAAGCAAUAAAAAAAGACAGGAAAGUUGGUGCAGUUCGAUCCCUUCUUCGAGCUUUUCGUGCUGCAUGCCAUUACGGUGAUGAUGGAGAAAAUGAUUCAGCACCAAAAUUUAGUAUCAUUUCUAGCAAUGUAUUUAAUCAGAUAAUGGUGUUUGUUCUGAACGAAAUGGAUGGAAUCCUUAGAGGAUUACUUGAUGCCCCUAUAUCGGGAGGAAAGAAGGAGAUAGUUAUGGAACUGACGACCACUAAAAUGUGGAAGAAGCAUGGAAGCUUAAUGAGACUAUAUCUUGGCAAUGCUCUCCAUAUACUAACACAAAUGACUGAUGAGACAAUGAUAUCUUUUACCUUGAGGCGUGUCAAGGCAUCGGCUGUAUUUUUAGCUGCUUUUCCCUCUCUCUUGAGAAAGUAUGUUAAGGUGAGUAGAGACUGUCCUCUGCCUGUUAAUUUAAUAAGUAGACCUAUAAUUUUUUUUUACAGGGCUCUUACAUCUAUAUCCCAGAAAAGUCAUAAUUUUUUAACAUGUGUAAAAUCUGAAUUUCCAUAUAUAUCCCUCCAAAGUGUAACAUAAAUAUUUGAAACUGCUCAGUUAUCCAUUUAGUGAAGUUAGUUUUCUAUGAGAAAAUAUUUUUGCAGUAGAUAAUUUUGCAGUAAAUAUCUCCUUUGUUAUGGUUUCAUUAUGCCGUUGACACAUCAUUUAUUUAACUUCAGGUUUUGCUUCACUGUUGGGGUACAGGAAGAGGUGCUGCUCCUCUAUUUUCAUUUUUCUUCCUUAGAGAUUUAUGCGUUCGACUCGGUUCUGAUUGUCUUGAUACGAUACUUAGAGGUGUAUACAAGGCUUAUGUUUUGAAUUGCAAGCUUUCUAAAUCAGUAAGUAGAUCAAAGUUGCAGCAUAUUCAGCUCCUGGGAAAUUGCGUCACUCUACUCUAUGGCGUGGACCCACCCUCAGCAUAUCAACAUGCAUUUGUUUUCAUUCGUCAACUAGCAGUGGUCUUACGUGGUGCUCUUACUGAAAGAGGGCCUAAGGUAAUACAAGCGCUUGCUAUCAAGUUAUUGUAUUUACAUAUAUCUUUGUUUACGUUGACUAUCUUCGUGAACAUAUUUAUUUAUUUUUCAUUGUGCUGAUUACAUUAUUUCCUUUUGCUUAUUUAGCUUUUUUACUUCUUUUUUUUUUUUUUUUUGGUUGAAAGGCAGUAAGAGACAAAAAAGAGAAAAAGCAUAAUGAAAGCAACAAGCCUACAAAGCAACAAGUGGAGGUAAGUCCGACUUACAUUUUUAUCUUGUUCUCUUGUUCUUUGUAUGAAAUUUAUCUUCUCUUGUUUUUGGACAGUAGUAUUUCAUGAUAAGCGACUUUGAACUUGAAAGAUUUUUCUACAUGCAAAUUUGUUUUACUUCACUUUAUGAUAUGGCAUUAGUUUUGAGACUUGCUAAACAAACCAAAGGAAAUGACCUUUUUGGUUCACACUUCUGCCAUUAUGUUAAUUAAUGUGAAAGUUUCUGCAUAAUUUCUUUCAGAUUUACAUACUAACCCUACUAAGUGUCAGAGUAAGUCUGAGUUUUGUCGGUUGAAUUAGAGUUCAAAGCAUUCCUCGGUAUUCCAUCAGUUAUUGAUUCUAAAACAAUGCAGCCUGCUUGCUGGAAUGUUCUUACCAGCACUCAGUUACAUAUAAAUUUGAAUGAAAAACUUACUAACAAUGGAUUCUUAACAUUUAUGUGAUGUUUUUUCUUUCAUAUUUUUGCAGAAAGCAUAUCAAAAGGUUUACGAAUGGCAGUUCAUACUGUGCCUCGAGCUCUGGACUGGAGUUAUAUGCUCUUACAACUCAGAAGCCGAUUUUCGACCUUUGGCUUAUCCACUAAGUCAAAUUAUAUAUGGGGUAACAUCUUUGGUUCCUACUCUGCGGUACUUCCCACUACGGCUACGAUGUGUGAGGAUGCUCAACCGUAUAGCUGGAGCCACUGGAUCCUUUAUUCCUGUAUCUUCCCUUCUCCUCGAUAUGCUGGAAAUGAAAGACCUGAGCAAACCCCCUACUGGAGGUGUUGGCAAAGCAAUCAAUCUUCUUAAUAUUAAACAGGUGAACUUUUUUGCAUUUAUUGUUUAAGGCAUUUUCAAAUAUACGCGUAUUCCUGCAAAAUCUGUGUGUUAAAGCAAGUGAGCUUUUGUUGGAGAAACUGCAAAGAAACUUCUUUUUUUUUUUUAAAAAAAAGUGUUUUCUUGCAGGUAGAUAAGGCUACCGUGAAGACACGUUUAUUUCAAGAGGCAUGCAUUUACUCUGUUGUUGAAGAACUUGCUGAACAUUUGGCACAGUGGAGCUACUCGAUUGCCUUCUUUGAGCUGUCAUUUAUUCCCCUUGUUCGGUUACGAACCUUUUGCAAGAACACUAAAGCUGACAAGUUCCGAAAAGAGAUAAAGGAGCUCAUCCAUCAGGUAUCUUGCUAUACACAUGAGUAAAAAGCCUUACAAAUAUCAUGAUUCUUGCAUUUACCCCUCAUAUAUUAAAAUGUACAUUUUAUUUUUACCCCAUCAACCUAUGAGUAUGAUAUUGGUAAGAAAUGCUGACGGGAGGAGGCGAAGUGAGAACUUGUAGUUUUAGGGAGGUAGUAUAUUUGUUUCAGUAUUUCAGGUAAGCAAAGUGAAAAAAAAAAAAAAUCAAAAUACUUACGGCAUGUUUUCUGCGGCUUGCCUCAACAGUAUAAACCAUUUCCAAACAAGAGAGAAAUCAGACUCUAAUUGACUCUUACAUUUCUGUUUUCAAGGUGGAGGCCAACAAUGAGUUCGUAAACUCAAAACGCGCUGCUAUCGAAUUCUCACCAAAUGACCCUGCUGCAGAAUCAUUUCUCCAGGCAUGUCCAAUCAUUUACUCUUUUCAUUUCAUUCCCUUUGUCGAUACCAUCCUAACCUAAUGAGAAAUCGUUUGAAAAGGCUGAAAAGGAAAGCGGAUGCAGCCCUCUGUCGAGAUAUGUGGCCAGCUUACGUGUGAGGGCCCAGAAUAGAAGUGAUGCUAUGGUGGAAAAAAGGUUGGUUGGUUGGUUGGUUUAUUAUUGGCUGGCUUUCAUUUUCCGUGUGUUUUUAUUUACUGUUCAUUGGAGAGUAGCAGUUGGUGAUACCUUUGUCUGAUACCCUCGUGUUCCUUUUCCAGCGUCCUCGUUGGGGCCGAAUCAUCUGUUUUUGCGAAAAAGCUCUCAGAUGUCAAGGAAGAAGACAGCGAGAAGGAUGCUGAAGAAGGUGCUGCUGUUUUCAGUUCAUCCUGGUUGCCGGAAAAGAAGAAAACAAAGUAUGGCUUCUGCUCGUUCGUCGUCCAAAACUUUUCUUCGUCAUAACCCUUGAAGAUUAAUAACUUGUUCCGUGCACAGGGUCAAGAAGGAGAAGAAGACAAAGAAGCGAAGUCAUGAUGAGCAACAAGAUGUUGGUGCCGACGAAGAUAUAGUGGAAGAUCUAGUUCUAAGCUCGGAUGACGAAGUAGACGAGAGCGAUGAUCAGGAGAUAACUGAAAAUGGCUCUCUUUCGGAUGACGAUGAAGACGCCAAAGCAAAGUUAACGAAGGACACACCGGCAAAACAUAAGGGCAGGAAAAGGAAAAGCACGUCGAAGCAGAGGAACAAGGAAAAGAAGUUGACUUCGAUAGCGCCGAAAAAGAAUGGGAAGCGACGCCCACGAAAGAAGGCGAAAAAGAGUGCUCAUGGUUGAAAGACUUUUUUUUUUUUGUUCUUUCCAGCAGGUGUUAAUUAUACUUUCAAAAUGGCGAAGGAGAGAUGUCAAAAUAUGUAAACUAACCUUUGCCCAAGUAUUACUAUGCAAUUUUCAAUCAGUGGUCACAUUUUUUAUGUAUUAUAUCUACGUGGCGUAGCUAAAGUUUUAGGCGAGUUUGUUGUCCUCAAUCAAGUAAUCAACGAUCCAACAAGUGGUAUCAGCACAGGCACGGGCCCAUGGAUUUAAAUUUCACAUGCUACAAAUUUAUACGUGUGUUGUAACUAUCUCUAUGUAUUGAGUAAAUUACUUGUUUAUUUUUAAUAAUUAGAGCUUUGAAAUUAGUAAUUAACACCAAAGAUCCAACAGUUAUCUUUGUUUAUUUAUACGGUCUUAAAUAGAACUAUGAGAACUAAGGGCUGUGCUCCUAAUCUCGGGGCACCCUCUGAAAUUAGGAAAAAGUUGAAGAAAGAAAAAACAUGGGCUAUUUGUUUAUUGAAUAUUGAUUCCAAACUGAGUAAGCUCACUUGUUGUAGCUCGUUGAGCAAUAAACUUAAAUUCACGAAUAAUUACACUUGGUGCUAAAUCAAACAGAAAAAAGGAAAAAAAAAAAAAUCGGGAGAUUGACUUGGUGGAGAUAAACAGUAGAUUCAUAUCAUAAUAUAGCAUCAGAAUCCAAAUCUCACAUCUUAUCACUCAGAUCCUGAUUCCAUCUGAUCAGAAUCUGAAGUAUUAGAACAUGCUUCGCAUUAAACUAUUUAAAACUCACCCAAAAAAAGAAAAAAAGACGAGUCAGAAUUUGAUUCGGACAAUCUUAUAGGAUCUAUUCAGCUAAUUUAAACUACGGAUAAAAUCGAUGAGAUAAAAAUUACACAAAGCAUAUCAUGAACUCUCCGAGUAGGAGUAGGCAUUGACACUACAUUAUUAUUACCUCUUCAUUGAAACCGAUCAAAAUUCUAUCUACAUUCAUGACGAACUCGAACGCAAUAAUGAUGCUCUAUGUCCCCGAGAAAAAGGCGACCCCCGCUUCCCGCCGCAGCCCCCUGGGCCGAGCUCUCGCCACCGCCGGUGUCAUCACCAUGCGGUGGGACAUUGAGAAGCCGGUCCGCGGCUCCGUCCCCGCCGCCGCCCUCGAGCUCCGCCGCAGCGCCCUCCUCGCCUACUACCGUGCCCUCCCCCACGUUGCGCGCGCCGCGUCGGGCGACUUCGUCAGAUACGCAUGGCACGACUGCUUCCGGCCCUCGAAGAAGGCGUCGACGCUCGCCUCCGCCGAGUUGGAGCGGGCCGCCGUGCUGUUCAACCUCGCGGCGGUGCACUCGCGGAUCGGUGCGGCGGCUGUCCGGGGCGUGGGGGACGGGCGGAGGAGGGCGUGCGACGCGUUCCAGCGGGCGGCCGGCGUGUUCGCCUUCUUGCGGGAGGGCGUGGCGCGGGACACGGCCGUCGGCUGCGCAUCGGUGGACGUGUCGGCGGAGUGCGUCGGGAUGCUGGAGAAGCUCAUGCUGGCGCAGGCGCAGGAGUGCUUCUUCGAGAAGGCGACCGCGGAUGCCAAGCACCCCAGACUCUGCUCCAAGAUCGCUCGGCAGGUGCGUUGCAAAAACUUAUAAACUAAAUAGCCAGCGUAUAUAUUCAAGAACUAAAAUCGAAUUGAAUUGCUUAGUUCGCUAGACUAGCCUUCUUUGAAUUGUCUUUGUUUUGAUGCUUUUGAAUCUUCCACGUAUCUGAAAUUCUAAGUACAUCAAUUCAAAUCACUUGGUGUAAUUUUUCUCCUUAUUGCUUUAUUUCGUUGCUAAAAUUUUCAUUACAACCGUGUUAUGUCUGCUCAACUGAUUGUUUCGCACACUCAGGUCAGCCUUUACUACGAGGAAGCUGCCACCGCGCUCACCGCUCCACCGCUCGACCGCCACCUCGACAAAACAUGGCGCUCGUACGCGCAGACGAAGGCCAAACUGUACCACGCCGAGGCCUGCUACUGGUGCUCGCUCGAGCUCCACGAGCAGGGGGAAAUCGCCGAGGAGAUCGCUCGCCUCAAGUCAGGGCUGGCCGGCCUGGCCGCCGUAAAGAAGCUCGCGAAGGGCGCCGCUGCGUCUGCCGUCUCGCGGCUCGAGCUCGACAUGAGCCGGAACCUGGAGAGGGCGAACCGCGAGAACGUCACGGUCUAUUUCAUGCGGGUGCCGAGCGAGAGCUCGUUGCCUCCGUUGCCCGCGGCGUCGCUCGUUCGCCGGACCCCGAUGGACGUGAUUCUAGGGGUUACCGAAGAAAGCUCAAAAUCACCGGGUACUUAAACAAGGUGAUCAAAGAGCCCGUUGUACUUUGGGCGCCAAGUGUGUGAGAAAGCUCAGUUUGUUUUUUUGAUUAAAUUAUAUAAAAAAAUUUCUCUCAAUAUUCACUUUUUUAUUUUUUUUCCGACUAUGAAAAUCUAUAUUUUGCUUUCUUAAAAUUUAAAAAAUAUUCACUUCAGCUCCCGCCAUGAAUGUUUUGUUAAAGUUUUGUUUAUAUUUUCUUAUUAUAUAUUUUUUAUAUCUAAAGUAUUUUUGAAACUCAGAUCUCAUAUGCGCCUCUUUAUUCCUCACUGACGUCUUGGCCGGACCGCCUCGCUCUCGCCCACCCUUAUGUCUGCGCCCACACAAACGCUGUCGCCCUCCUCCACUGUCUUAUCCUCGCCCUCGCCCAUCUCUUCGUUCACAUCUAUCCCGAUCUCUUUCCUACAGUCGCAAAAAUGGAGAGACGGCGAGAAUGCUGGAGGAACGGGAGAGCCGGUGGAGAAAACGGAGUCAUAACUGGGGUCAAGGGAGGCGCGAAGAAUGGAGGAGGUAAAAGACUGCGGAUGAACAAGAUUGGAGAAGAGACGAAGAGAAUGAAGGACAAUUUGAUCAUUUUGUCAUCAUAUAUAGUUAACACUGUAUCUCUGUGAAUAUUUUUUUAAUUUUUAAUAGGGUAAAGUGUAGAUUUUUGAGUUACAAAAAACGAUAGUGAAAAAAUAAAAGAGAGGUUUUAUGUAAUUUUAUCUUUUUUUUUUUGUAUUUUAUUGGGCUAAGUGGAUGCUUGAGGUGGGUGAUCUUAUAUACUUGUAUAUAAGUUUCUUCUGUUCAAAGCAACACUUGUGUAUAAAUCUCAAAUAUGUGUAGGAGUUGGUGGUUCUAAUUAGGAAAAUAACAUCUUUCCUGAGGGGAAGAAAUAGUUUUAAUUCAUGCCAUUCAUAUAAUGUCUUUUAAUGGGACCAUCCUUACUAACAUUUUGUUGAGAAGAAAUUAAGUAGCCUAUCAUGAACUCACUUAUUUAUAACCGUUGAGAUUUUUUAUUAUUCUGUUUGGAUGUUCGAAUAAAUUAUUCAAUUAGGAAUACAAUCAAACAUCUAGAACGAAAUAAUAUUUCGAUCUCGUUUUCUGAAAUAAGAUAAAUUACUUUUUUGAUGAAAUAUGAUAUCCUACUAAUUCAUAAAUAGCAAGACCUUUCAAUGAUAAUGAUCAAGUUUUUUCUUUCCGAUCACAUAUAAAAAUUCUCGUCAUUUGAAUAUAUGAAUAUCUUAUUCUAGGUAUACCUUUAAUUUACUUUAUCUCUGAAAAAGAAAAAAAAUCUUUAAUUUACUAAAUAAGUUAUAGUAUUUGAUAGAUGAGCAAUACAUCAAAAGUCUAAUAAGAUAGAAUAACAUAUAUCACUUUUUAGUCAAUUCUUUUUUCUAAAAAUAAAUUAUUUUAUAGGUGAGUAAAAAUUAAAUUUUUUAUCUUCAAUUAUACACGAAAUUAUUUUUUCCUGCCGAAUAAGCUAAUCAAGAAUAAUUUAUUUCCAAAUUCAAACACGAGGAUUUUAUAUCCUACCUAAGAGUGGAUGAUGGUAAGAUAUUUUAAGGCGCAAAAAUCAACCAUCCAAGGAAAACUUCGUGAAUAAGUUAUUCAAAAAUAACUUAUUUCGACAUCCGUAUAAUGAAUUAGUUAUAUGCGACAUCCAAAUAUAUAGUUUGCUUGUUUGUUGGAGAACAAGUGUUUAUAUUAUUAGUUCUGAUUUAGUAUGCAUUUAAAUUAACAAGAAUUGGGUUGUUGCCUUGUUGGGCUCACUACACAUAAAAAAAUUGAAAACAACUUAAGGUUACAAAAUAAAAUACACGAUUUAAGUAUAAAGUAUGCAUAAGAAACAACUUAUAUUUUAAAAUAUUUGUAAUUUUCGAGAUUUUCGAAUGGCCCUGCCUUUAUAAUCAAUCAAAUUAAAAUAAAAAACUUUUAAACAUAAAAAUUCAAGAAUUAAAAUAAUAAGGAUAAACUUCAAAUACCAUCCUUAUGGUUUUGCAUUUUCUCACUUUAAUACUCUAUAGUUUAAAGUGUAUUAAUUUAGUGCCAUAUGAUUUUAUUUUUCUCUUUUUGUCUGCUCCUCUGAUAACAUUUCGUUAAAUUAUAUAUAAAAAAUUUCAGAUACCCUAAUUAGGUUUAUCGAAUAUUCACUUUAGUACCCUUUAGUUUUAAUUUUGUCAUUGAUUUAACGAAAAAAAAAAGUAGAGAAAUUUUUUUAAAAAAAAAACCAAUGGGUACUAAAUAUAAUACGAUACUAAAAUAUAAAAUUGUGAAACUACGGGGUGGUAUUUGAAGUUUUCCCAAAUAAUAAUAAUCCUACUAAAACCGUCGAUGAUUAAACCCGUUUGCGCGUGACCGCGCCGAGCCCGGGACGCGCCAACGACCGAUCGCAAUCGCCGCGCGAGCCCCCUCCGCCCAUCGGGCACGAAUCUUAAAGCUCGAGACCCCAUUUCUCGCCGCCCACUCCCAAGAUCCCAACUCCUCCUCGUCCUCUCCGUCCCCGCUCAUCUCCCUCUUCCUUCGCCCCGAAGCGACCUCCUGCGAAAACCCUAACCCUAAUUCCAGAUCCUCCUCUCUUCUCCGCGACCGCUCCCAUGGCGACGCCGUCGACGGGGGUGAACGUGAUGCUCGCGGUGCACGAGAAGAAGACGAGCCCCGUCGACAUCUACCUCGACCUCCGCCGCGACCUCCUCCUCGCCUACUCCCGCGCCCUCGCCCUCGUCGAGCCCCGCUUCCCCAUCUCCCCCGACCGAUCCCACGUCAGAUGCGCUCCGACCUCGAGCGCGCCCCCGCCGAGUCCUCCCUCGACCUCCGCCGCGACCUCCUCCUCGCCUACUCCCGCGCCCUCGCCCUCGUCGAGCCCCGCUUCCCCAUCUCCCCCGACCGAUCCCACGUCAACUCCCUCUCCUUCACCUGGUUCGACGCCUUCAAACCCUCCAAGAAGGUCUCCUUGCCCUCGAUCCACCUCGAGAGGGCCGCCGUGCUCUUCAACCUCGCCGCCGUCUACUCGCAGAUCGCCCUCGCCGCCGAUCGCACCACCGCCGCCGGGCUCAAGCAGGCCUGCGGCGGGUUCCAGAGCGCCGCCGGCGCCUUCGCCUUCCUGAGGGAGACCGUCGCCAGGAAGGCUGCCGCGGCGGGGGCGACGCCCGACGUCUCGCCCGAGUGCGCCGCCAUGCUGGAGAAGCUCAUGCUCGCGCAGGCCCAGGAGUGCUUCUUCGAGAAGGUGAUCGCCGACGCCAAGCCCCCCGGCCUCUGCUCCAAGAUCGCAAGGCAGGUAUAUAAUGCGAUCCUGAAUAAUUAUCCCUCUCGCGCUUCCCGUACGAUAUUUGCAGCAAUUGCUACUCACUUUCAUAUUGCAUUACGAAUACUUUUGUGAAAUCAUGAUGAUCUGAUUCACUAGGUAUCUUGUAGAAUACAGUAGAACUGAAGUUUAGAGCUUUUAUUGUUUAACAUGAAGAGAAAAAGGGUAUCGGAACUGAUACUGAUUAGGAAGCAUAAUGAAAUGAAGCUUAAUAUCUUCAAACCGCAAAUCUUAUUCCGUAACUUUCACAGGUCGGCCUUUACUAUGAGGAAGCUUAUGCUGCCCUGAAUGCUGCUCCGCUUAGCCAGCACUUUGACAAGACAUGGGUCUCGCAUGUCCAACUGAAGGCAGCUCAGUUCUAUGCCGAGGCUUGCUAUAGGUAUUCAUUGGAGCUUCAUGAGAAGGAAGAGAUUGCAGAGGAAAUAGCCCGAUUAAAGAUCGGGAUCGGUGCCCUAGCUGAUGCGAAGAAGACCGCCAAGGGAGUUGCUGCGCCUCUCUUGGAUGCCGUCUCCAAACUAGAGAGUAAUAUGAAUCGCAACUUAGAGAGGGCUCAAAAGGAGAACGAUCGGGUUUAUCUCAUGCGGGUUCCAGCAGCAAGUUCUUUGGGUGCUCUACCUGCAGCUUCUCUCGUGAAGCCCACCAAUAUGGCUGAACUUUUAGAUGCUAGCAAAGAGAGGCUCUUCUCAGGUCUUGUUCCUGAUGGCAGCAUGAAGGCCCUCUCUAGAUACACCGAAAUGGUUGAUGACAUCAUCAGGACUCAAGCGGAGAAGUUGCAGCAGGGAAGUGAGAUAACGAGGGUUAGACUGAAGGAUAUGGAUCUGCCAGAUUCUAUUUUAUCGCUGGAGGGUAAUAUCAGCCUACCUUUGGAUCUUAAGGAAGAUGUGGAAGCCGUACAGAUCAGCGGCGGGCCUGCUGGCCUGGAAGCAGAGUUACAGCAGCUCAGGGAUUUGAGGAGGGUUAAUCAGGAACUGCUGGUCCAAACUGAGGAGCUUAUGCAGAAGGAAGCAAGUGAGGAUGCCCAGUUCCGAACCCAGUUCGGGACACGGUGGACGAGGCCUCAGUCCAGCACCUUGACGAAGAGCCUGCAGGAUCGGUUGAACCGGUUCGCUGCAAAUCUCAAGCAAGCAGCAGAUAGUGACGCGCGGAUUGAGCGAGCCGUUAAAGACAACUAUCCUCUCAUGUCAAUUCUUGACCGCAGACCGGUAUGAUUUACCUGUGCCGUCAUGUUUGUUGAUUUUGUGAAUGAAAUAUUGUCUCAGGUGAAUGUAAAUACAUGAAGUACUGUUUUUCCAUUUAUAUGGCAACCUAAAACUCUGUUUAUCCUCAUUGAUGUAUAACUCGCCAGUUUUCUUUUGAAACAUUUGCUUCAUUGGAUUUUCUAAGGAAUCUAGUUGUGGACUGAGAUGAAUCUGCAACUCCAUGAUGCAGCAAUUUCCAUCCCCUGCUUUUUAGACAGUCAUUUAUGCUUCCUUAACUCUUCUUCUUUUGAUGGAUGACUAGAAUCCGAUGAUAUCUGUAUUUUUCAAGAUUUAGUGAGCAUGUGAAGCAACUAAUGGGAGCACUUUAUCAGGCCCCAAGUGCUUGCAUUCAGGCAUAUCUGUCAUACCUUUAUAAUAAAUAAUCAUGUUUUAUUAACCUGUUUGAAUUGGGAACACUAGCUUAUUUUCAUUCAUAUGUUGGUAGCACAGUGCUUCUGUAGUUUGACUUUGUUUCCCCUGGGAACUUACCCUAUUGUUUUACUAAUUGCAGAUAGAAUCUGCCCUUCCAAGUAUUGCAAGGCCUAUAAUGUCGCUGGAUGGGAAUGAAGAUGCUUUAGUUGGAGCCCUCAAACAGAGCUUGGUAAUGUACAGUUUAAUCAUUCAGCAUAUCAAUUUAAAUUGUAAUUUCAGCAAUCUAAGAGUAUUGUUUUAAAUUAGUAGAACUUGUGAUGCUGCAACCCUCAGUUUGCAUCUUGGUUGUUUAUAAUUUACAGCAUAAGAAACACUGAUUCAGCUAUACUGUCGUUAUGUGUGAAAUUUUCAGCAUCGAUAUACAGUACUUAGCACCAGCCACACGACAAUGUUGACAUCAGUUAAUUGUUGAGAUCAUUACAGUUUCAGUUUAGACUGGUAGUAGACGUACUCUUACACUUAAAGUUGGAAGUAUAAUGAAUGUGUGUGUAGGCUUGUCAACAUAGUAGAGUGUGAGAGAGAGCGCUUGUGUGGGGUGGCUGUGUGAGGGAGGAUACCGGUUCUUUUAUCAAUGACUAAACUAAACUUUCGAAUAUUAAGCUGAAUUCGGCUCUCAAGGUUAUAAUUACUAACUUAAACCGUGACUUUGUUAUUUAAUAGUAAUAAUAAUCUUAAUACAGACAGUUUGAGCACUACAGAAAUAUUAGAAUCUGGUUGCAGAAGUGGCUGUUGAUACAUUUUCUUUUAUUUGUCUGGGUCACGUAGAGUGCCAGUUAGAUCUUUGUUGCAAUCUGGUACUCAACAGCUACCUCCCUUCAGUGCUGAUCUUUUGGAGCAUUUCUUUCUUGAAUCAGUCUUGUGGAGUUCUUCACUUCUCUUGUUAUUUUCCAAUAUGGGCUGUUGAAGAAGUACUGGAUCAAAUCUUUUCUUCGCAAACGUGUGAACUAAUAUUUUACUUUCAUAAUUUCUCUUUUGGCCUGCUGCUCAUUUAAUAGGGGCAUUGUAAAAGCAAGCUAAAAAAGGGCUUGUAUUAAGUGUAUUUUAAAAUUCAUCCUUAGUAUAUCACAGGUAUCUAGUAUCUUGUACUAACAAAUUCUUGUUCAUGCAGAGGCAACUGGAGAACCUAGGAGCACAACGGGCAGGCCUCGAAGACAUGCUAAAGGAGAUGAAGAGAAAGGUGUGGGUUCUAUUGUGCUUAUGAAUUUGCUGUUAAAAGGACAAAAUGGAACCUAGUUUCUACUUUUCAUUAUUCUGUUGAAAUCGAUAUUUGGAAGAUAUAUAUUCUGUCUACCUUGUCUGCAUGUCAAGAUGAUGGCUAUACAUAAGUAAAGUGGCUUGCGUUGUAUAUGAUCUCUGGCAUUUUCCAUAGAAUUUUGAUCUUUACAAAAAAUGCAGAUACUCAAGAGAAAGUGCUUCAGGGUUGCCUUUAUAAGAACGAACCACUUAUUGAUUUUACUAGUACAUGGAUUAGCGUUAAAUAAACCAUAAGCAUAUUUGACUUCUAUGUUGUCGAAGUUGUAAUCUUUUUAUUUUACUCGAUUGCAUUCCUUUUUUAUUUUACUGUAGGUGUAUCAUUAUUUACUAAAAUCUGAUUAUUGCUUACUUGUGCUGAUCAUGCUUCAAUAAUCAGUUUUGUUUUAACUAACUUUUUAGUUCUAUAAUGCACUUUACUAGCUUGUAGAUUGGAUUGACAAGCCAGUAAUGGUCUACUGUGCCAAUGCUGUAUUUCUUUCAGGAUGAUAUCUUACCAAAGUUGAUGGCUGGCACCGGAUCACAUGAAGAUCUCUUUAAAAAGGAGAUAGCAAAGUAUGAUCCCAUCUGUCAAGAAAUUGCUAAGAAUAUAGAGGCACAGGAGCAAUUGUUACUGCAAAUACAGGCAAGCUACCUGCUCUGAAUUUUUACCCAGUGAAAUGCCCUUGUUCAAUUCAUACAUACCCUUCAUUUCUUAGAUUUCAUAACAUUGUCUUAAUGGCAAGUGACAAUCGUUUUGAUUACCUUCUGCAUAAUUGAAUUUAGACUCUCAGUUGCUAAAUAAAUACUCCUUUUCCUUUGUUUCGUCUACAGGCUCAAAAUGAUGAAUUUUCUAGUGUCUUUAAUCUGGAAGACUACAAAGGUAUUUUCUUCUUUGUUUCUCUCCCUCAUUGAGGUGACGAGUAAUUGCCUAAAUUCAUGUGUUUCCUUUUUAUCACUCUUCUAUUGCUUGUGAUAGAUAGAUUCUUGGAUUUGCUUGAUUUAAUUUUAAUACGUUUAUUUAUGGACUUUUGGUACCAGAAAGCAUUUGACAGCUUUAAAAGCGUCCUUAUCAUCUAUUUCCUUCAGUAUUGAUCAUUUUCAUUUAUAUCACUUGUCGGAUGGUUGGUUGUUGAUUAACUGCUAACAAUCAAAAUUUCUCGCCAGUUGCUCGUGAGAAAACUUUCAAGCAAAUCGCAGCUGCCGUUGCAAAAUACCGUGAAAUUAAGGAGAACAUCAAUGAGGGGUUGAAGUUUUAUGUUACUUUACAGGUGCGCAAGUUGCUACACAUUAGUAUGAAACGUACGAAAGUUACCUGCAUCAUAUUCCCUCUUUAAUUCGACACUUACCCUCUUACAUAAUCUUUUAACAGGAUGCAAUAAACAACAUAAAGCAGCAAUGCAGCGACUUCGUAAUGACCCGGCAGAUCCAGUGCCGCGAGAUGAUCGAGGAAGUACAGAGGCAGAUAGCAGGAUUCAGCUUCUCCGGUGGAAAAACAGGCCACAGAACGAACCAGCAAAGAAACGUUCCUCCUCAACCAAACCAACAGACCACCCCGCCCCCAACCCAUCCUGCUCAGCCGCCACCGCCUUCAUACCAUUAUCCACCCAGUGAACCAAGGCCAGGAUAUUCUCAACCCUACCCAGCCUAUGCCUCCUCACCACCUCCUCCUUACCACCAAUACCAGCAGCCACCACAACAGCCACCGCAGCAGCCGCCCAACACCGACUAUGGCCAACCGGCUUAUCCGGGAUGGCGCGGGCCGUACUACAACGCGCCACCACCGCAACAACACCAGCAGCAACCGGGACCUUAUUUGCAACCGCCGUACACUAUUCCCGGGUCUUAUCCGCCUCCUCAACAGGGCAAUUACUACAGGCCUCAGUGAAGUACGGUCGAUGCCGAAACUAUUUGUUGGCGUGUUAGUCGCUCGGUUUCAUUGUGAAUGGUUUCCCAGAUAUAAUACUAUUCUAUGUUGGGACUGUCAUGCUAUUUUUUUUUUUUCUCUUCUUUGUUGGAUAGAGACUCUAUACAUAUUACUGGUACAGAAUAAUAUGCUGAAGUAUUAGUUGCUUAGGUCUCCCGAUUCCCGAUUUGUUAAGGUUCCGCAGUUGCAGGGUCUAGAAAACUAUUCGAGUGAAGGAUAUUUUGGUGACUUGCUGGGGGUUCUGAACCUUGUUCAUAAACUUUGCUGGUAUGUGUGAUGUGAUUUUGUAUAAAGUGGAACGUGUUUCUAUUUUUUUGUGAUUUUAAUCGAGCAGUAAAAUAAUCCCCCUGGAGGUUGCUGUGGAUGGUUUUUGUUGCAAUUUCUUGGAAACUUGUAAUCUCUUUGUAAAUCUUCUCUUCCCAUGGAAAUGCGCCAACCACACCAAUGAAGAAAAAAAGAUUUAGUUGGUCGCUAGUUUUAUCAUCAGCCCCAAGUUCUUUCUCCCUGAUAAUAGCAUUGAGAGGAUGGUAAAACAACUGUGGCUCGAGUGCUUUAUUUUACGGAGAUCAAAGGUGUAGAGAGAGAGAGAACCUUGCAAGAGGGCUUUAAUCUCCCACCCAGGAAAUUUUCUUUUUUUUUUUUUAAAAAAAAAGGGCAAUUACCAGAUAAAGCCAUUGGAUACAGUAUGAUCGAGCAAUCAUACUUCUGUAUUCAGUUUCAUUCAUAUAACAAAGCUGCCGAAGAUAAAUGAGGAAGAAACGUUAAAAAUUUGUUAGUUAUAUUCAGUAUCAUACUCGGGCAAAAACUAUGACAGAGAAAAGCAACGUCCCGGAACAAAGACAUCAGUUGAAACUAAGAAUAUGGUGGAUUAACAAACAUAGGCAAAAUUUACUCCUAGAAGCCGAACAAAUAGGCAAAAUUUACUCCCACAAGCUGAUCUAGUUGGCUCUUCCCACCAACAAUAAAAAAAGCAGAGAGAGAGAGAGAGAGAGAGAGAGAGAGAGAGAGUCGAAUGCAAUUUUAGGGAACUUUUUGUUUUUAUUUAACAACAGAAAGAUUCAAAAUUAAUUCCUCCCAUGUGUGGCCACAACCAAGUUAGGACUUCAAAUGGUUGCUUAAGAAAUCAGAAUACGAUCUCCUGCACCGACUUGUCACAACAUCAAGUAUUGCAAGCUUCGAAUUCACCGGAAAAUCUUUAGCCUAAUCUAAGCUCAGUAAAAGCUUUACGAACAGCCUAAUAUAAUCUAACAUGUCACAAAAAGAUCAACUUUUAACUGUGUGUGUAAAAAUAGCACUCGGGAUGGGUGGUCUUUCCUGUCCAUUCAAAGUCAUGAAGCCCUACAGAAGGCUCUAUGCUGCUUUCUUCUGGUCGGAAGAUCCGUCAAAUUUCAAGGUUGAGAUCGCCAUGUUGAGGAUUAUGAAACUUGUUCCUCGAUUCAAAAAUUCUCGGAUUAAUCAAAGAUAAUACAUGAAUAUAUAGAGAUUCCAGAUCAAAAGAGAUUUUUUUUUUUUUUUUAGGGUAAGAAGAUCCGCCUAACAUUUAAAUGCUAGUAAGUCUAAAAGUGCCGGUAGGGUAUGAUUCAGUUGUGUCCAUAUCUGAUAUCUGAGUUGUAAACAUCUCUGUAGGAGCUCUGUUCUGAUCUGUAGGGGUCCCUGUAGGAACUCUGUGCAAACUAACCACGAUAAGGGAAAAAAACAAAAACAAUUCAAUGUCAGGGUUCUACAUUUUAAAAUCUCAUACCAUUUUGCUAAGAUCAUCUUAACUAUCUGAACGUGGCAGUAACUCGAGGAAAUUCAAAAUGGGUUUUCACUGAGAAUACCUGACGGGGGUCAGAUAGACUGCUAGCACCUGCUCCCAUGUAAGAUGCAGCCACAUUGUUAGGAGCCCUAAUCUCAACAGAGUUGAUUCUACUUGGAUACCUGCUUACAGUACAAAAAUUAACCUAUCAGUGGCCUUCCUCCACCAGAGGAUCAGAUUUCCUAGAUGUUCAUUGAAUAGGUGCAUAUCUAUAUACAAAAUUGGAAAGAGUGACUUGGGCUGUUUUUGUCGUUUUGUCUCUCUCUUUCCCCCUAACUACCAUUAUCUCAUUAAAUUCGAAUAUGAAUUAUGAGAAAUUACAACUUCCUUUUAUCUAUUGGGAUUUUGUGAGAGCUCAAAUAUCUAAUUUCCAACUAAACCAUUAACUAACGCCACCCUACUAACUAUGCCUAAUCUUAUUGUCCCGCUUAGGUACUCAUUCUUGUGUUAAUAGCAUGUGAAUUGCUGCUAGUAUUCAGAAAAGUUGGAAGACAAUAAUACCCAGCAACAGUAGUUGGUCCUGGAUAACCCUGAGCUUCAUAAAUUUGUGCUGCACCCUGAAAAGAAACCGGAAAAUCAUAUGCAGAACCUAAGAAACCGGAAAUGGCAUGAACAACAAGUGAAGGCCGGGAAGAAAAACAACAACAACAAAGGAAAGCGGCAAUGAUGUGAUCUCAUAAUUGAACGUAAAGCUGCCACUGAACUGUAGCUCUAAUACCAUCAACUACUGCACAGCCUUUCACGAGAGCAAUGUGUGUAAUAAUAUUCAGGAUCUUUGAGUUCCUUGAGCAUGCAUGAAAAUUGUGAGCAUCAACGAGAAGAUGAAAAGCACUUAAUUUUCGGCAAAGUACAACCUACAGCUUUGCAAGUUUAUAUUCUCCUUCGAUGUCCUCUUGUAAAAACUAAACAUCUUUCAUGUGAUAUUUCAAAUAGUGGCUAACGGAAAAAAUUGAAGUGUCGAUAUCCUGCACAAUUCUUAUUGAUGAAGUUCAUGGUAAAAAUUCAAAAACCUUCCACGCAUAAUUGCACAACGAAAUAAAAUGCAGCAGCAUAAUCUAAAAAACUUAAAAAAAAAAGCCUCGCGAGAUAGUGUGACAUCCCAAUAGUACCGGAAUGGGAUUGUGAUUGAGUAUAUAAGAGACCAUAAAUUCUAAUAAUAGUAACCGAGCUUAAGCAUUUUGAGCCAGUGAUUUGAGUCCAAUGAGUUAUUAUUGUUAGCGGAUCGGGUCGUUAUAUUUGGUAUUAAAGCCGGUUCACUAGCUGGAAGUGUGAGGUGGGUCUUGCAUCGCCCGGUGAUCUUGGAUGUAUGUGUGAUUGGGCUGACGAAAACAGCAUGACUUAAACAGGAGGAGUCUGUGACACCCCAAUAGUCCCACAUCGGAUGGGAAUGGAAUUAUGAUUGAGUCUAUAAGAGACCAUGGACCCUAGUAAUAACAACUAGGCUUAAGCACUUUGGGCUAGUGAUUUGGGCUUAAUGAGUUAUUAUUGCUGGUAGAUCGAGUCCUUAUAAGCAAAAGAAAUCUAACGGAAGAGAUAAUAAGGAAAAGAAAAUAAAAAGGUGAAAUUCUGCACUGUAAAGUUACAAGACAGUGGACCAAAUGAAAUCAGAAAAAAUACCUUUGGAUUAUCAUAACCAACAGAAUUCCCGGUUCUGGGCAUGCCCGAUGAUGGUGGAGGUCCUCUACUAGGAAAGCUCUCCGGAGAAGGAUAGCCAUGGUAAGAAGAAACCAUAGGCCUGGAAUAGUUAUGCGGAGGAGCAUACCCACGGUAAGAAGAACUCAUAGAUUCCUUAUAGAAAGAUGGACUUCCAGGUGGCGGUAAUUCUCUAGGAGGCAUGCGUUCUGUAGGAUAAAGUUCACGGAAAGGAGGCGGCGGUACAGGAUUCAUAACACCACUUCCGCCUCGAAAAGUCCUCGUUCUAAGCCGUGAAGCUAUCUCAGAAAGCGCAUCCCGUGCAACAAUAGCGUUUCCAGAAAUCUGAAAGUGUUAGAAAGAUAAAAAGAAUACAAAUAAGUAAACCAUAACACAGGGAAGAAUCAAUUAAGGACUAAAUAUAAUGCUCACCUGCACAAGCUCCUCAUUUGCGGAGGUAUAUUUUGGUUUAUCCUCUUUCGAGAACAAACGAAUAUCUGCCCUUGUUCGCCUUCUCAUCUCUGUUAUUAUGCUGCCACGUUCCCCAAGAAUACAGCCAACCUUACCUGAUGGAACAAGAAUCCUAGUAGUCACAACCCCUUUCUCGGAGGUUGUACUCGUUCUGCUUUGAAGCAGAAGAAGAGCUUCGAUUGUUGGAGAUGUUGGAUCAGAAGGCACCUGAGUGAUUUGAUUUAUAUUUUCAAAGAGUGAAUUGAAAAUGAGGUCAAACUUCAAAUACUAAAUUGCUAAAGUGAAACUACGAGGAUAAAAUCAGAGUAAGAGUCAAACUUGGGACUAAGUUUGUAAUUAACCCAAAAGCCUACCUCCUUAGAUGAGAUAAUAAUGACCCGUUCCUCCGCCUCGGGAUCCGUGUCCUCGACUUGAAUGCUAGCACCGGUUUGAUGUUCCAGUUGUCUUACAUUGACCCCAGAUUUCCCAAUAACCCCACCAAUCUUAGCAGUGGCACACAAUAUCCUCAUAGAAAACUCUUCUGUUGUUUCCCUACUAUUUCCGCCACGACUAUUGCUAUAUCCACCUGGAGCAUAUGCAGAUGGUUCAUUUCUAUAACCAUCAUACCAUCGCAUUGGAGAUGUCGCACCACCACGCCGGUGAGACCAAAUUGUAUCUGAUUGAGGUAAAGGAGGGACAGGGCCAGCAGGCUCGUAUAAACUUCGAGUGCUGGCAUGUAUUAUAUCUUCAAGAGGAGGGUUUUCCUUGCGAGGAUGUUGAUGCAGCCUAGAAGAAAUUUCAUACAGAGCCUUUCUCACAACAGAAGGGCUUCCUGAUAUCUGAAAAUAAAGCCAAAGCCACAUGUUAGAUGUAAAAAAGGUUAUGACCCAAAAAACACUACUAGAAAUUUGGAUUUUACAGAUCAUGAUCGACCACAACGAUCAAAUUAUACAAGCAAACUAAAUGAAUCAUGAAUUCAUAUUUUCAAACAAUUGAACAGGAAAAAAGAUAGAAUGCGUAAGAUGAACAAAUAUUUAGAAAAUACAGCUAAAUUCUCCAGCUGUCGAAACCAACUGAAAACAGGUAAGAGUGAUAGUGCGUCAUAUUCAUAAUACUGGGGGGAACUAAGAAAUGAUGUCCUAAUUUGAUCGAAAAAGCAAACUAACAAAGCAACAUGACCUAAAAUUAGCCGAGAUUUCAGAUACAAAAUAUCAGUUAACUAGAAAUUUUGUAUUAAGUCAAGGAAAUCAGGAUUGAAGUGAAAUUCCUUACGAUCGAACUAUCAUUUCACUAGAAAUAUUGCACUAAGGUUUUAAGGUAAAAUUCCAUACGGUAUAGUACUCAAAAAGAUAUUACCUGAACCAAUUCAUCAUUACUCAUGGAACAAGGUGGAAGAUGCUCUGACGGCAAAAGGCGGAUGGUCGCACCAGUCUCACUCCGCAGUUGUUGUAUGAUAGUGCCACCUUUGCCCAAAAGACAGCCAACUUGAUUGUUUGGAACCAAAAUGCGGGCACUGACAGAAUCAUCUGAAUCAUUCUUUUCAUGCACCACGCCACCAUGCAAAAUCUCAUCUGCCGCAAUCCUAUCAUUGAUCUUCAACAAGGCAUCCUGGGCUGCACAAUGUGGUUUUAGAUUCUCAAAUUCGUUAUCACCGGAAGUAACACCAUCAAUACCUUGAUCUGAAUAACUAAAAAUAAUAAUAACUCUCUCCUCAGCCCCAGGAAUAGCAUCGGCAACCCUUAUCUUUGCACGAGUCUCAUCUCUAAGUGCAUUAAUAAUUUCACCCCCUCUGCCCAAAACACUCCCAAUCUUUUUGACAGGGCAAAGGAUCCGAUAUACGGUAUCAAUCGGUUUGGAGGACAUAGAACCAUCAUCAUGGCUAGGGUUUGGCCUUUUCUUUUUCCUGUUAUCAAAGUGGGAGCGUGGGCGCUCCCUGAAAGUACUUGUUUUACGUUUUCCUGAUUUCCCACCAUCCAUAAUGUUGUAGAGCAGUUGUUGCAGUACUUUAAGCUAAAAAUAGAGAAAUAUAAAAAACCAUCAGCAUAUGACAUAAAUAAUCAAAGGAAAAAAUAUGCACGCAGUAUUAGAGUUGCCCUCAAGUAAAAAUUGCAAAAAGCUUUAAAAAAAUUGGCCUCUAGUUAAUGCUUUCAAAUUUGUGUUCUAAAUCACUGCUUUUUCAAGUACAAGCGUUAGGACAUUGGUCAUACAAAAAAUAAAAGUAAUUUGUUUCACGGAACUCCAACGUUUAGAAAACCGAAUCGUGGCCGAUUGGACUGGAUUAACCAUAAACCAACUUAUUGUGGCUUUGUGAGAAAUGAUCAACCAGAUAAGUUGGAUGGUUAUGUAAAGAACUAAUCAACUCAAGAUAGGAGCAGGUUGGUUUGGACCAGUCUACUUAGUUGUAUUCUGCGUAUAAUAUCCUACUCAUCCAAUUAAUAAAAAAAAAAAAAAAAAAAAAACUUCAGCAAAACGACAAGCAUUAUUUUGGGUUUAACUCAGCCAAGAAAAGGAACCAAAAAAAAAGGUAAUUUAUUACCAGAACUUCAACUUCAAUCAUCAUAUCAUCAUACGUACUAAGACGACAAAAUCGUUGGGGGUUUACUCACAAGAUUCUAACAUUAGUACUAAGACGACAAAACCGUUGGGGUUUUACUCACAAGAUUCUAACAUUACCUUAAACUAAAUCAAUACUCUUUCCCAAAUAGAAAUAAAGGACGAUGACAAGUUGGAUUGUUGCAAUGCCAAGUGACCAACUACGAAGGUAAUGAGCUACUUUAGUAACUCAGCUAAGUAAUGCAUAACUUUCAAUACCAUUUUGCCGCAAAAUACUUCCACUUAACUUGAAAAAAAAAAAAAAACAUAUCUUUAGUUUCCAUUUCCAACAUUCUAAGAAGAUCUCAAGCUAAGUUAGAUCCCCCGAAUAUAAAUCAAUUACCAAAAAAAUGUCCGGUGGACAACAUUGCAAAUAUAGCAAGAUUAGCAAGUAGAAAUCCCCAAAGCAAGGACAAUAGGUCCACCAUAAGAUCAACAAAUAAACCCUAAGCACUAUCUAAUGACAUCAAGCACUAAUUACUUCACAUAUCACCCUUACCCAAUUCUCAAUACAAUCCAAACCAACAAAACGGAAGCAAAAACAAAAGCAAAAUUGUAUCGAACCAACCGUCAAAUCCAACACCAGCUAUUUCAAAUCCUAGUUUUGCAUCACCAUGUUUGCAUUACAGCUGCUGAUUCAAGCAAAAAUUUUAAUUUGGUGCAAAAAACCAACUUAUCUAACAACAUACUCAAACUUCGAUCCAGUGACUCGUUUUUUAAGAGAUUGAGAGCAAACGACUCGGAAAAAAGAAAAGGUAGAUUACGAGCUAAGAAUGGAUUUUGCGGGAUCAGGGUUGGAGAGUGUGACGAACCUUGUCGUGCGAAGAGGAUUCCUCGUCCUCGCCCCCUUCGUCUUCGUUAAAGCGACGUGAGAGGGAGAGAGAGAGAGAGAGAGAGAGUGAAGCGGGGUUGGGGCUCCGGUUUGGGGCUUCGCCCUUCGCGAUUAGGUUUCGCCGUUUCGGGGAGAAAAAUACACGGAUAGUCCCCGUACAACCCCAAUAUUACGACUUAGUUCCUGUUUUUCUUUUUUUUUUUAGAGUAAACUUCAAAUACCACUACUGUAGUUUCACACUUUCUCACUUCAGUAUCCUGUAGUUUAAAGUGUAUCAAUUUAGUAUUCUGUGAUUUUAUUUUUAUCUUUUUAUUAUCGAUUUCACUAUUUUUUUCGUUAAAUCAGCGAUAAAGUUUAAACUAAAAGGUAUUAAAGUGAAUAUUCGAUAAACCUAGGUGGGGUAUCUAAAGUUUUUUAUAUAUAAUUUAACGAAAUAUUAACGAAAAAACUGACGAAAAGAUAAAAAUGAAACCACGAGACACUAACUUGAUGCACUUUAAACCACGGGGAACUAAAGUGAGAAAGUGCGAAACCACAGAAGCGGUAUUUGAAGUUUACCUUUUAUUUUUCUUUUUUCGUCAGCUCCUUCGUUAACUUUUCGCUAAAUUAUAUACAAAAAAAUUCAGAUACUCUACCUAUAGUUUAAAAAAUAUUCACUUUAGUACUUUAGUUUUAACUUUGUCACUCAUUAACAAAAGAAAAUAAUAAAAUAAUAACAAAAAAAAAUUCAUAUGAUAUAAAAGUGAUCACACGAAAAUAAUUCAAAAAGAAAAAAAUUCAAAUAUUAUUCAUAUGGUUUCACACUUUCUUAUUUUAGUAUCCUAUAUUUUCGUGUGAUCACUUUUAUGUUUUAACGGUAAAAUAACUUACUUAUUUUUGUUACUUAUAACAUAAUUAAAAAUAGAGUAGAGUUUAACAACAAAAUUGAUUAAUGGCACAUUAGUCCCGAUCGCGUCGUAUAACACUACGAUAGAGCUAUUAUAUUAUAUAAUUAUGUACCAAAAUCAAAAUGUGUAUACCUACGGACCUUCUGUAGCUCGUAUUAACUCACUUAUUUUACAUAAUUUUUAUUUUACAAAAGUUUAAAUAAAUUUAUUAAUUUUUGAAUUUUUAGUGUAAGAUGUACUAUCCGAUUAGACUGUAUGUACACAUACGAGGAAAGUACGGGGAUUUAUCGGGCUCGAAUAUUAGGCCGAAUACAAAGGCGUGUCGAAGAGAGCCCACUUAUUUUUCAUUAUGUAAUCAUGGAUUGGGUUUGGAUCUAGACCCGGCCCGAGUCCUAUAAAAGGACUAUAGCCUCAAUGGCCUCAUUUUUUAUUUUUUUUUUAGAGAUAGGUAGCACGCUAAGUUUAGAAAUAAACUUAGCUGAAAAUAUAAAUCAACUAGGAUUCGAACUUCAGAAUUCUAUGGUCCCAAACAGAAAGCUAAAUUGAAUCAAAUCAAGUAAAGACUAUUUGGUUCGAUUUAUAUGCUUUUUUUUGUUUGUUUGAUUUGGUUUUGAAAUUUACUAACACUUAAUUUUGGUUUCGGUUUGGUUUUAAUACAUUUUUUAACUGAAUAGAACCGAAAAAUGAGUGGUAAUAUAUAUAUUUUUUUACACUUUUUAUCUAAACUUCUUAUUAAAAUUUUAUAUUUAUGAUCAUAUGUCCAAUAUAUUUUUUAAAAUUCUAUAUUUAUAAUUAAUUUUGUGUUUGUGUGAUUUCAUAAUGAUCCAAUUUUGAAUCUUAAAUUAUAAAUUGAUUUGUAAAAAAACUCUAAAAAAAUUAAAUGUAAAAUGAAACCAAACCGAACCAAACCAAAAUACUUUAGUUUGGUUUGGAUUGAUUCUUAGCUUAAUUCGGUGUGGUUCGGUUGUUAUUCUUUUAAAUCAAAAAAUACGAUUUGAUCUAAGAUUUGCCCUAAAACCGAACCAGGCCAAACUAGCAACACUCCUACUUCACGCUGAGAGGAAUAAAAGGUUAAGGGUAAGCGGGCAAGAUAUAUCUAGAUUCCCAUAUGGAGUAGGAGGAAUUCUACACUAUCACACUUGCACCACGUCAUCAAUAACAAGCCAAUCAUCUUUCUUUUUUUCAAACAAAAGUACAAUGAAAAUAAUUUUUUAUAAUCAUGAUGUGACAUAUAUUUCUAAAAGAAGAUUUUUGAUUGAUUUGUUAUGCCACGUCACCAAUAUACCUGUUGUAUUUUAGAAUUUUUCCUAGACUAGAUGUAUUCCCGACCUACCACUCUUUCUGUUUAUGUGCAAAUUUCUAGAGUGAGGCUACUAUGCUAUCGGAAGCACGGAGCCUUCCGUGCUUCCAGCUCGUUUUCGAUGUUGCGAUUUUUGAAUCGUCGAUCAGCUCCGUUAAACUUGAUCUAGAGUAUUUGAAGUACCUAGAAAAUAAAUUUUAUGAUUUUACGAUAUCAUUUGCCUAGUGAACAAAGGGGCUCAAAAUCAACGGCUGAAAAUAAAAAUCUUACAAAAUGUAAUAAUAUGACAUUAAAAUUUUAAAUCAAAGAUAUUGAUCUAAUUUUAUAUAGUAUAAAGAAUUUUCUAUCAAAAUUUCACGUGAUUUGGAUAUUUCUACACCGUUAAACUUGCAAACGGCUCACUACGGCCAUUGAAAUUUGUUGAUUUUGAGCCCAUUCGAUCACUAAGCAAAUGAUAUCGAAAAAUAAUAAAAUUUAUUUUCUAAGUACUCCAAAUACUCUAGAUCAAGUUUAACGGAGCCGAUCGAUGAUUCGAAAGUCGCAACAUCGAAAACGAGCUGGAAGCACGGAAGGCUCCGUGCUUCCGAUAGCAUAGUAGUCUCACUCAAUUUUCUAUACCUCUUUUGGAAAAUUUAGUCGUCCAUAUGUAAUGAAAUUUAUUUUACAGUGUUGUAACAAAUGAGCUCCUUUUUGUUUUACAGUUCCUGCAACCUCUCGAUAUUUUAGCAAUACUCCUUAACUGUAGGCCAUUUGAAUACCCCUCCCUUAAUUUUAUGUUUUUUUUUUCCUUUAAUUUCACACCCACUUAAAUUUUUCAAUUUUCCUUCACAGUUAAAUAAUUCUAAUUACCCAAAAUAAAUUUUUUUAUCAAAUUUAUUGAUAAUUUUAUAAAAUAUAAGAAUUUUAAGGAUUUAAAUCAAUAAAAUUGUAACAAUUAAAGAGUUUCUUUUCAAAAAAUAAUCUAGCGCGAAAAAGUGGGGGCUAGGCUCGCUCAAAACUAACAACAAAAAGCCUCUUACAUAACUUCUUGUAUCUCUUUAUUGGAAGCCACUAGCGUAGCAAAAUCAAAAUAAGAAUAUUUUAGUAAUUUUAACAUUUUAUAGAGUUUUUUUUUUUUUGCAAAGUAAGCACCGAUACGAGUCCAUAAUUUCAUAUGACUAAACAUAUUUGAUUAGAAUUUAGAAUAAUCGUGCUAUUGGUACGAAAUAUAAAAUAUACUAAUGUGCCAUUAAUACAACUCACAUACCAAUAUGUUUCAACACAUUCUAUUAUAUAGAGUCCGUCUGGGUAUUAUCGAUAGCACCAAGAAUUUAGUGCUAUCGAAUUUUUUACCGUUAGAUUUAAUUCUUUGAUUAUUUUUACUCGUUAGAUUAUAUUAUUCAACAAGCUAAUCACUCAACCCUAAAGGACCCACAUCAUCCUAACUAUCUAUUUCUUAAUUCAAUGGCUAAAAAAUCAAUAGCAUUAAUAACUUAGUGCUAUUAAUAGUAUUCCAGCCAAAUUCCUAUUAUAUAUACGGAUACCAAUAUAUUUCAACACAUUCUAUUAUAUAUUAUAUCUGGACUUAUAUACGGUGAAUAACAUGUGCCGGUCAUGUCAGGUUGUGUCGAUUAACAGGGCAAUCGUUAUUUAAAAUAGGGAAAACUUCAAAAACCCCCUAUGUGGUUUCACACUUUUUCAUUUUAGUACCCUGUGGUUUAAAGUGUAUCAAGUUAGUACCCUGUGGUUUCUCACUUUAUCACUUUAGUACCCUGUGGUUUAAAGUGUAUCAAGUUAGUACUCUGUGGUUUUGCACUUUAUCACUUUAGUACCCUGUGGUUUCACACUUUAUCACUUUAGUACCCUAUAGUUUAAAAAACCACAGGAUACUAAUUUGAUACAAAAUCAAAACCACAGGAUACUAAAGUGAUAAAAUGUAAAACCACUGGGUACUAACUUGAUACACUUUAAACCACAGGGUACUAAAAUGAUAAAGUGAGAAACCACAAGAUACUAACUUGAUACAUUUUAAACCACAGGGUACUAAAAUGAAAAAAAUUGAAACCACAAGGGAAGUUUUUGAAGUUUUUCCUUUAAAAUAUGAUCAGUUUGUGACGAACUUAAAAACAAGGCCCAAAAGGAACUAGCGAACUUGUCCAACAUAAUUAACGAACAACAAGAAAAAUAAAGGAUCCCCUGUUUUGGUCAACCCAUUUAAGCCUCAAAUGUUUGCUCUGCGUCAGUUGGAAAGCCUCUUUCAUGAAACAACAAAGUGAUCUCUCAAGUAUAUAUCCAUAGAGACACGUGACCUUUUUAAUAGAAAAAAAUAUAUAUAUAGUUUUGUGUCUCCAAUGUUGUUUUUAUAGAUAAAUUUACCAUAACAGAACUAAGGUUAUAGUAAUACGUUUUUUUGAUACUUUUGUACGUAAGUGUCUCAUUUAUAUCAAAUUUUUUUAAAAAAGUUAUUAAGCUCUAAAUAUAAUGACUAAUCUAAUUAAAAAUAAAAAGUUCCUCAACUCAACCAACCCCAUCCAGCUACUCGAUCCGAUUACAAAUAGAAAGGAAAAUAAAAAGAAAAAUUGAUCAACAUCUUCUCUUCUCCUCCGUCGUCGCAACCGACGAGGUAGGGUUUCGGCGGCAGGAGUUCGACUGCGAGGAUCUCGUAGGGACCGUGGAGGACUACGAUUAUCACGUGUCCCUUCGUCAUAAGUCGCUGGUGGAGUGGGUGCCAAACAUCAAGACAGCCCUACGUAGAGCGACCGCACAUAUAGCAACACUUUUAAAAAGUGUCGGUAAUUUGACCAGCAAUUUUUUUUUUGACAUGUACUGACAUUCAAAAGUGUCGCUAUACACUGUUUUUUUUGUAGUGAUUUAUACAUACACAGUUUAAGACGUAGAUGAAUUUACUAGUAUAUUAUUUUUUUCUUUAUUUUCUGAUUGAUAAACUUGUAAGUAUACAAUCAGAAUUCAGAUGCACAACCAAAACGAUUGUUAGAAUUUUUUUUUUUUUUAUCAUCAGGUUUAUUCAUGCUAGUUAUAAAUCGAAGUUAUUAUCUAUAAUAGUAAACUUUAAUCAAUGAGAUGUGCUUAUAUAGAUAGAUUUUUAUAUGCUUUGGAUUUUUGUUAUAAUUAUAUUAUUUAGUUAGAUAAUAUUAGCAUAGAUGUAAUCUGACCCCCGAAACCUCCACCAUUUUUCAUGUAUUCAUUUUUCUUCAUGUCUCACCCACAUUUCUCUAUGACCCUAUCUUUUUCGUAAUUAUUAAUAUUAGUUUACCAAGGUUGUUCUCUCAUAAAAAAAUAAUGUUGUUAAUUGGUUAAUUAGUCAACCAUAUAUUUUAAAAACAAUUUAAAAGGAAAAGUGUUUGACUAUUUCAUGAUUAAUCAAAUUAUAAUAUCUAAUGUUAUAAAUUGUUUGAUUGGGAACUUGGUGAUGAGAAGGUGGGUUAAAUGAAUAAAAAAAAAAAUCUCUCCUCUUAAAUUUGUCCGUAAAUAUUCGAACUCAUCCUAACCGUAAAAGAUAUAAAUAUGUUAUUAUUUUUAUUUUUUUUCUAUUUAAAGAGGAUUUAUUGAAACAAAUGCGUAUCAACAUUUUCUAUUUAGUAGGGCAUUUAUAUAUCUAGUAUCACUCCCUUUACCCCCAAUCAAUUAUUGCUAAAUCUAAUAAUCACUUAGGAACUAUUAACUUCUUUGCUAAUUAAAAUACUAUUCAAAAAUUUGUUGAUUCGAAAAUUUGUGUGUUAAAAUAAAAAAGGGAGUUAUCCAGCUUUUGGAGGUAGAUAAGGAAUUUUUUUUUUUUUUUCAAAAAAAGUCAAAUUUUUUUUCUACAAUAAUAGUAUUUUUUUUUUUCAUCCGAGAGUUAAGUCCAUAACCUUUAUAAACCCCUUAUUUAUUUAUUUAUUUAUUUAAAACACUACAAUAUUUUUUAGUUAAAAAAGUAAGAUGACAAGCAGGCAGUGGUAAGUGUGAUUUUUUUAGAUUAAAAAUGUUAUAAGUAUAAGAAUAAUCACUUAAAAAAUUUAUUUAUAAAAUUAGUCUUAUUCGGAGAAUAAUUUAUUAUUUUUAAAUACAGUAAAUUAUUUAUCUCUUUAUGAAAAUAUUUAAAAUAUUUGUAGUGUUUAAUAUUAUUCAUCCUUCCGAGUAAAAUAUAUAAAUUUGAUAAAAUCGAUUUAAAAAUGAGGAAUUAUUUAUUAUUUUUAAAAAUAAUAAAUUAUUCACUACUAAAGUCUAUUUCUAUGAAUAAAAAAUUUAAAUAUUUAUUUUUAUAGUUAAACAUUUUUUUAGACUUAGUCAUCCAAAAAAAAAAUCCCCCAACAACCCCUAUGAGGUGCAUCAUUUCAAAAUUUUUUUUUUUUUUGAGUAAACUUCAAAUACCAUUUCUAUAAUUUAGUACCAUAUGAUUUUUUUUUUCUUUUUUUAUCUGCCUCUUUGUUAACUUUUCGGUUAAAUCAUAAACAAAAAACUUCAGAUACCCCACCUGUGGUUUAUCAAAUAUUUAUUUUAGUUUCCUUUAGUUUUAAUUUUGUCACUAAUUUAAUAAAAAAAAUUAGUGAAAAAAUAAAAAAAAAGAAAAAAAAUAAAAUUAUAGGACAUGCAAGUGAUACAUUUUAAGCUACAGAGAGAGCGCAAAAUCAGAAGUUUUUUUUUUAAUAUUAACUCAACUUUUAAUUAUUUUUUUAAAAAUAAAACCAAAUCCUCUCCCUCUCUCUCUCUCUCUCUCUCUCUUUCACUUUUUUUUUCCUUUUCCCUCCGACUUGGAAAAUUCCACACUCUUUUGCUUUUCCUUCAAUCCUUCAUAAUUCCAUCUCUCCCCUUCUCCUCCCCCUCCACCUCCACGUUCUCUCUGACAAUCGCAUCUUUCUUGUCGCAUCCAAUGCAUUUGGAUUGGAUUCGAGUUUAAAUCCCCCAAAAAGUAUCGAUCUUUGAUGAGAACGGCGGAGUCGGCGCCGAAUCUGGAUUCGAUCGCUGUGCGAUUCUCGGAAGGAGGUGCGAGAAGAAGCCAUUUUUGGGUUCCUUCGAAGUCGUCUCCAAGAUGACCACCAAGCGCGCGUACAAGCUCCGUAUCCUAAUUUUUCCUCAGUGUUACUCAAAUUCCAUUCUAGGGUUUGCUUCGAUUUGAUCGAGAAGAGGUUCGAUCGUGGUGUUUCCUUUCAUUGCUAUAUUUGAGUUCUUGAGCUGUUAGUUGUUGUUGGAUUUAUUGGUUUCGUUUUUAAUUAUAGCUGUAAAGAAACAAAAUUGGAUUUUGUGUGUGUGUUUUUUUUUUUAAAGAAAUUGGGAUUCGCUUUUGGUGCCUUGACUAGGUGUAGAGGAGUUUGUAGCGCAUGCUUCCAAUGUGAAUUGUCUUAAGAUUGGGAGAAAAACUUCAAGGAUUCUCGUCACCGGCGGGGAGGACCAAAAGGUCAAUCUUUGGGCCAUUGGCAAGCCCAAUGCCUUAUUGGUAUGAAACCCUAAUUUUGCCAACAAAAUAUGUGCACUAGCUUUACUAAUCGCAAAGUUGGAUAGUUAUAUAGCAAACUCGUAUAUUUUUCAGAGCUUAUCAGGCCAUAUUAGUCCUGUUGAUUCAGUGAGUUUUGACUCUUCCGAAGUUCUUGUCGCAGCCGGAGCAGCGGGUGGCACGAUCAAAUUAUGGGAUUUGGAAGAGGCGAAGAGUAAAAACUAACUUAUCUUUAUGAAUUGAGCUUUUUCCAAAUUUGAAAAUCAUAAAGUCGACACCUUUUUAACGAUCUGAUGUUGUUUUUUUUUUGCCUGUAGUUGUUCGUACUCUCACGGGACAUCGUUCCAAUUGUAUAUCUAUUGAUUUCCAUCCUUUUGGGGAAUUCUUUGCUUCUGGGUCUUUGGAUACAAACCUAAAGAUAUGGGAUAUUCGAAGAAAGGGAUGCAUUCACACGUAUAAGGGUCAUACCCGAGGAGUCAAUGUACUUAGAUUCACCCCUGAUGGUCGAUGGGUUGUUUCCGGAGGGGAGGAUAACGCCGUGAAGGUAAUUAAUCUAAUGCUAGAAUAGCAGGACCAAUCUAAAGAUUUCCUGGGAGUUUGUUUACUUUCAUAUUCUUAGCCAAAAAAAAAAAAAAAAAAAAUCUAUAACUCAAUUUUAGUAAGGCCAGUUGCAACCCAGAAAAAAGCACCACCAUUUGCAGUUUGCGUUCCCUCAGGAACCAACAUUUAACCCUGUUAAUCUUUAGAAAUUCAGCACUUUGAGACAUUUUUCAUUCAAGAAUUGCUAGGGAGUCUUAACAUAUGCUCAUUAUACCUCUUGUUGUAGGAAAUCCCAUAUUCUAAAACUUUCCACUUAUUCUUGAACAGAAAAUGUGACAGAAAGGGAGUAAAAUUCCAAUAUUCUAAACAUCGAGGGGUUUGAAUGUAGAUUUUAUAUCUUAUGGGGGGAAGUGCGAGUGUGGUGCUAUUUCAAAGGCGUUUACUGCAUAAUGCCUUGUAAUAUACGCUGGCCAUGACAACUCGUGAUACAAAAUUUUUCAAUCCCUUGAUAAUGUGAGUAAAAGAGUUUGGAUGCUUACACCUAGCAAGAGGUCUUAUUCUUUCUCUACUAUCCUUCUGAUCAGAUAUGGGAUUUGACAGCGGGGAAGCUCUUGCAUGACUUCAAGUUUCAUGAGGGUCAGAUCCAAUGUAUAGAUUUCCACCCUCAUGAGUUCCUGUUGGCAACAGGUUAGAUCUAUAAUCUUACCCCUCUAUUCUAAACAGAUGUUAGAUGCUGUAUAAACACAGAAUUAGUAGUCUAUAGUUGUGUAGUAUUUGUUAUCAAGAUAGUGAUCUGCAAAAUCAAAUGCAAUGAAGUCUUCAUAGUUUUAUUUGCUUAUUGUUCCUUGGAGAGUGAGGACUUAAAAACUAUUCCAAAAUUCUGAACUUUUCUUAUCUGCGUAUUAAAAUCCAUUCAUAAUUAUGAUACUCCUAAUCCAAAAUUUAUGUUGUUUAAGGAAGAUAAUGUAAAUGGACAAAUUGGCUUUUUAUGUUCGCUGUGUAAUGUUAGCAUUGGAAUUAAAUGUUACUGGGAAGAUAAACUUCAAAUUCCACUGUUUAGAUUUGAUGUAUAUUGAUUUCAAGUUUUUGGUGGCUAAAUAAGCAAGCUUUAGAAAAGCUAUAAUCACAUAUAUUAGUUACGUUCACUUGGGAUUUAGAUAGAAUGUAAAACCAUGCUGGUCCUAGGUCUGGAUCGGUCUGUCUGUAAUUUGGUUGAAAUCCAAAAAGCUACAUUUGUUUGACACAUGAUCUUCUAAUGAUAAACAUCUCUCCCGCGUAGCUAUGUUCUUUCUAUCAAGCAGAGUUUCUACUUAGGCCAUGUACAUUAUUUGUGGUGACAAUGCUACAACUGAGAAUUUUUUUGUUUUACCAUUUCUUUCCAAUAUGUACACAGGUUCGGCUGAUAAGACUGUUAAAUUUUGGGACCUCGAGACUUUUGAAUUGAUUGGUUCAUCUGGACCCGAGGUAUCGGAUGGUUUUUAAUUCGAACUUCAAAACUUUAGCUUCUGAACAUUUCUAUCUUAAUGCUUUCAGACCCUUCAUAGGUUCUGUGGUGCGCUAUUCUAGUAGUUGGCUAUUUAUGAUUUAUAUUAGGAAUCAGUAAUUUUCAUGCUCAUUUUCUGUUGUAAUUUACAAUCACUAAAUAGUAACUGGCGUCUUUAGCCAACAACUCUUACUCUAUCUUCUGUUUAUCCUGGAUAUUAUUUUGUACUGUAGAUCGUUUUUUCCCCCCAGAUAUUGGUCUUUCUGUUAGACCUUUUUCUUUCUUUUCUUUCUAGACAUUACAUUUGUAAGCAUCCUAUUUAUGUUGGAACUUUUAUAGGAGGGGCAUGUUUGUAAGCUAGCUGCACAUUUGAGGUCCUAAUGAAAUAAACUUAAUGUUGUCUAACCUCUAAUUUGAUUCUAGACAAGUGGUGUUCGUUCUCUGACUUUCAACAGCGACGGGAGAACUCUAUUUUGUGGUUUACAUGAAAGCUUGAAGGUAUUCUCUUUUACAUUUUUCUUGCCUGGAGUAGGACAUUUUCACUCUGUUGCCUUGGAAAUUUAACCAUUUUCCUUCUAGGUCCUCUCUUGGGAACCGAUAAGAUACCAUGAUGUGGUCGAUGUUGGAUGGUCUAGGUUAACAGACCUUAAUGUUCAUGAGGGGAAACUUCUUGGAUGCUCUUACAACCAAAGUUGUGUUGGAAUUUGGGUCGUGGACUUGUCGGUAUGAUUCAAUUCUCUUCUGUAUUUUUAUGAGCGGAUGCUAUGAUCUCAACUGCUUUAAUUUGUUUACCUGAUUAUUGAUUUGCAGCGUAUUGAGCCGUAUGCAGUUAAAAAUGAUGAAUCAAAAUCUACUACCGGUAUGAAUGUACCCAUGCAAACGGACAACAGUAUAACAAUAAGUUCAGGAAGAUCAUCAGUAUCCAAAAUUUCGGGUCUUGUAUCUAAUGGCACUUAAGCUUUAUCUUGUGUUUGGAUUCUUCUUAUUGUAGAGAUUUGCUACAGUUGAAAAGAAAGACAUUAAAUUUAUAACUGCUAUGUUUUUUGAAUGCAGCUAGCAGUAGUGCUUCUGGCACUCCCCUGAGAGUUGAUUUAAACUCUAGUUCAAAAAUGGUUCCAAGCACAACUGGUGCUACGUUAUUGAAGAAAAAUUCAUCAAAAAAUCCAGGCGCAACCAAUCCUCAGAUCACAAGCAAAUCAAAUGUUGUAUCUGCUAGUCCUCCUAGAAUUAGCUCAAGACUGGACGCUGCUGUUGAAUAUAGAAAAGAAACGACUGAUUUGCUACCUUCGGCUGUACCACAUAGUAGCUCAAGAGGAGAUCUUAUUGCCAAUUCUGUGAAAGAGGCUCGCAAGGUCGUACCUGUCAUUGUACCUAGAAUUAGCUCUGAUUCUUGUAAGGAAACUACCAAUGAGUUACCUGCCAACAUCCCAAGAGUCAGUUUAAGAGGGGAUCUGGCUGCCGAUCCUAGUAAGGAAAGUCGUGAUGUAAAAGCCAACCCAAGAGUGGAUUUUCCUAACAAUCCUAGAAAAGAAGGCAAUGUGAUUCCUGUUAUUGUACCCAGAAGUAGCUCAAGAAGGGAUCUGGCUUCUGAUUCUAGCAAUGAAACCAGUAGACCCAGCACAAGAUUGGAUCUUUCUGUUGACCCUGAAAAGGAAAUUAGUGAUAUUUCACCUACAGUUGCGAGGACUAGUUUAAGAAGAGAUCUUACUACCGAUUCUGGAAGGCCAAGUGGUUCUGGAAGAUCAUCACUACCAUAUGCAAUGCGGUCAAAGUUAGCUGGUUCUCAUAGAAUUUCAAGUAUCAGAGAUGAUUCAGAGAGAGAAAUUGCUGCCAUCAAUACUUGUUCUAUGGUGAAAGAUGAUGCUGGAUCUAGCGAAUUUCGAGACCUGUUCACUGUUUCUGUUGAUGAUAACAAAAAGCCGGUGCCUGCUACUGAGAGGAACUUGGAGGCUGUUAGAGUUAGUACCGCUGGGAUGUAUGGAGCAAACAGAUUGGUGAAUGCUAGUAAAAGUUACAACAUUGGAUAUCGUAAGUGCAUAUACUUGGGGAAUAAAUCUAUUAGAAAUUUAAAGUUAUUGCAAACUUGUUCCUUCAGUACUUCUCUUCUUAUCACCAAUCUUCCUGACCCCCCGCCCCCCCACAAACCUUUAAGGAAAAAUCUACUCUUUAUAGGCUAGCUUGCAUAGGCUAAGAUCAGUCUGCUCACAUGCUUGUCGACUGUCUGUGUGACAAAAAGUUCUUACUAGUAUUUUUCCAUUUAGUUUCUCUCAGUAUAGUGUUGUCCUGACAUAGGUCCUCUUUUCAAUUAAAUAUGUUAGACAUUGACUUCCUUUGGGGUUGGGAAGUAAAUACUAGGCUUAUGCAAUUCAGAUUUAUUUUCUUAAAGCAAAUUAGUUAUGGUAGCAUGAAAAUAAAACACAAUUUAGUUAUGGUCACAUGCUUAGCUAACCCCACUGGUAACUUCUUCCUUUACUAUUCUACUUUUGAUGUCUAAUUUUUUUUAUCAACAAAUUACCAUUAUUUGUGGAGGAUAAUGCCUUCAAAUAUAUCUGUUACAUCUUAGCUCAAUUCUCUUUCUUCCUCACCUUCCGUUCCCCUAUCCCUAAACUUGUAUAAUAAUCUCAUAUAUUUUAAACUGAAAGCAUAUCAUUUCCUUUUGUAAUUACCAAUGUGAAAGAGGGAUGCCUUAUUUGUUGGAGGUUCAAUAGGAGGUAUGCUAUCUUGUAUAUAAACAUGUUAACAUUUGUUAACCUUUAGUACUUGCUGUCAUAAUAUGUAGGAAGAACAAGGUCGCCUGCUGCUAGUUGGGAUAGGAAUGAAAAUGCUUCUAUGUAUGAAGGCCGAACGAGUAGCUAUGCCUCUGGAGCCACAUCUACUGAUGAGAUAAAUUUUUCGGUAUGACUAUUUUUUCUCCAGAUUUUGAGUACUCCUUUAAUGAUCUUUCCAUAGCUGCUGCUAUUCUAUAUUUUUGAGUCUUGUAUGCUGUGGAUUGAAUUGGCAAUGCUUAACGUACACUUGCGUGUCAAUAACAAUUCUUCCCAGUUUGUUUACCUUCUUGUGCAUACAUGCAAAUGAUGCAUAGGUAUAACAUUUGUCUUGAAGAAGAAUAGGCAAAGGAAUGGCUGGCUUAAAGGACUCUAAACAUACAGUAUGAGGAUUGCUGGAAAUUACAUUUAUACCUGAGCUUAGCUUAUUCGAACUAAGGAAAUUACAAUGUUCCAAAUCUGAUGCCGAAGUUAGCAGAUGAUUCAGGAUAUAUUUCUAUUAGUUUAUAGGUUGCCACUAAAUUAAGGACUGAAUGAAAAUAAUUAUAUUCUGUUAAAUGAUUUUUAUACCCAAGGAAAGUGGAUGUAGAUCAAUAUGAAUCAUGAAACAUAGAGCUAAGAUAAUGAACUUGGAAACUGCUCUUUGAUAAUUAGUUAGACAAACAUUGCAUAUGAUUAUAGUUUUGCAAGCUAAGUUCCCCUUUUUUUGUAAGAAAAAAAUGUUCCAUCCCUACAACGCCUUCUGAUCUUUUGAGCAGAGGGGCCGCACUUCAUCUGCUGGCAGAGAAACAGUAUCCGCUAGUGAUGAGGAUGCUAUUGCUGAUCUAGCAGAACAGCAUGGAGAGUUCUUGACAACAGGGCAGUCCCGGUUAACUAAAUUACAGGUGAUUAUCUGCUGUAUGUGUUGAUAAACUUUCCUGCUUCCAGCUGUACAGAAACCAACAAUAAAUACAUUAGUGUUAGCUGAUGAAUUUCUUUUUUUCCCCAUUUAUGGAGUAAGUCUGUAUUCAGUGUAUGAUUAGACAUCGACGGCUCCUUCAUGCUAAUAUAAAUUUACAUACUUUAGUCUGUAUUUAAUUCUUUAAACUGAUAAAUUUACGUACUUCAUUCACAUCAGUUUCUCUGCUGUUGAGAAUCUCAAAGUCUUUGAAGUUUGAACACACUCCCACCUGCCUGCUGAGUGCUGAUGCUCAGCCACCUUUUCUGUUGGCAGCAUCAUUGCACAACUUUGGCAGUUUUAGUUUGUGUGUCUACAUGCACUCUUGCUAUUUUGUGAAUUUUCUCGUCAAGUGUAUGACCAUUUUAAUCACCUACAUCCUAAGAGUUUGUGUUUUACAUAAUAACGGUUUAUAUCAAACAGAAGUAUUUAAGAAUGAGUGUCAUCUUCCGAGGGUUUUUCUGGACUCUUGCUGUUUUACUUUCAUAUUCAAAGUACAAAUAUGAUGCUACUGAUAAAUGUCAGUUACCUUGAAAUGUUUGUAAAUUCUCUGGACAACUUGCAGGUAGUCCACCGGCUUUGGCAAAAGAAUGAUGUGAGGGGUGUCAUUAAUGCAAUGCAAAGAAUGUCAGAUAAUGCUGUAUGUGUUUUAUAUCAUCUCUUAUUUAUUUUUACAUGGGAUAUUUUAGUGAACUUUCAUACUUCUGGCACAGGUCUCAGCUGACGUAGUUAGUGUUUUGAUGGAAAAGAGCGAUAUCAUAACACUUGAUCUUUGCACUUCUCUCCUACCACUCAUCACAGGCCUUCUCGAAAGCAGGUUUGACAGGUACCUUCUUUACACACUCUUUGCUGAAAUUGUGUUAUCCAAAUAUUUCCAAGGCAUCAAAACAUGGUUUGUAGUAUUAAAGUGAUUCUGUGAAUGUGCCCAUUGGUACGAGGCAGUUGAGUUUACUAACUUCUCGAUGCUAAGCGGUCGCCUGUGUAAAUUCCUUUGAAGAGAUGAAUUGGCAGUAUUUAUAUAGAACCGAUCUCUAGGAUUUGGCUAAACAAAUACAGAUUGUAACUUAGAAAAGCCGAAAUAAAGAGACGUGCUUAACUGCUUUACCAAAUUGUACAAAUAUAUGAGGUAAAUGUAUGAUAGCAAAAUGUAUGUUAUAACUUUCGCUUUUAGCUGUUUUAGUACAUUAAUAAUGGAAAGAAAUAGUUUCAGCCUAUGCAGAAUGUGUGUUAUAUCUGUAUUUUCAGUACAGAUAGAAUAUAUUAGCUAGCCUGUGUAUAACUCCUUGCUGGUGCCUGUUUCUUUUACCGUAGAGUGUGGAUACAUAUCUGCUAUUUAGUAUCUAGAAUACUCAUAUCUUGCAGUUUGGAGCUCUGCCUCAAUUUUGUUACUUUUAGGUUAAAAUGCAGAAAACACUCACAAAUAUCUCAAUUUUCACGUUAUUCAAUGAAAUAUUAGAACCUACAUUUUACACCAUUCACCCAUGAGCAAGAUAUGUUGCCUAGUGGAAUAGGUGGCAUCAAAGGGUAAUAUAUAGGCUUUGAUAUGUCGGCAAAGCUAAGUGAAACUCCCACUAAUUAUUGGGUUUUUCCUGCCAAUCUUGGCCUACACUACAAACAUUGUUGUGAAUUGAAAUUUGAAGUUAACCUCUGUCAAUUGUUAUUUGAGUAAUAAAUACCCUGGUCACUGAUGAUCUUGAGUCACAGACAUCUAGGCAUUGCCUUGGAUAUGCUGCUUAAGCUUGUUAAAAGCUUUGGUCCUUUAAUCCACUCAGCUAUAUCUGCUGCUCCAUUGGUUGGUGUCGACCUUGAGGCAGAGCAAAGGUACUUAGUUCUGCUUUCUUCUAUUCUCAAUUUAUUUUCUGCUUCUCAUUACUUUUUCUAUUCCAUGCUAGGUUGGAGAGGUGUAAUCUAUGCUUCAUUGAGCUGGAAAAAUUAAAAACUAGUCUCCUACCGAUCACACGGUAAUUUGUCUUUCUUGCCAUUUGGAUGGGAAAAUCUCAUUGCUGUAAAUGCUUUUGUCUGAAUUUGAAAUACUUGCAUUCAAACUGUUAUUUUCUCUUGUUAAAGAAAAAGGAAGAGGCAAAAAAUGCAUUGGACCCCCCAAACACCUCCCUUUUAAAAAAUUUCCAUCACGCUACACAGUUUCUAAAAUAUUCUAUCAAGUAAUGGAGUAUUCGGUUCAAGACUUCAAGUUUAUGUAAAAUUCCCCCAAAAAGUUACACCAUAAGUUCGAAUAGAACUUUAUUAAAUCAAAAUCAAACUAGUAAUUGAAUAUUUUGUCAAAAAGUUACACCACAAAUUGGUUCAAGUCCAAAAUAACUAAGUAAAGAAGAAUAGUGCCUUGUUUCCAAAUGACCACCUAUAGUUUGGUCGAUAGGUUGUCCAUAUGGUUUAAACCAAAACAAGACAGAUGGUAGAAGAAUAGAAGAUUCUUGCUAAGAUGAUGAAAUCAUCUUUUUCUUUUUUGACAGUCGCGGAGGUUCUAUUGGGAAGUCUGCACAGGAGUUAAACCUUGCUCUUCAGGAUGUUUUCUCAGCGACCAACUAAACCCUAUUGCAUGAUUCUUUUGCUUAAUCCUACAACACAGCACUAGUUUUAAUACGGGUGCCAAUUCUAUUGCUUCUCUAAUUCGCACAAAUAUAUUAGUACAAUGGUUGCUUAUGGUUGCUUAAUAUGGGUGCCAAUUCUUUUGCUUCUCUAAUUCAAUCAUAGUUCCUGUACAAGCUAAUUUAAAUGACCAUCUCACUUCAAAGAGCCAGAGCCUGUGGUAUAUGAAGAGACAGUGAGCUGCACCGAAGAAACUAUUUGAAGGUAUGGCAAGUUAUAGCAUGCACAUAAAGGGUUCAAUUAACAUGCUGUUUGUAUUUUAUUUUAUUUUUUUUUUGUAUAUUUCAAAGGGGCAUAACGAAAAGAGCUUUUUCUUUUUCUUUUCUUCUUUUCUUGUACAUGAAUGAUGUUGGCAUACAUUCGUUUAAGUGUAAAAAUCUAUUCUUCCUGAUAGCAGUCAUGUCUUACUCUGUAUUGAUCAACCUCCUUGUUAUCUUCAUGCCAACAUAAUCACCAAGCUGUUGCUUGCUUCAAUUGUUCUGCAAUCUAAUGCACCUUGAUUAUGGUAUUCUUAUGAUUCCCAUAUGCUGUAUUGUCAGUAUUUCCUUGUAAAUAGGGCUGUGAUUGAUUUUGGGGAUCGCAUGCUUUUUCCUUUAGCAGACGAGGCCUACAAGACCUCUUUUCUAGAUAAUAUGUAAUGUCAUUUCUGCUUUUUAUUUUUAUUUUUUAUUUAUUUAUUUUUGUUGUCUUCCACAGAGUCUUAUCCAAACUGUGAGACCCAAAUGAUUUUUGUCCUCUAUUAGAGACAAUUGAAAAGGUAUGACAAUCAAUGUAGAUGGAGAAUGGUGGAAAUUAAAUGGUCAUCAGAUCUCAAAUGGGAGUGAAUACAUCUGCAAUUUUUCGAAUUGUAGAGGUAUAUAAUGUUUCUAUGAGAAAGCUAAUUAUAAAUUAUUGAAAUUUUGAAGGAAUAUAUAGGUAGCUACUUUAGGAAAGGAGAAAUUAUUACCCGGAUAUGGUCCACCAUGUUAGACGUGAACCAUGUAGCGAUUUAUUCAGAAGGUCAUCUUAAUUUACUUUCCGUUUCUCGCCUUUUUAAAAGUACAGAAGGGGUGAAGGGGGGAUUAACUGUUGCACAAAGUGGCCUAGUUGACAUGGUGGAUGAAGUCUGGAUUUUUCUUUUUAUUUUUUAUUUUUCAUUUUGUAUUUCUAUUUAUUUGUUUUUGUCUUUGUUCUUCUUUUUUUUUUGUGUGUGUGUGUGUGUGUUGAGGGAGGAUAACACAUGGGAUGUUUCAUGGCACAAAGAAGAAAAAGAACUCGUAAACAACAUGCUUGAUUGCGAUCCAACGCAGCUGUAAUUGCCCUCAAAAUUAAAGUUGUCAUGUACUUUGGGUCCGUUUGUUUUGGUGUAAGUGGAGGGAUGGAACUCAAGUUCCAUCACUUUCGUUAUUUUUUCUGGUGUAAGUCAAAAAUAUAAUGUAACUCAAGUUAUGUUAGACCUCUACUUCAUUACUUCGACUUUCUCCUCUAAAGUGUCGAACUUGACUUCUGUCACACUCAACCUCCUCUAAAAAAUUUAUUAAAUAGUAAAACCUAAACUCUACUUCUUUAUAAUGGGUUAGAAUUACUUUAUUUAUAAUAAAUUAGGAUUACCUUUAAAUAAUAAUGAAAAUUUUAAUUAUAUAAUAGGUUAAAUUUUAUAGCGAUAAGUUUAUCACAAUAUUUUAUGAGAUAACGAGAUCCACUUACUUAUAUCAAAACAAACAAUAGAACUCAAAAAACUAAUUUCACCAGCAUCAAGUUAUAUCAAAACAAACAGAAGAAGUAAUUGAAUUUAACUUUCAGACUGUACGAGUUACGCCAAAAUAAAUAACAAAAAAAUAAUCACACUUCAGAGAAACUCAAAUACCACUAUACUUGAGUUGUGUUGGAUCUACAGAUUAAUCAAUCCAAACGCCCCCUUAGAAUUCUUGCACUUACACCCCUGCUAUUUAAGGAGAAGCCCAUGAUUUUCACAAUCCAACAGACUUAGAAAUUAAGGAAACACAAAUCUCUCUUUAAAUCCUUUGAAGUCACUCUCUGUGUAUUAUGUCUUAUUGUCUUUAUCCUUUGGGAGACAAGUAGAUUCAAAAAUCUUAUCUUCUUUUAUGAAUAGUAGACACAACAAGAAAAGGGCAUUUAAUGUCUGUGGCAUCUUACUAUUUUCAAGCAAAUUCUUAGUCCUCAAUAGCCUUUAUACAGCUUAGUAUAGUUUACUGAUGUUAAAUGCAUUUGUACUUUUAUGAAUUUUCUUUGAAGUGUACAAGUUAAUUUGCUUUUGUUUGAAGUGUGUUAAGUUGAUUUUAUUUUAAACUGACCUCUUUGUCUUAUUGGAGAAUCCUCUGACUCGGGUACCUCAGCUAUUUGCAUGUUCUUCUGCAUCAUAUGAUGCAGUUUAUUCAAACUAUAUGACAUAAAUAUAUUGUGUUUUUCACAAGUUUACCUCAAGCAAGUUCUUAGUCUACAAUUUCCUGUUGCAUUUGCAGCAUUUUUCACUUGAUAUUUAAUGCUUUUGUAUUCUUCUGAAUUUUGUUUGAAGUGCAUCAGUUAGGUGAUUUUGAGUCUCGACCUCUAUUUUAGUUCCUGCACGUCACAAUGUCAUGCAAUAUAUAUAUAUUUAUAUAUAUAUUUGACGUCCGGCUAGGUAUACUAUCAUAUGCUAUGAGGAUUGUCAUGCCUAGUCUAUAUAUAAUAUAUAUAUCAUGAACUAGGAUGGAAUACCAUCAAUAGCUAUCGAUACCAUCAAUAGCUCUCGAUAUAUAUAUAUAUAUAUAUGAACUAUAGGACUUUCUGAUGUUGUCCCCAUUUGAAAACACUUUUGAAAAACCACUGUGUAGAGAGAGGUCACAAAAUCAGAGUGCCAAUGGAAGAUUCUGGCUCUGCUUGGUACUGUUACAAUUGUUUGUUUUUCUGAAGCACAAAUAUUAUGAAGUAUGCAACUGGAUGGCAUAUUCCACAGUUUCCACAUAUCUAAGAGUGUACUUAGGAGAUAAAAAGAAGUUGAUGGUAACUUUUGUUUGCUUGUCUUAUUGCGAAGAUGGUACCUCUUGGCAUCUAGCCAGGAUGCAUUCCAACUUAACAAACAAUAAUGAGAAUAAAUAAUUUCAUCCGCCAAUGAAUCCAAUCACAUAGAAUUUGUGAAAAACAGCACAUGUUAUUCCUUUCAUUUUGUUUGAAGAGAAGAAUAGAAUUGGAAGAAGAUCAAUUCUGUGAUGUUAUUAGAUAUACUUUUAACUACUAGUUUGCACAAUUCUUUACUCUAGACAUUAGUCUCUGUUAGAAUUUAUGAUUUCAAGUUGUUCUGUCAAAUCUGCAAUUACUUCACAUUGAAUCGGUUACAGAUAAUACCAGCCGAAUAUGUGGUGGAAUAAAGAAAAGGUUUCCUUGGCCAAAUGAGGGUGUAUGGAUGGUCCAUAGAGGGUUUCUUGAUCUGGGUUGAAGCAUCUCCACUUUAGCUCUAUAACAUCACAUGUGCUCUUAGUAAUUGCCUACUCUUUUGUCGGUCCUGCGUAGGGUAAUAGAUCAGGAAGAAUUUUUUUUGCCUUUUGUUGUAUUCUUCUCUGCUGAUCAUUCAUUAUGGCAUUAACCAAUAAUAGAUGGCUCUGUAGAUACUUUUGCUCAAUAAAUACAUACUAGUGUAAUGCGUAUUAUCUGGACCUUGUGGUGUCACAGUAGUUUGGUUCUGAGUUUCGCGAAAACAAAGAACAUUAAGCUAUUGAACCAUGUGAUUUGUAUGAAAUCUAGUGAUAUAUAAUUGAAAAGGAUUUUGGGCUUGAAGAAUAUACUGAUAAGAAUAUACCAUGUCAAUCUAGGAUUAAAUAAGUUACAAAAAAUCUUCUUGCUUUCAUUUUUUGUGUUUGGUUGCAAGUGAAUAUAGGAAAAGGACGCAAAGAGGUGGAGAAAAUGGAUUUAUGAGGAAAUAAAGUGAGAAUCUUAUAUUCUGAUCAAUCAUAGAAUUUUGAUUAAAACAAGCAGAGAAGAUAAUACUAUAUGUAAGUCAGUUGAUCCUUGUCCCUUGUUUUCGACAGAAAUCAUGUGUUUGUUUCAUAGAAUGUGUUAGUACUCAGAAAAGCAAUUAUGCUGUAAUCAAUAGCAAAACUGCGAAAGUGACUGAGAGUUAAUUUGGUACGCAAUCAAAUCAAACCUAUAUUUAUCCUUUUUGACCAGGAAGUGAUAUUACGCCCUAUUAUCUUUUGUUUAGAGGGGCAGAUGAAAUUUAUUGAACAUGAUUAAAUUCAGUCGGUGAAUAUUUAGUAGGUUUAAUGUAUCUAUCUGUCUGUUAAUGUUGAAAUCAAGUUUUGUUAAUUGCACCACUCUUUUUGGCCUAUUAUUUCUUGUAGAUUUUCAGCAUCAGUUAUUUUGUUAGGACCUCUUUUUGAAAUUAGGUCACUCGUAACUCUACAGACUGUUUAUCUAUUUAUUCAAGAAGCUGGCUGUACAAAGAGCUCUGUCAUGCAAUUUAUGAGAUAAUGAACUUCUUCCUCAUGCCUGUGAAUUAAUUGGUACCAAGACAAUAAAGAAUAGUAUUUAUAAGGAGAUCCACCCAAAAACAAGAAAGGAGAAAAAUAAGCUGAAAAAUGAGGAGAUCCACUCAUCAGAAGAAGAAAAAAAAAAGGAGAAAAAUUAUGUUUGUGUAUUCGUCAGAAUAAGUCUAAUCUCCUGAUACUCUUGGGAUUUAUUGAUCAAAGAGAACCAAUUCAUCUAGAACUAGAAGAAGAUUGACCUACAUACAAUUAGUGAUAGGACAAAUAACAGUGCUAACAUUUACUUUUAUAUUCCUACAAAAUCAGAAUUUUCUCAUACUCAAGUCAACUUUCCUCAUGGAAUCAGAUGAGAGCUGGUUUUUUUUUUUUUGUGCAAGAAACAAAGCUACCCAAAUAAAAAGUAACAUUGAGGGGAGCUUCUAGGCAUAAAAUAUUUGAAGUUUAAACACCCAAUCCCUUGAAGCUAUUCCUCUCUAUGCUGGUUGCAGCAUUCUGUCACUGCACAAGGUUGGUUGGUCACAGGAAACCCUAAGCCAAUGGAGGUCCAGUGCAUUAACUCUCCACAUGACACAUUGAUGUUACUCUUUGAGUCACCCAUCUUCUUCAAUUGCUGUCACCUACUUAUAUAGCAUUUAAUUCAUGCUCAUAACUUGUGGAUCUUCCUCUAGGUUUCAUUUUUGAUUGGUUUCCAAGUCCAUGCAAUCUUGGGUAUUGAAUCUCCACAAGCUCCCUCCAUUUUUCAUCAUCUUUUUAGCACCAUAAUAUCAUCUUUGAGAUUCUGACUAGCAGCAUUAUUGAUUUGUUGUGUAUGUGAUGGAAAUACUGAACAAGUUAGGAGUUAUGGAUAAGAUGGAGAUGGCAAUCUUAAGCAUGAGAGUUAAUUUACUAGCCUACACAUGAUAACAUCAUUGUGGAUCUAAACUUUAGUUGAUCUAACACAAGACUCAAUUGGUGGAAGUACAAAUUUGUUGAGAAAAAAAUCACCAACUGCACAAAUUUUUUUUCUUUUUUCCUUUUUGGAUUGUCAAAUGUGAUCAUUUACUGCUAAAGUUCCAUGAAGAGUGUUUCUUAUUGUGUUUCCAUCAUUUUCUAAGCCUAGAAGCCAUAACUCUUCUUUUCCUUUUCUUUUUCCCCCCCUUUCUUAGAAGAAAGAAAGAAAGAAAAUCCACUUCCUGUGAGUUGUGACCUUUCAACUUCUAGCUGUCACAAGCAGUGAUCAAUAAAUGGCUAAACAGAAGAGAGUGGUCUCAUAUAGAAAAUGCUUUAAUAGCCCUCCAUGACCAAAACAAAUUUCAAAAAACUAUUUGACUAUUCUCAGUUGUCUCAUCAACACCGAAGAGAAAAAAUAAAAACCUUAAUCUUCUUAAUUCAAAUCAAGUAUACAUUCCUUGGUUCCUUUGGUGGUUAAAGCAACUCUGAAUGCUGAUAUACACACAGAAAAGACAACAACAAUUGGUUGAAAAGAAAGAGAGAAAGACCACCAGUUUAAUAAUCAAUUACUUUUACUGUAAUUUUGAACCUGGCCUUCUUAUCUUGUGCUGGCAGAGCUGGAUUGAGUUUCAACUACAUAAGUCCGAAGUGAAGGAGUCCGAUUAGCAAGAUCGAUCGAUGAAUUCCCGUACUGGAUAGUGCUCUUCUUCUGCAGCCUUCUUCGGGCGAUGUACCCUCUAAUCCACGGCGUCACGUCCUCGCUUACUUUGAUCAUGACGAAGAAGAGGAGGCGGUAGAUUAUGAUCAUGCUGAAGAGAACAGUUAAGUCCCACCAUUUCGAUCGGUUCACGUCGAUCUGGAACACAUUUUCGAGUAUGUAUUCACCGGGAAUUUUCGGAAGGUCCGGCGUCUGGUUAUCGAAUACGAGGCCCUUGAGAUCAUUCUGAUACUGACCCUGUUACAAUUGCAGUUACAUUCAAGCAAGGAUUAGUGAAAGAAUUUGCGGUACUGGAUACUAACUGAUCCGUGUUGUACAAAGUUUAACCUGCAAUGCCCAGUAGUGGAAGCUGAUGUACGACAUGGGGUAUCGCCAGAAAGGCUUCGGGAUGUCGUUGGGGAGUCGAAAGUAACCAGAGACCAACAUGAAUAUUCCCUGUUCAUGUUGGAAUUGUGAGCAAUUUCAGUAAUAAGAACAAUGCAAGUGAAAACGUUUGAAGACAUUGUACAGGUAAUAUACAUUUUCAGCAUUGCAGUAGUAGAUAGGAAAACACCCACAUACUGAUACACAGCAACAUCUGAUAACUUAACUUCUAUUCUAUUCAAACAUGUAUGUAGGUGACUAAGUUGCAAGGAUCAAAUUAUGAGAACCUGCAUUUUCUAUACCUGAAUCCCAGCUCCUAUGAUGAUUCCCAUGAGGAAAUUGGGGAUCACACUUGCUAUGGCCAUCAUCAAGCUCUCGACGACGGUGACACUCGCGUAGAGGCACAACACAAAGAAGAGGUAAUGCAUGAAACCGGGAUGCAGGCGCACCAUGAAAUAGCAUAUAGUUCCCGACGCGAACGUGAUCAGGAUCAGGAACGGCAUCGCUGAGAUCGUAUUGCUGAUCACAAAUGCAAACACACCAUAGUGUCCAUUCAUCCUCUCUCUCUGAAAAACCUGCACCAAGGGAAAUUAUGUUAAAGCCCGCGAAAGCAGUUGUUUUCUUCUACAUUUACUGCACGAAGUAGAGGUGCCGCGGACCUUCAUAUCCUCCACGAAUGAAGGGAAGCCUCCGAUCGACAUGAACGUGACGAAGCCAAAGACGAAUGAAGCGCACGCCCCCCUCGCCUGUUUCUCGAAACAAUUACACAGAUUUAGCACAUGACAUUGAUUUUUCUGAUAAAUGUGUUCAGGAAUUGUAAUCAAUUCAAGCUUGGUAACUUUUUGAGUGGAUAACAUUACCAGGAUGGAACUAUAUCCUGUUCCCACAUUCAGGUAAAUGGUUCCAAUGCAAAUGGUCACAACAAGGUAAAUAACAAGCCUCAACCAGUAGUAUCCGAAAUCUCUCGACAUGUUUACGAACGAUCGCUUGGUUAGCGUAAAAGCCUGCAUGCAGAAACUAGCUUGACUUCCUCCAGAAUCCAACACUGUCCCUUUCUGCCGCCGAAAAACAGACAGAAAAAACUCAUUUAUCAGUUAAUAGUUAUGUCGGUUCAUUUACGAGAUUGCGGUGUUGCAGUACAUACAACUUGAGAGAUUUCAUCCACUUUCUGCCUCGCUGCGUAGUGGUACUGCGAAUGGCGGUAAAACUCGAUUAGCCUUCUGAUCGCUUCUGCCGUCGUGAUUCUCUCCAGCGGAUCGUCGGACUUCUCAAACUGAAGCGAAGGUACGAGAAAUUCAAACUCUUUAUCGACCCGUGAGUGUAUGAAAAACUAAUAGUAGAAGAUCGAAUCGAACGAAAUGUUUCACGCGUACCCGUGUUUUAAUCGAGCCCUUCAGAGUAGCUUUCACCUUAUCGAAGUCCGAGUUUAUGCACCUGAGGAAAUGGUCUGAUGGGUUCCUCAGAGACGGGCAAGGGAACCCGGCUUGAGCGAAGAACUAUCAAAAUGGCAGUGUAGAUAGAUGGUGAAAACACUACUUAAAAGGAGAAAGAUCUGCAACAACUAUAACGGGGAUCGAUAUUCUUCGACAUCGAUUCUACCUCACAUGCUUCAGAAGCUUGCCCAAAGUAAACAGUUUUGCCGCCCGAGAGCAGGAAAAGGCGAUCGAACAGCUCGAAAACCUCGCUGCUCGGCUGGUGGAUCGACGCGAUCACGGUCCUUCCAUCUCUCGCCAGAGCGCGCAGCGUUUGCGUCACGAAGAAAGCCGAAGCACUGCGCGUUUGAUCAGUACACUUAUUCAUUCACAUUCAAAACUAAAACAAAAACAAAAUAAAAAAAACAAGUGAAAGACAAAUCAUCUGCAUCAUCAUGCCAAUAUAAGAUAUAUAUGAUAUAUAGAUCCUUAACAUAUAUAUAUAUACCAAUCGAACAAAGUGACAAAAGUGACAAAUGAACAUGUGCAUCAAAUUUGUCACAACAACAACAACAACAACAACAUAUAUAGACAAGUAAAGUUCACAAGAGUACUACCUAGUAGCAUAUAUAUAUAUAAUCAUAAUUGUGUAUUUAUUAUUAUUAUUAUUACAUGUAGAAUUGAAAUGGUGAGUUUGUAAUGAAGUUAUAUAUAUGUACUACCUGUCGAGACCGCUUGUGGGCUCAUCGAGAAAGAGCAAUCGGGGCCUCAUGAGGAUCUCCAGUGCAAUGCUGACGCGGCGCUUCUCGCCGCCGCUGAUGCCGCGCAGGUGCCAGUUGCCGAUGACGGUGUCGGCGCAGUCCUGCAGGCCCAUCUCGACGAUGGUGCCCUCGACCAGCGCCCGCUUCUCCUCCCUCGGCAUCUUGUCCGGCAGCCGGAGACGCGCCGAGUACGAGAUCGUCUCGCGCACCGUCAGCGUCCCGAUCAGGUUGUCGUCCUGAGUGACGUACGCCUGCAGAGAUCGCGGCGCCGCUUAGAUCAUGACAUAAUAUUACACAAGAGAUCUUAAUUAUUUAUUAGUAAGCGAUCCAUGAUCCAUCAUCAUAUAUAGGAGAAUGAUCAAAAGCAAAUUAACCCUUGGUGUAAGUACAUGUGUUCUCUUCAUUCUUUUAUUAUUAUUAUUAUUAUUAUUAUUAUGAUUUUCUUUUUCUCAUCCAACUAAUCUACACGACCACUAAAUCCAUCUUCAUAAUAACUCAAUUAUUAUCAUAAUAAUUAUUUCGUUUCCUUAGCAAAAACACAAAAACGUAAAUAAAAAAAUAAAAAAAAUAUUAUAUUAUAUUAUAUUAUUUUAGAAAUAGUAAAUGCGGAAAUAGUUUUUAGUAACAUAAUAUGAAUAUGAAUAUAGAUAUAUAGAUAUGGAUAUGGAUGAGUGAGGAGAAGUAGUGAAUGAGUGAGUAAUAGUUUGCGUGGUUGUGGAAGGGACGGAUUUAUAUGUAUAUAUACCGCGGUGCCGAAGGAGAGCUUGGCUUUGCGGCCGUUGAGGAGGACGGUGCCGGACAUGAAGGCGUUGGCGGCGAGGCGGCCGGCGAGGGCGUCGAGGAGGGUGGACUUGCCGGAGCCGGAGGGGCCCAUGAGGGCGGUCAGCGAGCCGGGCUCGGCGUAGCCCGUCAGCCCCUCCAGCACCGUCUGCGUCUCCCCUCCGCCGCCCACCGUCACCGUCACCGUCAGCUCCUUCCACGUCAGCCUCGCCGACACGUCCCCCAGCAGCUCCGUCGCCCCCCGCUCCUUCCACAGCGUCUCGCUCAGCGGGCUCAGCCCCACCGCCCCCGCCACCAUCCCGUUCCCCGCCGGCUUGCUCGCCUCUAUCUCCACCAUCACCUGCCCUGCUGCCUCCACCCUCGCCCUGUUCUCCCCUCCCCCGCCCCCUCCCUCCAUUAUCACUUUUACAAGUUGAAUUUACUCGUAUAUAUCUAUAUAUAUAUAUAAUUGUGUAUGUUGUAUCUCUCCUUUUAUGUCUAUAACUAUAUAUAUAGAUGAACUAACUAGUUAGUACUUCGGAGCUAACUAGGAAGAGAGAGCAUCUAGAAGAAGAAGAAGAAGAAGAAGGGGGGGAGGGGUGGUUAGAGCAGAGGGGAAGGGAGGAGGAGGGGAGUUGGGAGGAGGAAUGAGAAUUGUAUGGUUGGGAGUUGUGUUGACUAAAGAGUGGGAACUGGGGAAUACAUACAUGCAAAUGGAGCCUGGGGGUUGGCUUUUGUGUGUGAAGCCUCCCACAUCAAAUUUAUUAUCUAUUUCGUUUCAUUCAUCAUUCUUUUUUUUUCAUCUAUUAAAAUUAUUAAACAAAAAUACUUUUUUAUUUUUGUCUCUCCAUAGAAGGUACCAAAUAGCCAAUUAUCGGUCUCGAGUUCACUAUUUUUAAAAAUAAACUCAGCUGAAAAUAUAAAGUAAUUAGAUUAUAUUUUUUUGAAUAAAAAAAUAUGUCAACGAGAAGAUGAGAAGUUGUGGUCACGCGAUACAAUUGCCUUUAUUUAUUUAUUUAUUUAUUUAUUUAUAUUUAUUUUAAUUUGGGGGUUUGAUGGGAAGGGAUGGAUCAUAGAUUUGAUUUCAUUAAUGGGAGGCGGGUGGAUGUUGGUGGUGCAUUUAAUGUAGCGGCAGCCACUCUUCAUUUACGGCUCUAUAUAGUAUCCAAAUUAAACUUAAAGUUAAUGUGCACAUGAGAUACAUUGAGAGACAAAAAAAAAAACAGUAUUUUUAAUGAGUGGAUAUUAUUUAUACGGUGGACGUUAAAUAUAAAAAAAAAUUUAAACAACCAUUCUCCCACCGGUUCUGAAUUCGAAUCACGUCAGGCCUUUAGCAUUAUUAAUUUUGUCCUAUUUUAUUUUCGUCCACACGUUAUGAGACUACUCUUAAAUGCAAUAGAGAAUUUGCAUGGAUAUAAACUCAAAUAGAUGAUUAUCAAACUUUGUGUGUAUAAAUUCUUGUAUAUGUACUAAUGUACAUGCUUCAAAUUCUUCGUAUUUAUGGCGAACUCAUAAUUAUGAAAGAAGAUUGAACACCUAAUAAUAAUAAUAAUCACUCUUUCGAAAAUAGAUAAUAAGAAAAUUUAUUUGAAUUGUAAUUUAAUUAUAAUUAAAUUAAAUGCUUUCAUUCAUAUGAUAGAAUGUGCAGGGGUUAAAUUAAAUAAAUCCAACCCUUGCUAAUAUACAUAAUCGAAAUAAAUAAAUAAAUAUAUAUAUAUAUAUUUGGUUUUUAUCUUAACAAUUUUUUUUUUCUUUUAAGAAACAAGUUUUAAACUCUAAAUCUGCAAACACUUGAGCUGCUGAAAAAAAGCUAUUAUGCAACCCUUUUUUGGACUCAAAAUGUCACCACUUUCUAUGUCCAACGUAGAUAAAAUCCAGUAGAUUCUUACAUUGUUAAAAAAGGCAAAAAUUACCUUUUCCAUAGUAAUAUGCAUCCAAAAAGCUAUGUAAAUAGGAUUUAAAAGAAGAGGUUGUGCAAAAUUUAUGAACUGGUGCUUUUUGUGUUUCCACUUGAGUUUAAUUUGAGAACAAUAAAUGAAUCACUGUGAAUUUGUGCCCAACAAACAACCACCCCACAUCCCUUCCACUAAUAAUAGAGAGAAAAAAAAGAAAAAAGAAAAAAAGAGAGAGGUGGUGUAUAGGAUAAGGGGAUGGGUCGGUGUAGUCCAAACAACUGCUUUAUUUUUAUUUUUAUUAUUAUUAGGUUAAUUUCAUACAUGUUCCUACAAAUAUAGAAAAUUACAAAUAUAUCUCUACAAAAAUCAACUUUCAUAUGUUGUCUCUACAAAAGUCCUAAUAUAUUUUCAAAUAUGUUUCUCUGAUUAAUUUGUUACCGUUAAAGCACUGUUUAUUUUAUAAUUGAAUAAUCUUUUUGUCAUCACAAAUAUACCUUUCCAAAAGUCCUAACUGCUAAUUAAAAAAGGAUAAAAAGGUUAAUUCACCUUAUUAACUAGCUAGAGUUAAGUAUUUUACCUACGGUUAACUAAUUUGUUUCUAACAGAUAUUCGAAAAUAUCAGAAUUUUUAUAGGAACAAUAUAUGAAAGUUGAACUUUGUAGAAAUAUAUUUGUAAUUUACUAUGUUUACAGGGACCUAUAUGAAAUUAACCUUUUAUUAUUAUUAGUUUUGUUAGCUUUGUUGUGACUCUAAACAUGACUUGGUUUGAAACCAUAGAUAGAUAAAAAAAACUUGGACAAAAUAUAUAUGUUUUCUCCUUUGGUAGGAGCAACUUUGGAGAAAGUGAUAAUAAUAAAUAAUUGGUAGGUUUGUAAAAUUUUUUAGGUUAUAUUAUUACAAACGUGCCUACGUUUAAGAAUGGAGUGUGAUGAUAUAUCUAUUUUAAUAUUAACAGGGCAAAUUUUUUUUAUCAAAUUAAAAAUUUUCCACAUAGAAUAGUGAAAUAUACAUGUAGCAAUACAAACGUUUUCUUGGCUGGUCGGGACGAAUUUGGAGCGAGUUGAUUUUUCUAUCCUAAUUUGCUCCUCACUUACCAUUCUAGUCGGGGUGGGCUGAGGUAGGACUAUAGUUUUAGCAGAUUUUUGAUGUAUCGGGACCGAUCAAAAAAAGUAUGAAAUUUUCUCUCUUACUUUAUUUUCUUAAUAAUUUCGUAAAUAAUUUCGUAAAUAUUCGUAAAAAUUUAGCCCUUACUUACCAUCUCAUUCGGAGAUAAAACAGGGCAUGAGCUCCACCAACUCGGAUCGAUCGAUUUGCACAGCUAGUCAAAAAGCAAUAAGUAUGAGAGCUUAUGAUACAAGCAUUAAAUGAUUUUGCAAGAAGCGAAAGCCGAAUUUAAAUCAUCUAUCUUGAUAUAGAGAUACCAAUCAAUUGCAGUAGACAAGGUUUCCACCUACAGCAAUUUCAUAAUAAAUCCCAAAGAAGCUUUACUUCUUUUUUUUAAAAAAAAAACUCAUUAUUCUAAGAUUUCUCUAAUCUUUUAGCCAACUAUUUUCAGUUUUUUUUUCUUUUCUUUUUUUUGGGUGCACAGAACAAAACAAAAGAGAAAAAGAGUUAUAAAUAAAAAAAAAUAGCAAAAACAAUAUAUAUAAAUAUAUAUUGGUGUGUUCACGAGGAGGAGCGAGUUGUCACGCAGUUGGGGGCCUCAUCAACUCAUGCAGAGAGAGCCAAAAUAACUCACGAAAGGGACCAGGUCCUGUACCUUCGAAUGAGAAGGACACGUGUACAGCGGAAAACAACAUCUCAACGCUUGAUUGACGGCUACGAUUCACCAGGACAAAAAAUAAACUUUUUUAUUAAAAAAAAUAAAGCUAAUUCCUCAUGUAGCUAACCCAACUUAUUAUCUAUUAUCUAUUACUCUAUAUGAAUUCUCAAUAAAAUUGAUGGCAUGAUAAGCCCUCAUUUUUUAAAAUUUUUUAAAUUUUUUAUAGUUUUUAAUGGUGGUUCAUUUUUUUUAUUCUUACAUUUAAUGUUAUUAAUAGUUAUAACUCCAUUAAUACUCACCUCUUAAUUACUCUUUAAUUUUAUUUAUAUCCCAUAUAAAUUUUUUAAUAGUGAAAUAUUUAAGACAUUAAUUAUAAAGAGAAAAAACUGUCUAAUUAUUGCCCAAGAAUAAUGGCUUCAGUUUUACAUGUUUAUAUUUUUACUAUCUUAUUAUAUUUAAUGUUGCUAAUGAUAGCUGCAUAUUACAUGCAUAUGUUUUCCUUUCCUAAUUAAUUAAAUAAAUACUAUACUUUAGGUGACAAAUUAAUAUGUGGUAGUAAAUAUAGCUUCUCCAAGCUUGAUAAACCCCAAACCCCACAUCCGCGAUCUCUCUGUCGAGCUCUUCCGCUCUCCUUCCCAAACCCUAAAACCCCAACCUUUCCUCUUCCUCCGCACCCUCCCUCGCCGCCGCCCCUCCGAUCGGCGGCGCCUCCUCUCCGCCGGCCCCGCCGCCGUCCAGGCGGCGGUGGCCAUCUAGAAGGAGACCCCGGAGGAGGAGCGGCCGGAGACCUUCCUCCACAUGGCGGACCUCGCUAUCGCCACGUCCGUGGGCGCGCGGUUCGAGCGGAUGAUCCGCGAGGCCCUUGACGAGGUGUGCGCGGCGCUCAAGGCCGCGGACGGGGGCGCCGCGUUCAAGGAGGAUGUGUGGUCGCGCCCAUUUACAACAAUUUCAAACUCUUAUACGACCCCCACUCCUACCCUCGAUCACUCCUUUCUCGAAAAAAUGUAAGAACUCUAUAAGUUUUUAAUUUUUAUCCACCGCAUCGCGUGAAUUCCUACACUAUAUACAUCAUUGCUAAACUAAAAAUAUAACUAAAAUAUCUCUAUUUCCGAUAUAGGGAGAACUCAUUCUUUUUUAUACUAUUCAUGAAAAUUUAGGCAUGGAGUGGAGUUUAAAUCUAAAUUUCUUUCUACAGCUUUAUUUAUUAAUUAUUUAUACAGAAUCUACCCGCUGCAACGCGCGGGUGCCUUCACUAGUUGUCUAUUACUUUCUAUUAAUCCCCAAUAACAAAAGCUGAGGUGGCACGACCUCCUUUUUUAGAAUUUUUUUCUGAUUUUUUUUUUAUUUUGACAAUUAUUACAACAUUUUGAAUUUCACAUUUCAUACUAGCCGUUUCUAUUAGCAAUUAAUUUUAUAAAACGACUACUCAUAAUUGCAAUCUACUACUCAUAAUUGCAAUCUUUACUUUCUAUUAAUCCCCAAUAACAAAAGCUGAGGUGACAUGACCUCCUUUUUUAAAAUUUUUUUAAUUUUUUUUUUAUUUUGAUAGUUAUUAUUGCAUUUCAAAUUCCACAAAACCGUCUAUAUUUCAUACCAGCUGUUUCUAUUAGCAAUUAAUUUUCUAAAUUAGAAAACGGCUCCUCAUAAUUGCAAUUGAUAAAUUUUUAUAAAUUAUGAUAAUUAAUUGUCAAAUUAUACCAAAUAUGGUCCAUCUUUCUUUUUCAAAAUAGCCUCUAUAGUUGUUGUCAUUUGUUACUAAGAAAGCCUUUUCAAGUUACCAUAUUUUUUCUCAUUAUAUUUCACAAAUUAAUUUAUUAUUUGUUAAUACUUAAUGACCCACCAUCUUUCUUUCUAAAACUGCAUCUUAUUUAGUAACUGUCACGAAACAUUAAUUAUAUUAUUUAUAUUUUUAAAAUUUUAUUCAUUCUUAAAAUUACUUCAAGUUAUAUAUAUAUAGUAACUCCUAAAUAUUUUGGUCCUAUAAUUUUGCUCUCGCAGGAGGUGGUGGUGGACGCAUGAUGGGAGGUUUGGUUAAACAGUUUUUAGGCUUUGCUAACCAUUAUCACUCCAACUUUCAUUUAUUGGUUAUUAUCCACAAAAUCAUAUUUGGAUUUUCAAGAUAAGAUUAUUUUAAAAUAAAAAUUAUUAAGUUUCCUUUUUUUAAAAUUUCUUUUUUUUGAAUUGGCGAAAGUGUCUUUUUUUUUCUCUAUUUUGUUUUAUUUUUGUAAUAUAAUAAAAGAGAAAAAUGCAGAUACAAGAUUUAGAAAAAUGAUGAGCUCAAUGGAGAAUAAUGUUCAAGAUUACAACAACUUUAAAUACAACAUCGUCGACGCCGUCGCUGUCGCCGGCAUCAUAAACAUCCCCCAUUAGAUGAAAUGAUAUAAUGAGAUAAUAGGAAACUUACAGAGUUUUUUUUUUUCUCUCUUUUUUUUCUCCUUUUUUAGAGGCAAUAGAGAAGUAAGUUUGUAAACGAACGGAGUUGUAUGAUUUUAUUAAAACUAGGCUUUAUAGAAUAAAAAAGGUUGAUUAUUACUUCUAUGUACAUUUGUGAGAAGUGUGCCUUUUUAGGUUUUUUUUCUCUUGUUUCUCCUUGCUUUUUUUCUUUUUUAAUUUACUUUUGCUUCACUUCUGGCUAAAUUCUUAUAACUUUAUGAGUUACUGUUUUUUUAUUUGCUUCAUUGUUGGGUAAAAGUUCAUGGGUUUCAUUAAAAGGUAGGUUUAAAAAAAUUUACACUACCCACUACAUUUUGUUUUUGAAAAAAGAAACUCUUUAUGAUAGUUUUGAUGUUAUUUAUUUUCUCUUCCUCUUAAAGUUUGUAAUGGAAGGAAAUAGAAAAAAAAGAGGCUGAUAUUUUUGAAUUUUUUUUCCCCUUGAAUUGAAUAAUACAGGAACCCAAUGUUUUUUUUUAUCUUUCUAAAUGUUAGCCUUUAGUACAAUUACGAGAGAUAUUGUAAUCAUAAAAAUACAGUAGCACUCUCAAUUCAAAAAAAUAACAAUCAAUAUUUUUUCGACGAUAAAAUGUACUUACUACUUUAUUUUAUUACGUUAUCAUGUACAUUUUAAAAUAUUAAUUUUUACUAUUAUUUUUUACCUCAAAAAAAAUUUAAAAUUUUAUUUCUAUUAUUUUCCCGCCGCAUCGCGCGGGUCUCUGCACUAGUUAUUAUUAUUAUUAUAUCAUAUCACUAAUAAGAGCCAAUUUAUCUGGAACUAAAAUUUGUUGCGGGACUGUCCCAGACGUUACGAAUCUCAAAAUUAUAUAAAUAACAGAUAAAAAAUUAUUCCUAAUAUGAGAUUGUCAUAUCAAUAUAUAUAUAGUUUCGAGAAUGUGUAAACAUUUUUAUUUAGAUUUUCUUUUUUUUUUAUUAGUGAAUGGAAUGGAAACUGCUUAUAUUGUUAUCAUAUGAUAAAUUUAAGUAAAGUUGUAUGGAAGUGAUAAAAAAUGGGCACCUUCAAUUUCAAAAGCUUAGAUUUUUCACAUUUUUGCCAUUUUUUUUUUUAAUAUUUAAAGACUAGGAGUUCACAUUUUAAUGGUCAAUUUCCUUGGGCUUGGGACCAUGCAAGCAAAUGAUUUUGGGCCCGCGAUUCACAGUAAGGCCCACCAUAUAUUUCGGCCCAAAUUUGCGCGGUCAUCUUGGGCCCACUAGUCGUUAUGUACUCGCACAAUUUACGCAUAACAGUUAUUUCGCAUGGCAACAGAGUAGAGCAGAAUGUUCUGAGUUCGAAUCUCAUUUCAUUUAAUUUAAAUUCAAGUUCCGAUCACAGAUACGAAGGAAAAUAUUGAAUGAAACUCUCUUUAUAUAUAUAUAUAUAUAUAUAUAUAUAUAGCAUCAAAUUAUUGGUGCUAUUAGAUUUCGAUCUUUGGAUGAAAGAAUGUGUGAUUAGAAUGAUAGUGGUCCUCUAGUAUGAUCUAAUUGGUGAAAAUGAUUAGAGGGAUAGAUCUAACAGCGAAAUAUUUAAUAGCACCAAGUGUUUAUUGCUAUUGAUAACAUAAUAAACGAACUAUAUAUAUAUAUAUAUAUAUAUAUAUAUAUAUAUAUAGAACUAUAUAUAUAGCAUAUCUCUUAAUUCAAUGACCAAAAAUCUACAAGCAUCAACAACUUGGUACUUUUAAAAGGAUAGAAAUUCAAUUAUAUAUAUAUAUAUAUAUAUAUAUAUAUAUAUAGAGAGAGAGAGAGAGAGAGAGAGAGAAUUAGGCUGGAAUACUAUUAAUAGUAAAAUGCUCUUUUUGCUAUCAAGUUUUUAAUUCUUGGAUGAAAAAUUGUAGAGUCAGGAUGAUAUUAGUCGAUUAGAGUUGAGUGGUCCCCCUAGGGUUGAGUGGUCCCCACUGGGUUAUAGUAUUUAAUCCAAUGGUUAGAAAUAAUGAAAAAAGUUGAUCCAAAGGCUAAAAAACUGAUAGCAACAAUGGAAUUUUGCUACUAAUAGUAGCUCAAUCCAACUCUCUCUCUCUCUCUCUCUCUCUCUCUCUCUCUCUCUCUCUCUCUCUCUCUCUCUCUCUCUCUAUAUAUAUAUAUAUAUAUAUAGAACAUAUGGGUGAAAUUGACUAGUAAACAACUACGAGGAUUAGGUGAAAUUGACUAGUAAACAACUACAAGGAUUAGGGAGCGAACAUAAAUGGUGGAUAUAAGUGUCCAUUUAAAGAGACCCGAGCUUUUGUCCCCCGAAGAAAAGAAAAAAGAAAAAAAAAAGAAAAGAAACAGGGUACAAAUAAUUAGCUAGAGAAAGGACUAAGUUAGCUACUUGUUCAAUAAAUGUUCUAAAGGUUUUAAUCAAAGGACAGGGACCCACAAAAUAGAUAAACCAGUUACAACACAUAGCUACCUAUAAUGAAUUUGAUAGAUACUUGAUGUGAAAUAUAUCUUUUUCAACAUAUAUAUAUAUGUAUUUAUGAGGAAAUUAUUGUUAUGAAAAAAUCAUAGUUAAGCCUUUUUCAAAAGUACAUAUAAUGUUUCUUAGUUCUUGUUUAGAUGCGCAUGUUAUCCUGUCUCCUACGAUGACAAUGAAUUUAUUUGAAGCACUUAUUUGGAUGCGGAAAUAAAUUACUCCAAAACAUUUAAGCGUUUUUCAGUACAUAAGAGCACAUGCAUAGAAGCCAUUCCGAGCUUCUCGCGAAAGCCAACUUUUUAUUUCGACCCCCCUAAAAGAAGCAACUGCAAGAAGAACAUGAAGUUAAGACCCAAAUGCAGAAAACAAACGACAGAAGUAGCAGGACUAGACUAGCUGUUCAGCUCUAACAAGUCGGGACGCACUUCGUGCACUUUAAAACGCACUUCUUGGGGAAGCGCUUCCCCAAGUCGCGCGGCUUAUUGUGGCUGCACUUUUUUAUACAAACCACCUUCUUCUUCGCGCAGUACUCUGCAGUAAUGCACCUGGUAGCAGAAGCAGUUUGCAUUGGCUUGUGAUCAAUCCCCUCUUUCUCUCCAACUUUCACUAAUUCCAUCUUUUUCACGCCAUUUUCGCCGCCAUUUGACCAGAUCCCUCCCUUGGCUUUUGCAAGGAGCCCUCUCAGAUCCCUACCCAAGGUUGUGGAGAAGCUGCUUCCCUCAAAAGCUGCUGGUGAGCUGGCAUUGACAGAAGCAGCUGCAAGUAGAAGCAAGAUUAGGAAGCAGGAUGAUCUCUUCAUUUUUGGUGGUGCUAAUUAGUUUCGAUAUAUUAAUAUAAUUUAAUUGUCUAGUGCUCUAAAGUUGCACAUUAUAUGUAUGUAUAUAUAGAGGGUGAGAUUUGGCAUGGUGAGUUAAGGUGCAAAUAUGGCGUGAUCCAACUGAUCAUUAGGAGUGGAAAUUAAGCGUGAAUAUGUGAACAUGAGAGUUGUGACGCCGUAAAAGGCCCACACUAAAUGAAAACAUAGGGAGUUCGUGACAGUCUACUAAUCCCACAUCAGAUAAAAAAAAAAAAAAAAUUGUAACGUUCUAAUAAUCUCAUUUGGUUCUAGUAAUAAUAGCUGAAUCUAAACAUUUCGGGCCAGUAAUUGGCGUUUAACGACUGAAUUAUUACAAAGAUUGCGAUCUCCAAAGAGAAAACAGGUGUAUGUAUGAAAAACCAUGCAUUUGAAUAGGAUUGGCACGGACCUCAAUACUAUGAUAUGGCCAAAACCAUAAUUAUAUUUUUUUUUUCACCAAAAUAAAUGGCAAAAUAUAUCAAAUAAACCAUGUAACUAUAUUUUUUUAAUAGCUUAAACUUUUAUAGAUCAAAUCAAUUUUUAAAGUACUACUUAGUACUUCUCAUAAAUCAAAAUUAGUGAGUCAUAUUGCAUGCAGUAAGAAUGAAAUGAUUAUUUUGUAAAUGAAAUAUUAACCCAAAAAACAGUGAAAUAGCAAAAUCCCAUAUUGUAAUUGGGCCACUCCUAGAAUUACUAGAUAUUUUAGUUGGGCUAGCUUUUGGGCCCAACCUGGUCCAGCCCAUUAUGAGCACUCUUUUUUUUUCUUUUUUUUUUCUUUUUUUUUGUUCUUCUUAAGAAAUUACAUCACAUAUUCGAAUGAUGAGUUUCAUAAAAGGUAAUUAGAUAGAAUGAAGUUGGAUUAAUUUACUAACCAAUCUGAUCACCUGAUCUCAGCUAAACUUCACCUCUUUCUAUAAUUUUAGAUACCUUUUUUCUGUUUUUAAUUUUGGAUCAAUUUUUGGUACUUUUGUCUCUUAGAUCAUGGUUGUUGUUCGAUUCUUAGUUCAACCAAUCUAAAUAUUUUGACAUUUUCAUUGCUACUCUCACUACAACAAAAAUGAUGUAUAAUGAUAUUUUUAAAUGUCGGUAUAGAUCAAAAAAAGUACUGUUGGUUAAAUUACCGACACUUUUUAAAAGUGUUGCUAUAUGUGAGGUCGCUAUAGGUAGGGCCGUCUUGAUAUUUGGAACUCACUCCUCCAGCAACUUGUGGCGGAAGGAUACGUGGCGAUCGUAACCCUCUACGAUCCCUGUGAGAUCCUCGUGGCCAAACUCCAGUUGUUGAAAACCUACCUCGUCAGCUACGACGGCGGAAAAGGAGAAGGCGAGAUGGUGAUCAUUUUUUCUUUUUUUUUUCUUUUUUAUUUGUAAUCGGGUUGAGUAGGCUGGGUGUGAUUGGUUGAGUAGAGCAAUUUUUUAUUUUUGAUUGAAUUGAGCUUUAUAUUUAGACCUUAAUAAAUUUUUUUAAAAAAUUUUGGUAUAAAUGGGACACUUAUAUAAAAAUGUUUCAAAAAUAUGUCAUUAUAAUCUAAUUCUGUUAUAGUUUCUUUGCUUUUACUCUCUAAGUACCACACAUGAAUGACAAAGUUAAAAUAUUUUGUAUUAUUUAAAUCUUAUCGUGCUACAUUUUGUUCAUAUCUUAUCUUUCCAUUUAUCAAAAUGAAACCCAAAUUAAUGUUUUUUUUUGUUUUUGAACCAAAAAAAAUGGCCUAUAUAUUUUGUCAUCUAAACCUUUUUAUGGAUUCUUCUCCUUGGAUAAGAAGAGAGAACAUGCCCCUUUGGCCCUUUGUGAUUCUUGGUGCUCACAUUUUCAAUCAAUUAAUUUAAAUUUGACACAAAUUUAAAAUUAAUUGAUUGAUUGAAACAACCACAUAGUACUCCACAAAUUGACAUAUUCUUCUACAUUUAAAUUUGACACAAAUUUAAAAUUAAUUGAUUGAUUGAAACAACCACAUAGUACUCCACAAAUUGACAUAUUCUUCUUGGAAAACUACAGAUAAAAAAAUAGAAUAUAAAUUCUAAUGCUAAUUGAUGGUAAUUAUUGCCUUAUCCACCUCAAAUGACACCAAGAUAUUUCAAAAGAUCCCUUAUGGACAUUAAAAGAUGGUAACGCGCAAACGACUUAUCAAACUUCUUAAUUAGUGUAAAAAUGUAAUCUUCAAAGAUAUUUAUUCGUAAUUAUUUAAUAUGAUAGUCAGAGUAGAUGGUUCUGAAUUUAAUAUUUAUUUUGAAACAAUCAACUGUUUAACAAAGAUAACGGGACUUCGAAAUUAUUAUAUUAAAUUCUAUUGAAGUAAUAUGUUGAAAUAAAAAAUCUUCAUGGGUUUUUUAUGUGCUAAUGAUGGUGAUUAAUUAAGAUGCAUUGAUUAAGAGUGGAGUAUAACCAUAAUAGAAGAUGGAUUAUCUCUUAAUCAAAACAUUACUUAAUCCCUUAAAUGAUGGAUCUACAAUAUAUUUAGGACGCUUAUUACAGAAACUUAUCUUUCAUUUAUAUAGUCAAUUUUUAAUUAUUGUAUUAUAUAAUUCCUCCGAUUUUCGCACCAAUUAAAGUUUUUGGAGAGAAAAAUAAUACGCUUUCAUUCUUGUUUUAAAAAAUUAAAUUUAGCUAGAAAUGUAAAAUAACCAUGUUUCAAACUUAGGAUCUCAAAUACUAACCAUUAAACUCUUUACCACCUACGUUAAGAACAGUCGGUACUCGGUAGUAUCAAUUAAAGUUACAGUUUGCGAAUCAAUUAAUUGGGAGUUAUCUAAAGAGUUGUAAUUAAAUAUCGGAAAGUAAUUAUCGCAAACUUAAGUUCAAAAAAUUGAAUAAUAAAGUUCAAGUUAUUGUUACUUAAAUGAUAAUCCACUAUGGCAUAAAAUAACUCUUUUCCAAAUAUUAAUUUCCUAUCAUACCAUGCUAAAUCCAUCCCAACCCAUGAGCCAUAUAAAUCUAUGUUAAUACAUCAAUCAUCAAUCAUAUAUAUGAAUUGAAAGUUUUCAAUCAUGUUAAUUAUUCUUAUGAAAAGUUGAUGUGAGUGUUUGUGAUUUAAAAAAACUAUCUUUUUUUAUUUACAAUAUUGUACUAUUUUAUUUGCUUAUGAAUCAAUACAUUGCACUAUUAAAUAAUUUUUAUUUGUUAUUGCAAAUUACUCUUUAAUUAAGUAUUAUUAAAUUAUUAUUUUUUCAACAAAUUUAUUAUUUUAGAUUGAAUAAUUAAAAAUAUCUCGAAUUAAAUAAUUAAAAAUAUGUCGAAUUAAAUAAUCAAUAAUUAUAUCCAAGUGGUUUUUGACCGAACCUUUUCCACACCACUUUUCCAAUUUACUACUCAACUUAACUCGGAUAGAGUCAAGUGGUGUAUGGACCACAAGAAAUAUUCGCGUAUUUAACAUGCACCCGGUGCACCGUACAUUUUGCCCACAAAAUCCUAAUGUAUUAGUACAACGUUUCAAAAAGGAUUUUAAAUUUAUAAAUUUUGUCUAUAAUAUUUAAGCAUGUAAUGUAGAUUUGUUUUGAUUAAUUUCAAAAUACAUAGUAAAAUAUUAUGUCGAUUCACGGAUACAUUAAUAACAUUAUAAAAUAUACUACAUACGAGAUCAAAGCAUUUUCUAUUAUAUGCACACUCUCUAAAUACCGUAGAGUAUAUGAAUUGAAUUAGAUUUUGAUUUUAUUAUACGAUAAAAUUAAUUCCAUUAGCCUCCAAUUUAGCAUAUUUUUAUGACUAAAAUACAGAAAACUUCUUGUAAGUACUUGUUUUUUUUUUAUUUUUUCUCUCUUAUUUUUAAAAACUUACAAUUUUGCUUUCUUAAAAUUUCAGAAAUAUUUUUAGAAAAGUACGAUGUUAAUGGGGAGGACAAAAUGAUUAAAUUAUUCUUAUUUGUUCUAUAAGAAAAAAAUAAAUUUUAACCUAUGUUUAUCAUUUUGAAAGAUAUUUUCAGUAUAAAUUAUAAAAAAAUUAGCGAAAUAAUGAUGAAAUCUUGCAAAAUGCAAAAAAUUAAAAUAUUGAGAUGGAUAAAAAAUAAAUUUUAUAUCAUUGAGCCUAUUUUUAUUUUGUCAUUACAUUUUACUGGCCACAUAAUUUAUUUAUAUAUUAUAGACAAUUGCACUGCAAAAAAGAAAAUCAUAAGCAUUAAAGUGCGGUGCAUGAGAUGGACAAAUACACCGGGUGUACUGAUAAACUUCCGAGUGUCGUUGGUGCGCCGGGGGGAUAAUUUCGGGUACGUUUUCGGGUAAGCGUUCCACGCGGGCAGCGACCGUUCCGCGUUCCGACAAAAACCGUCACCGGUUUCCGACCACGCGGCGAAGCGACUACAUCUCCUCUCUCUCUCUCUCUCUCUCUUCUUUCUCUCUCUAUCUCUUUCCUUUCUCUCUCCUAAACACGUGAAGCACCCUCUCCUCUACUUGGUUUCUCUCUCUCUCUCUCUAUCUCUCUCUCUCUCUCUCUCUCUCCAUUAUUCCUCUUCUCUACACGCUAUUCUCGUUCUCGGGGGCUUAUUCUCGGGUGGAUAAGUGUAGGAGCGAGGCGAAUAAGGAGGGAUAUGUUAUAUGUUAUAUGUUAUAUGUUAUAUGUGUUCGUAUACAUGUAAUACAUGCGCAUAUAUCGCAUUAAUGGAGUAAAGGAGGGGCCUUUCCAUUUUUAGGUGGUGCGGAGAAUCACAUCCUUCUCGCUUUUUGGACUAAGAGCAGAGCACGGAAUAACUAUUCCGCCCCCCCUCUUAUUCUUAUUCCCCUUCUCUUUUUGCGUAAAAAUUGGGUUUUUUUUGGUGUGUGUGUGUGUGUGUGUGUGAAAGAGAGAUGGGGAAUAAGUAUGAAGGGAGAUCAAAUUUGCAAUCGUUUUUGGAUUGCAUCACUCCUGCUGUGGAAACCCAUUUCCUCCCCAAGGUGAUUUUUUUCCCCUCAAAAUCCUUUUUUUUUUAUGAUUUGUAUCUGGAUUUUACGAAAAGGUGUUAAUUUUUUCACCUGGAAUUAUUGAUGAGUGUUUAUGAUUGGGGUUUGGCGCACACUUAUUGCAUUUGCAGGUUCCUCUUUCAAUUAUUAUGUAUGAUAUGUAGUAGUAACCUAUUCCCUUACUUUUAUUGGAGAAGCAUAGAUGUGUUUGAAUUAUGCAAACAUGGUUGUUACCUUCUAAAUUUAUGUUUUUUCUUUUUUUUUGUUUAAGAAAUCAUCAUUCCCCUGUGAACUGAAUGGUAGCUCCUCAUAGAUUUGGUUAUGUUGGAUCAUUUGAAUGCAGCAGCCAUGCUUUCGCACAUCGAAAGUUCGUUGGCGAACCGCAGAAUCAGAUACUAUUGGGUGCUUCAGCCUUGCGGAGCUCUGGGAACAGUACUAUGAGUGGAGUGCCUACGGCGCCGGCACCGCCGUGCGCCUCCCUAACGGAGAAAAAGUAGUCCAAUACUACGUGCCGUACCUAUCCGGCAUCCAAUUGUACACCGAGAAAGCGUUUACUGCGUCGAGGUUGUCGAUUAGAUCCCGCUAGUUCACGCAUUUGAUCCCCCCGGUAGAACAAUUGAUUAGAACUUUUCUGCUCUUUCGUGUAGGAGUUUUAAUGGAGAUAGCGGUGCCGAUUAUUGGAGCGAUGAUGACGACAACGCCGAGAAAGAGAGGCUGUCGAGGUCGUGGAGUGCGGUUUCUGAGGACUCGGGCUUUAGCUACGAGGGUUCAUGGGUGAAUCGGAAACGGCCCGGGCACCUGUACUUUGAGUUCUUUGAGAUUUGCUCUCCUUAUGGGAGGAUUCCGUUUGUCGACAAGGUUACCAUUUGUCGAUAACGAUUGCUUCGAGAUUUUCGUCCGAAUUCAUCCUCUACGGCUAAAAUAUUUCUAAUUUUUCUGAUUGCUGAAUGUUUGGUUCCUCAGAUAUAUGAAUUAGCUCAGAACUUUCCUGGACUGACGGUUCUUACGAGCGCCGAGCUUUCGCCCGCUAGUUGGAUGUCGGUUGCGUGGUAUGCUUAUAUUAUUGUUAAGAAAUAACAACGGCAUUAGAGUCGAUUGUUCGGUCUAUAACAUAGCCGAUACUUGUGUUUACAUUGUAGUACUUCUCGGCAAAAUAGAGUAUUCAUUCUAUCUAGUUCUCUCAUUUUCGCUCCUCUUUUGUUGAUCAGGUACCCGAUUUAUCAUAUUCCGACCGUGCACACUGUGAGGGACUUGUCCGCGUGCUUUUUGACUUAUCAUAGCAUUUCCUCAUUGUUUCAAGGUUAAGUUUCUUUUACCAUAUAUUUUCGGAGGUUUUGUAGAGACAUUAAUCACCACAUCAUAAUUCAUGGAAUGCAAUUCGAUUAUACGAUCAUGUCUCAGAAACUGCAAUCGAGCUAUAAGAAGAAGCCGUCUCGGAUAAUCGCAAUCCAUUAUUCUUUUUUUCUGAAUCUGACGAUAGCAGUGCUCUUUGCAGAGAAUACAGCUGAGAGCGUCGGGAAAGGUUUAUGCCGCGCCAACGGGGAAGAAACCGGAACUAGACCAGAUGAGAAGGGUGCCAGGUUUUCGCUCCCUCCGUUCGGGCUCGCGACUUAUAAGACGCAGGGGAGCCUCUGGAACAAUCCGGAAACCGGAGAUAACAAGAGGAUGGUCUCCCUCUUUAGCGCCGCAGAUUCCUGGCUAAAGCAACUGGGAGUCCAACACCAUGACUUCAACUAUUUCAUUACUCACCCCAUCUGAAUCGAAAUAUAAUAAUACAGUUUGUUUUAGUCGCGUAAUCUUCGAGUCCGAAUAAGUACUUUUUAUGCGGGGAAUCACAAACCUUGUUGAUUUCCGUAAGCUAAAUUGGUUUUAUUUAUGGAGUCUGAAGAGUAGAAACAAACUUUUGUUCAGAGCUUUUCAGUUUGUGUGUAGUUAUUUCCGUAAAGCCGGAUUUUCUGGGCAAAUUUGGUGAAGGGAACUCUAACUUGUACAUAAAAAUGUUGAGAAUAUGUUAAUUUCCUUUUCCUUGUGGAGGUGAUUUCAUGGUUUGAUUUUAUAAAUUUGCUGAGCCUCUGAGUGGUAUUUCUAUCUUCUUUUUUAAAAAAAAUUUGCUCAAGCAGAUGUUUAUUUUUUAACUGCAAAAUUCUUUAAUUAUUCUGUUAGUUCAAAACAAGCACCAAAUUGUUCUCAGAAAAGAGUAAAUUAUUAAAAUUACAAGAGAAAAGGGAUUAUUAUUAAUGUUUAAAUAGCACAAAAAAGAGGAGAUUUGAUUUGUCUCUGAAUCUCAUAAUGAAAGGAGAGAUCAGUUGCUUUCAAAUAUCACCAACGCACCACCACCAGUUUUGAAAUUUAGGGGGCAAAAUUGAGACUGAAAAUGACAUUUUGCAAAAGGGAAUUGAUGUCCCAAUCAAACUUCAUGAUUAAAAAAAAAAAAAUCUGAAUUAAAUCAAAAUCAAAAUCAAAAUCAAAAUAUAAAAUUUUACAAACUAAAAAUAGUUUAGUUUAAAGCGGAAAUGACUAAAUUCUUACAAAUAAAAUUGCGAGUGCAAAGUCAAAAUUCAUGUCUAUCUCAUGAUUUUCAAAAUUUUCAUCUUAAACAUACACCCUCAUUCCAAUAAUUUGCACAUGAUUUUCAUAUAUCGUAUCAUCACUAAUCAAAAGUACAAGCAUUCUAUAUGGAAAGAGGCCAAAUUGGAAGAAAAAAAGAAAAAGAAAGAAAGAAAAAAGGUUAGGGCCUAAAGUAAUACUAGAGUAAGCCGUAAGGACCAAUGGUGCAAUUUAACACUAAACAAACAAUAAAGUUACAGCAUCUUUAGUCCCACAUCGGCUAAAUACUUGAACAAUGCUUCUUUAAAUACGGCAAUCGAGGGAACCUCAACGCCGAGUUCAGUAGCGUGAGCUUGUAACCCGAGCGGGGGCACAUGGAUGGGUUCGGACAUUGGGUUAUGCGGGUCGGAUCUGGGUGCGCCGGUGCGAUUUGUUGGCUCGCCCGAUCCAAGUUGGGUAGUGGGCCACGUGGCUCUUGCGAAGGCAGGAUGCCACGUGGCACCUAGAGUGGAGGGCAAAGCGUGAGGCUGGUUUCACAGAGCAGCGAUUACCUCCCGCUCCUAACGGUGGGCGGAUAACGGGCCGCUGCUCCGCGUACCCGCUAUGAUCCAGCCCCGUACCGCAAAUGGACGGCCCAUCUUUUUUGCCAUUUUCGUUUUUUUUUUUUUUUUUUUGGUUUUGGUUUAAGAAUGGGCCCCAAUUUCAUUUCAUAGGCACCAUUUUUGUUUAGAAAGCAGGGCCCCAAUUUCAAUUUCGUGGGCACCACAGUCGCUUUGGCCCAAAACCCACGAAGAAGCGUGUUUUGUGUCGCGACGUGGUGGGCCUUCGAGAAAAAGACAUCGAAUCCGUGUCAAUUUGGCAUUUUAAAAGUAGGUUUAUCUAACGUUAUUAGGCAAGACACUCUCCCGCUCCUAACGGUGGACGGAUAACGGGCUGCUGCUCCGCGCACCCGCUAUGACCCAGCCCUGUACGGCAAAUGGACAGGCUAUCCUUUUUUGCCAUUUUUGGGUUUUUUUUGUUGCUUAAAAUGGGCCCCAAUUUCAAUUUUCAUGGGCACCACAGUCGCUUUGGCCCAAAACCCACGAAGGGGCGCAUUUUGUCUCGCCGUGCGGGCUAUUCGAGAAAAAGACAUCAAACCCGUGACAGUAAUAAAGUAUAUCAUAACCAACUCAAUGUGACAUAAUGUACAAAAUCUCUCAUUGUUUUUUUUCUUUUUUUCUUUUUUUCCGCAUGAAACGUAAUCAUUUCGCAAUCCCUAGUUUGAUAAUACGAUGAUUAAAAGCACUGAUUUUAUACUUUAAAGAGAUCUAAAAAAUUGGAAAGUGUUUUCAAUCUCUCUCCUCUAAUGCUAUAAAAGAAUAAAAGAAUCAUUCUGCAGUAGUUAGUUGAAAAGAAAAAAAAAAACAAAACAUUCUGCAGUAGUUAAAAGAGUAAAAAAAGAAGGGGUUUCAUCCAUUUCCUGCUUGAAAUAUGUAGUAGGCCCACAAGGUUUGAUGAACUGAUAUGGCUCCAAUUUACAACAGAAGCUAUAAUUCAUGCACCAUUAAUAAAACUAUUCAUACAGUUGCUGUACUGUAUCAAAAAAGCUUUUUAAAGUGUCGUCGAAAAACCAUGUCCCGAUUCGCAAGAAGCGUUACAUCAGCAGUUGCUAGCUUCUUAAGCAUAAUAUAUACAAACAAAACUUUGUACAGUAGCUGAGUUCAAUUAACUGGUUUUUCGUAUAAAGGAAGGCUAAAUCAUCAUGGCUUCGACACUUAAAAUGGGAAAAGACCAGCGUUCCUCGGAUGAAACAGAGCGAUGAAUCGGUGAAUUCCAGUAAUCUCCAUGAUGCUAUUUUGUUCAACUUGUAUCAGAAGUAUAACCUAUGCUCCGUAUAAUUGCAUUGCAAAUGUGGCAGCCUCGUCAUCACCAGCCAUUUUCUCAUGCUUCAUCACUUAAACUGCGGUAAUUCACCAUAUAAAUAGCUAAUAAUGUAAUUAAUGCACCGCCGAGCUGUAUAGGCGAGAAAGUCUCACCAAGGUACAAGAACCUGUUCACAAAAGGAAAAAAGUUACAGGUAUCAAAUGCAUUCGAGGCACAUAUACAUCUUAAUAACCAAUAACGGUUUUUUUAUAAAAAAGUGACUUCUGAGGAAAGGAGACCAAAAUGAAACGCAUUGGUUCGGACUGUGAUCUUCGGAACAUGAUAGGCUUACCCGAAAAUUGAAGCAAACAUUGGAGUCAAAAAUGUGAGGGAGCUAAGUUUGGUCAAGCUACCUGCAUGUGUAUUACAGGUAUGAUUAAUCACCACAGCAAUCAAGGAAACUAAAAUAUAGUCUCACACAAUAACACGAAUUUUAACCACUUAAUUUAUCAUUUAAUUUCUAAGUAGGUAGCUGAAAGCCUAAAACCGACCGAGCCCCCACAAGCAUUCCAAUCAUUGCGUAAUAUAAAUUCAGAAAUCCUUAUAGUAUUAUGUAACACAAGUCGCAUAAUAACAUAGAAGAAUCUGACCUCUAGUUGCAUUAUAGAAGUAUACACCAUAACUGACAGCACUUCCAAACACGGAGGUGUAGCAAAGUGCUAAUAGAUCACUUGAAGUAAGCUCCAUCAAAUUUCCAUUCACUGCAGGAUCAUGAUUAAGGACGGAGAUCACCACCAGAGGGAGUCCGCCAAUAAUCAUGUGCUAUUAACAGUAAUUACAGAAUCAGAUAAGUUGCGCGAACCAUGUUACAUUAAAUUAAAGUUAAUAAGAAGAGUCGUAGUAGUAUAAUCAACAAAAAUUGACUACGACAAUGAGAGUAAGUUUGAAGCGAAACAUAUGAUCUUUUCCUCAUAUAUUAAAUUGAAACUAUUGGCACUGUUCAUCCUAUCUUAUUCCAAACAUACCCAUCCAGUUGCCAUGACAGGAUCGGAAUAUUUAGACACCCAACGAACCAUGAUGGUCCCAACAGCCAUGCUUUGAGCCGCAAGAAGCAUCCACCAUUCCCCACUUCCCCAUAUUGAUGAGGUGCUUCCGUCAAAGGAAAUUGCCGGGACCUAUGGAAUGAAUGUCCAUCAUUGGCAUAACAAAAAUUAGGUGCACGAUAAUACAUAAAUUUGAGAAUGAAAGUGUAGCCUAUUCUCUUCCAGUUUGUCACAACUUUCUCUAAUUUCCAAGAUUACAUCCAUCUGAAUUUUGAAAAAGUAAAAAAAAAGAAGAAAACAGAAGGGACCUAAAAAUCCAUAGCAGUGAGGUUCAACCACAGAUGGUGUGUUCUGAGAAAAGUUAGCUUAAGAAGAAUACGAAUCUUAAUAACAGGCUAUAGGAAUGCAUCCCUCAAGAAUUAUAUGCAUGCAAUAAAACUACCACACUGCACAACACAUUGAUUGAUACCAUAGAAGUUGACACGUAGUAAUGCUGAAAGUCGAUACAGGGGAUCAAAGAAAUUACGCAACAGUGUGCUGUUGACCCAUAUCAAUGGAGAGCAUUUUACAAUAAAAGAAGUCGCGAUCCCAUAAGAAACAACCUCAAGGAGAAGAAGACCAAUGACACCCAGCACAAGCCCAGCUGCUCCGAUUGCACCAAUUGAUUCUCCAAAUAAUAGUGCUGCAAGAACUGCAACUGUUAAAGGCUGGGAAUCAAUGAUGACCUGCAAUUUGGAUUUUCAAUAUAAAGUCAGAAAAGUGAAAAAUAACCACAAAAUGCAUUUACACUUUGCCGAUAUAAAUGGUCUAGCGUUCAUCAUACCAGCUUAAGGCAUUUUUAGAAAAAGAGAAGAGUAACAUAUUUUGCAUAAGAUAGGUGAAUACCCAAACUGAACAAGAUAGAAAAAUUAAAGAAGUGUGAUACUUCCAGACAAAAUUUAUGCGCAAGACUCUAUUGCAGAUUACAUGACUUUCUGAUUCAUAGCGAAGCGUACAUCAGUUUGUUUAGUAAAGAAAAAUAUACCAUGAAUAUGUUCCUACAAGAUGCAAGGUGUAAAAAAAAAGGCCUUCUUAGUUUUCAAGUAGCUGCCAACAGCAAAAUGGUGCGGUAAAGGUUGAAGAAAAUGUUCUAUUAUGACCAUUUGAUCACCUUUACUGUUCAUCAUCAUUGUAUGCGAUCCUUGGAACAGCAAUAUACCAGCAGAUGGGAAGAAAUACCAUAUAAUGUUAAUGUCGCAUAUUAGUGCACAUCAAGAUAUCCAUAUUCGACUAUGUUAUAAUCCACAUUGCACUGCAAUCACUAGACAAGUGAGAAUUUGAUCCCAGAUCUUGAUGGACAACAUGAAAGAUCAGCAUGAUGCGUGUAAAUUAGCUUCUUAAGACCGACAAAACAAUCGUCACUAACUUAUCGUUUUGACAAUAAAAAUUGUUCUUUUCCCUUAUUUCGAUGUAUCACACGAACAUAUGAUUCGAAGUAAUAUGCAAAUGGUUUUGUAGGAAAAGUUGGAAAACCUCAUAGAUAUAGCAAGUAAUUAACAAUCUUAAACUAGAACCAAGUAAUGCAUUGGUUAACUUAAGCAUAGAGAGACGGCGAUCAUACACUUCCCAAUCCCGCAGACGUCCUCUGCAAACCCUCAGCGAGAAAUCCCUGCCAAUCCAAGAACCAAACAUAGAAGACAAUGAGGGUAACCACAUUGCUGAUAUCAUAGAAAGAACAAUUAAUGCCGAACACCUGCAAAGCUUCCUUCUUUUCUAACCUGACGAACCCUAGCCCACCUGAAAGCACGCGGCAUCCACGACGCCGAAGGCGAGGAUCGACGCCCACGCAAGCAACCCCGACGGCUGCUUCCUCCCCCUGAUCGCGGCGAAUCCGAUAAGAAGCGCUCCGGCGGGGAUCAAUCGGAAGGCGGAGACGAAGAACGGCCCGGUCUUGGGGAUCACCUCCUUCAUGGCGACCAUGGCCGAGCCCCAGAAGAAGAAGGGCGAUACAAGAAGCCCCCACUCCAACACCUUUUGAAUCAAGCCCUCCUCGGCGGCGGCGGCGCCGCCCCCCACGAUCUCGAACCCCGCGGGGGCCUUCUCCUCCAGGAGCCGAUCCGCCUCGGAGGAGGCGGCGACGAAGCACUCGACGUCGGAGCCUGUGCCGACGCAGUCGACGGUGGCCGGCGGAGCCGGCGACGUCAUCUUGCUGCCGCCGCCGCCGCCGUCUCCGCCUCCGGCGCCGGUUGCUAGGGUUCGUGAUCUCGGAACCCUAGAAACCCUAACCCUAAUCGUCGUCGUCGUCGGAGGAGGUGCCGAUUUGGGGGAGGGGGAGAGGAGGGGGAUUCGGGGAUUAGGGAAGAGGAGGAACGCGGCGGAGGGGGUCGACAUGGUGGAGGGGGGAAAGGUUGACUUUGAAGGCAAAAAGAUUUGGUCGCGUUGACCAAUUCUAUGUUAUUUUAUUGAAUUUUUAAAAAAAAUUGUUUUGAUCGAAGGAGAGGGUGUGGAGUUUGAAGUGUCUCCGAAGCGAUCGAGGCUUCGAAGAAACAGAGGAGGAGAACGAAGAAGAGCAACGGUCGGAAUUGUGGUGGGAGUGGUCGGUGUACGCGGAUGGGAGGGCUUAUCAUCAAGAAGCUAUUGCGUGCACCCGGCGUAUCCAAUAUCCCACUGGACCAAACUUAGCAUGUGCUUGGGAACAAAAUCUAGAACGCACCACAAUUUUAUUGCUGAUGUGGUGCUCCUAAUUAAUCAAAAAAUUCUCUCUAUCAUAAUUUUUAGAAAAUAUUUUUAUUAUAUUUUUCUCUCAACCUGAGAAAUAUGAUUAUUGACUGAAAAUAUAUAAUGUGGUGUAAGUAUUACACAGUAAGUUUUCUCGUGUUUGAGAUUGCGGAGAGAUUACUUCAUGUACGCUACAAAAGUACGAGAAAAUAAUAAUUUGUGUUGCGCAUAUCGUAAUGGGUGGGUUAAUUUUAUUUUAACUUUCACUUUUCAGAUUUUCAAUAUUUUUUCUUUGCAUUAGGAGCAUUUGUAACCUAAUAUAAUUAAGGAUAAUCUGAUAAAGUAGAAGCAAUUGCUUUAUAUUUCUUCUAAAAAAUGAAUAAACAAAUAGUUUGCUACCUUUCUAUCUUUCUGUCAAAAAAAAAAAAAAUUUCACACUAUAACAACAUUAAGCGGUUCUCAAUACUAAAAAAGCUCCGAAAAAAACUUGAUAUAUAUUUGAUUUGUUAAACAUAGACGGUUCAAAAAUUGUGAGUAUUAAUAAGUUUACUUCUUGAAUUUAAAAAAAUUCAUCAAGUAAAUAAAAUAAUAACUUUAAAAAUUACUAUAGCAACAUCUUAGGGGUGUGGUGCUCAUUGUUUUAGGAACACCAACAUAACACAAUUUGCUACAUAAUUCUUCUUCCAACUGGGGGAAAAAUAUAAUGUUGAAUCACUAAAAAGAACAAAAAAAAAAAAAAAACAAAACAAAACAAAAAGAAGAGAAAGUGGAAAUACAAAAGAUAAUUUUAUUCUCAUUGCUCUGAAUCCAACACAACAUUUUCUUACACUCUAAAUUGUAGAUACAACCCCAACCUUAGUAUUAUUCUGGUACAUUAAAAUGACAUCUCAAUACAGCUAAAAUAGCUCUCUUUUUUUCUAAUUUGUGCUUGCGCACAUUCCACACGAAAAGUCAUUCUUUUUAUUCUCUCUCUCUCUCUCUCUCUCUCUCUCUCAAUUUGGAGUCAAAACAUACAUCUUGCAAGCAUGAGCUGCCACUGUAGCUGUGAGCUGCCCCUGAACUGAUGACAUGCUUGUGUGCUGCCCAAAAAAAAAAAAAAAAAAAAAAAAAAAAAAAAAAAAAAAAAAAAAAAAAAAAAAAAAAAAGACAAAUUUGUUAGAUAGAGGAAAGAUGAAGUUCUCAUGAAGCAAGUUUUGCCGCUUAAUCUAAAGUCCUUCAGAAUCAGGCGCUUCAGUUUAGAGUUUCUACUGUUAGCCCUUAAAGUCGCAUAAAGUCGCAGGUUUGUUUUGUAUUUGAAAGUUGAAUAAGGCUACGUUUGGAGUUGCGGCUGGGAAGAUUGCGUUACGUGCAGUGAGAAAGUACGAUGGAAAAAUACCCUAUUUGUUUCCGUACGUAAUAUUGUGUUCCGCAUAUUAUGAUGAGUCGGUUAUAAUAUAUUUUCUACGGUUCCACCGGAAAAUGUAGAAAUAUAUCUCUAUAUGCUUUUUUCCUAACUCUAUUUUAUCUAACAGCAUCAGAUAAACCUCAAUACUAAACUAAGCCUAAGAAGUGCAGCGAAAAGGCUUUUAGUGGUUGAGUGCCGCGAAUUUAUUUCUGACGAGGAGAAUAAAAAUAAAAGAAAAGAAAAAGAAAAACUUACAGCCCAUAGAUCGCGGGCCGCGACAACAGUUGAUGAUUUGAGCCCAAUAUUUGACCAGUUUGCUGUAAUGGAUGCUUGAGAACCUGAUCUGUUCCAUAGAACCACAGCCACACUCCCACCACUAAGUGGCCCAGCCCAAACCUACCAAAUCAAAAAAAAAAAGGAGGAGAGAUGAUUUAGCUUAAUGAUAAUAAGAGGACACUAAAUUUUAGCGAAUAUAUACGAAUCUAUCUUAUUAUGUAAACAGUAUUCAUUUUCAAUGCAUCUGUUAUAUCAAUAGCAAAUUAUGUUCACGGUAACAUCCUAUAUAUCAGCUCUGUAAAUGUAAUUACUGAUACAUUAACAUCCGUCGAACGAGAGAAUUAUGAGAUGAUUUAAGGUUUAUUUAGAAGCCACACCUCUAAACCGCCACUUGAUUGCACCUUUUUCCCCUGAACUCCAAGCUUAUCUGUGGAUACCAUGAUCCCACACAUAAAUAUAACUUUGUCUUUUCAAAAAAAAAAAAGUGUAACAUGUAAUAUUUUGCUGAAUUAUUGUCUAAGAACCUUGAUUAACCGCGAUAACCUCCGAAUUGCCGAGUAUAUCCUUAGUAUCUUGGCUCAUUGAGCGGAGAUCGCACCCGAUUAGAAGCGGAGCCUACGCAUUAACCAAUUAAUCAUGAGUAGUUAAAAGGAAGUAGCCACAUAAUAAUAUGAAAUUAAAGGUGUUAAUUUAUCAAAGAAAAAUGAAUUUGAAAAUGAAAUGUUUGGUUUUGAUUUAAUUAAUCACCUUUGUUAAUGCCCAUAUGCUGAAAUGUGAGCGAUACUCCUCUGUUGACAUCCCACCAUUUCCCACCUCAAGCAUAUCAGGAUCUGCAUUACAAAAUCAAUGGUUAGUAUUACAGAUUAAUUUCAACGGGUCUGGUUCGGGGCGGAUUUUCAAAAACCCGUAUCUGAACCCAACCAAAAAUUCGAAACUUGAGCCUGAACCCAAAAAUUCAAAUAUGAAACAAUUAUUUCUCUUUACAAUAUUUCAAAAUAUAUUACGUUAAAUCUAAAUUUUAAAAAUACAAAUUCAAAUACAACAUCAAACAUUUAUAUAUAUAAUAUAUAAUGUACAAAAAUUUCGGGUUCGGGUUUGGGCUCGGGUCGGGUACAAUUAAAAUUCACACCAGAAUCUAAAUUCGUUGGAUUUUCGUUUUUGAUAUCCAUAUUUCGAAACUAUAUCCAUUUAGCAUCGGAUAAAUUCACUCUGUUCGAGUUCGGAUUCGGAUAAAAUUUCGUAUAUCCAUAUCCAUUGACAUCUCUGGUUAGUAUAUAGCAAAAUUAUUAAAGAUAUAAGCUAUACGAUUAAGUUUUUUUGCAAUACGAGCUUCUAUAUAUGGGUCUGAAGAGCGGAACAAAAUUUGGAUUUUAGGAUUCGACGCCUGAGAAUUCUGUCCGGUUCGAAUUUGGAUUCAGAUACGAUACGAGUCCACAAGAGAGAGAGAGAGAAAUAAAUAUCUCACCGUUCCAUCCACCUGGUCCUGCAUAUGAUGCCCAUCUAUCAUUCUCAUCAGCACGAGAUGUCAUGCUGAAAAAAUUAGAAAAUAUCAUUCAUAUUAAUUUGAUUGUGACUUGUGACAAAUAAUAAUAAAAAAAAUAUUUUUUCUUGCACCAAUUUUUUUUUUUUUAUAAAAAAUGCUCGAACAAAAAUAACUGCUGCUUAAAGCAAAAGCAGAAGCGAAACCAAAACCAAUUAAUUAGAAGUGCGACAACAACCUGUUCCAGUUGUCUGCAAUAUCUCCUGUGGUUCUCCAACUGUUUCCGACCCCGCGAGCCCAUGUGGCUGGAUCAUUUUGGCCCCUGCAAUUAAUUAAGUAAUUAAUCAACUUUUUAAAUUAUUCGUAUAUAUAUUUUUAUUUAUAGGAAUGAAUUUUUGAUGAUUAUUGUGGAGUAAUUUUAUUAUCUUAUAAUUACCAUUCGCAGAGAGAGAAAAAAAUGUUCCUUCCACAAUUCUGAAGAGCUGAGCUCAUUUUAUUGUACCUGUAUUUGUUAUAAUCAACUGAGAGAGUAAGUUAAAAAGAGAAAAAAGAAAAAAAAAAAGAGUAUUUUUCAUGUAGACAAAAAUUAACAAAGUUUACCUCUCCUGUGGGCUUGUUCCAGGAUUGUUGCAGUUAUCAUAUUUCAAAUAAUCAACCCCCUUCAAAAUAACAAAUUAAAUGAUAAUAAAUACAUAACCAAGAGAAACAGAGAGAGAAAAAAAAGAAAUAUAUAUAUAUAUAUAUAUAUAGUUGAGCUAGAAUACUAUCGAUAGCAAACCGGCACUUUUGCCACCCAUUUGCUUUCGAUGAUGGAGCCUCCAAAUUGAUGAUCGACACUGUUGAAUAUGAUCUAUACCAUUUGAAGUAUUUAGAAAUUAAAUUUUAUACAUUUUCGAUAUUAUUCUCUUAUCCAUCGAGUGGACACAAAAAUGAACAGCUGAAAAUGAAUAUUCUUAAAAAAAUGAUGAUAGGAGUAUUGUAAUCAAGAUCAAGAGUAUAGAUCUUGUUUUAAAUAGUUUAAAGAAUUUUCUAACAAAAAUUCAAUUGAUUUGGAUAUCUUUACGCCGUUAAACGAGAAAACGCCUCAUAUCGACCAUUAAAAUUACAAAUUUUGAAACCCUUUGAUCAUUAGGUAAAUAAUAUCGAAAAGAUUUGAAAUUCAAUUUCUAAAUAUUUCAAGUAGUAUAGAUCAUGUUCAACGGUGCCGAUCGUCGAUUUGGAGGCUCCAUCAUCGAAAACAAAUGGGUGGCAAAAAUGUCGGUUUGCUAUCGAUAGCAUUCUAGCUCAACUCUAUAUAUAUAUAUAUAUAUAUAUAUAUAUAUAUAUAUAUAUAUAUAUAUACAUAAUGAUAGAAAUUAAUUAUAUGACUAUAGUUUUAUUUUUAUUAAUUAGUUGUUGAAAUCCAAUAAAUAGAGGCAUACCCAUGAGGCAAAUGUUUUGGCAUCUUGAUCUUCAUGUCCAAGUGAACCAGGCAUUUUCCCACUACAUGUUUGUGACCUAAAAAAUUUCAUAACACAAACCUUUCAUUAAGUCAAAUAUGUAUUAAUUAAGAAUUAUUUGAUUAUUGAUUAUACAAAUUUGAUUUAAAAGGAAAAAAAGCCUUGAGUUCCAUGAUUAUAUAGUAACAUCAUAUUCUUUUGAUAACUUUUCUAAGAAAAAAAAUGAAGAGUUUUAUUGAUAAUUGAUUGAUGUGGUUAAGUAAACCUACGUACCCGGCGUCGCUAUAAAUUCCAAGCUUGAGUCCCUUUCCAUGGACAUAAUCUGCAAGAGCUUUUAUGCCUGAGGGGAAUGUUGAUCCCUUGGCAACUAAAUUUCCCUGAUAAAAGAAAAUGUAAAUAAUUGCUUUUUAGUACAAAUAAUAUGAAAAUUUUCAAGUUGAUUUUGUGUAAGAUUUUUUAGAUUAGCGUAAUCUUUGGAUGUUAAGAAGUUAGAAGAACAAAUUUUAUUACAUCUAGCAUCUUCUUCCUUUUUUUCUUUAUUUUCUUUUGCAAUUAACUUAGGGCGUGUUUGGUCGUUUUCUGCUUCUACUUUAAGCAACAAAUUCGACCAGUAAUAAAGUGUUUGGCAAUUGAAAAAUAUAUGUAGCUUCUGUCAUAGGAAAACCAUUUUGGACCCUAGCUAGUUGCAGAAAUUCUAAUUUCAAAGCUAGUUCUGACUACCGACGUUAUUUUUACUGCACAACGUAUUGGAGCGCUGGCGAGGGAGUGAGUUGAGUAUUGUAGAGCUAGGUGGCUCUUUCGAAUUUUUUUGGCCCCUUUUUUUUUUCUUUUGGUUUUUUUGCUUGUUUUUUUUGACCUUCUUUUUUUCUCUAUUGGUUUUUCUCUUUUCUGAGGCUUUGCUAUCUCAUUCCAUAUAGCUAAAUUUAUUUACUAAAUAAAUGAAGCAGCUAGCGUGCUAUAUUUUUCCUUAAAAAAAAAAAGUUUUGAUUAGAUUUGUAGACAUCAGGGAGACAUUAAUAUUGCACUUUAUCUCCAAACAACAUUUUUCAAAUAAAAUUUGAUCAAAGUGGAAUCUCUAGCUUUUAGGUCCAAUACCUAGAGGAAAUUAAAUGGCCUCACCUGAGAAUCUCUGUUGUAUUCUCCCCAGCAAUCAUCUGAGUUGUUGAAUACAAAUUAACCAAAGAAGUAAAAAGGAAAAUACACUGUUGUUAGCAUAUGAUCACUUAACAAUUAACAUUAAAUUAUCUUCUCAAUCACUUACAAUCAAAUUAAUAAAAGAGGAAAAUAAUAGAGAGGGUACAAACCUAUAUUAAUAUAUUCAUACCCCAACUUUGCUAGGCCACUAUUUACCAUUGCAUCAGCUGCACCAACCAAAAAAAAACAUAACCACUUGUUUAUACAUCAAUUAAUGCAAUUAUAAGCAAAAUUGGAUAUUUAAUAUCAUUGCUACUGCUGCUAACAUUAAUUAUUGAUUAGCUUAAUGUCAUGCUUUGAGUUAGGUAAAAUGUAGUUAGUAGUUAAUUCGCAAAUAAAUGGACUUAGCUGUCGCAAAUUUUCGGAUUUCGACGUAUCAACAGCUGAUUGAAUUUAGUUGUCCUUUUAGACAGAAAAAAGUUGGAGCAUGCACCAACCUCAUGCGAAUUUUAUCGUAAUGACGUUAUAUUUUGAAAUAUGUAUCUGAACUUUAAACGUUCUAAUUCGUUCGCGAUCUUUUUGACUAAAAUUUUCAUCAAAUAAUAGAACAGUAAUUCUAUUUGUGAUCUAUUAAUUUUUAUGUCAAUUAGGGCAUAUUUGAAAUCUUGGAUAUUUUAGUGUUUUUUUAGUUUUUAUUACUUAGAAUUGAUGUAUCUCAAAAUAUGUAACUUCAUUUACAUAUUUUCUAUAUUAUAUAUAUAUAUAUAUAUUAUAUAUUAUAAUUAUAUAUAUAUAUAUAUAUAUAAUUAUAUAUUAUAUAUAUUAAUAUAUAAGUAUAUUAUUUAUUUAUUUAUUUACAUGGUUCCAAUAUUUUCUUUAUGAACCUUAACAACACAACAAGCGCACAGGUCAAAAGGCAAUUGUGCUAGAAAACUGUGAGAAUUAUUAUAUUCAAUGAAAAGUUAGUUGUUUAAUUUACACAUAAAAUAAAAACAAUUAGUUAAAAUUCAUAUAUGAAAACAGUAUAUAUGUUUAAUAUAAAAUAAUCUCCAAAGGUUAAGCAUAUAAAUUCUAAAUACUUUUGCAGAAAAAAAAUUAAUUAUUCAUAAGAUUAAAUGUGACAGUAAUUAUAUUAUUGAAGUGUCCACGAAAUCUAAUGUAACUAAUAUAUAUAUUUUUUGAGAGAGAUAGGUAGCACGCUACGUACUCGGUUCGUUUAUUUUAUUUAAAAAUAAAUUUAGCUAGAAAUGUGAAUCAAUUAAGAUUCGAACUUGAAUAUUGGAUACCAACCAUUAAGUCCUUUGUCACUUACUUUAGAAACGGUCGGUGUGAUGUAACUAAUAUUAUUAUUCCAAAAACGUUGACCCGUGUAUGAUCUGAGUCGUCUGGUGAAAUGUCUCCUUUAAUUCGUACUAUCCAACAUAGUGGUUAAGAUCGAAGGAUACAACGUCGCUUUUAGCGUCACUUUUUUUUAUUAUUGUGUGCAUGGAAUUUAUAGGUACUAGCCUUUCAAUUCCGUAGCCUCUCGUUCACGUAAACAGAUAAAGCCUUAUCGUGCAUUUGAAUUUAAUGAACUGCAGUAGUUAAAACUAUGCUCAAAUUGACCGUAGUUUUAACUUCAUCAGUCGUUGGAGAGAAUAAUUUUAAACAGAAGAAAAACUUAUCUGCCAGAUCAUCUUUGAAACAAGAAAUCUAUUUAUCUCCUAAUUAAUUAAGUGUAAUAUUUUGUAAAUGCACUUCGCAACUGCAUGUAAAUUAUAGCUGAUGAUGUAUUUUUAGUUGCAUGUAUCUUGAAUUAAGUUAUGAUUUAGAUAUUAAUACCAUCCAACCAAAUGAUCUCUUAUUAUAGUUUUUUUUUCUUUUUUAAGGGUAAUAAUUAAUGUGUUAUUCUUAUCCAUGGUUAUGUGAGGAUAUUCUUGUGGAUAUAAGGUACGGAGAAUAUAUGGCACAUACGGCGCCACAUAUUCCUAACUUUGGUCCGUGAAUCUUAGUUCACCGUGCACAAAGAUACAUGAAAAAAAAAGAAAAAAAAAAUGUUAGGAACGAUUUUCAACAUGAGACUAUUUUAUUUGAUAUUUACAAUUUAUAUUCCUCAAAUAAAUUAUAUUAAACUAUCUGAGAUAAUAAAAAAUAAAAAAUAAUAAUAUAAUCAUUUUAUACACUAGAAUAAUAUUAAAAAAAUUAUUCAUAUAUAUAGGAGAGAGGAGAGAGAGAGAGAGAGACCUGUUUCACGUAUUACUUGCUCGUUGAUGUUGCAGUAGAAGUGGUUCCAACUAUUCCACCUAAAUAAACAAUUUAUAUAUGUAUAUUAGUUAUUGAAACAAAAUAAUUAACGAGUCCAAAAAAUAAAUAUCGAAUUAAAUAAUUUUAAAUUGAGGUAUUUAAUUCUCCUUUUUUAAGUAAGAAAAGUUAAUUGGAACUUAAUUAUUAGUAUUUUAAAACCCAAGUAGUGGAGUAGGAAAAAAAAAAAUUAAAAAAAAAACGAAACAAGAGUCAAACUACACCUCGACCUUUUGACCCAAAUGGUUGUGGUAGGUGACGACAUAUAUAAUCUCUAACCCACUCAAUUAUUAUUCCAACCUCCUCAUUGAAACCGUUUUGUUCACACACAUAUAUUAUAUAUAUACAUAUAUUGAUCUUUUCUUUUUGCUUUUAUCUGUCCUCUUUGAACGCAUAGGUCAAACUCUUUUCCUUUUAACCAAUUAUCCAAUUAUUAACAAAUCUAAAUUUAAUUCCAAAUUUAAUUUGUUCCAUCCUUUGGAAAGUCAUGCCUUAAGUACACAAAUUUAUGCUCUUUCUUUUUGUUCCUGGGAAAUGAGUAAAAAAAUAUUUCGUUGGGAAAAAUAAAAUAAUUUUUUUUUCCAGAUAAAUAAUUCGGAAUAGGAAAUUAAUACUAUCUUUCCAUUGAAUCUGGAAAAAAAAAAAAAACUUUGCAAAAAAAUUAUUUUUUCUAAAAACUAAAGGACAAAAAAAACCUUUUUUAUUACUGAGAAAUUAUUAAUUUUUUGAGAAACUAAACAUAUCCUUACUAAUUAGUGAUUCAAUUUUGAAUAACCACUAUUAUAUAUAAUUAUAUAUACACAAGAAAAUAUAGCACAUAUAUAUCCUUUCGCUAAAUUAAAUAUGCUAUAUUCUAUUUUUACUUCUGUUACUUUCUACUAUUUUCCGUUAAAACAAUAAAAAUACAUUUCUUUAGGCUUUUUAUAUUAUUAUUAUUCUUUAAUUAGUAAUAGUAACACCACCAAAAAAAAAAAAAGAAAAGGAGAAAACUACAAAUUCAAUUCCCUUUUUUUUAUAUACGAUACAUAAUAAUUUUUUAUGCAGUUCAUAAUUAUACAUGUGAGGUCGCAUUCUCACACAACCACACUGUCCACAGCUCUAUCAUUUUAUCUAUAUCUAUUACGUACAUACCUUGUUACAUAUACGUACGCAUAUAUGAAUGUGUAUACAUAUAUAAUAAUAUAUAUAUAUACACGUACGUGCAUGGCUAAGUAGUAAUUAACACUACAAUACAUUAUUUCAUGCCUUAUUGAAAAUUAAUGAGAAAUAUAUGCAUGUAUUAAUUUACCCCAUUUGAGGAGUUCGACCAAGGCCAUUCUCUAAAGCGGCCCUUCUCCUAUGCCGCAUGAUCUCGACCGUCGAACUCGAACCCCCGAUGAUUCUCGCCCCCAUCACGGCCGUCGAAAUCGCGAGGAGGAUGAGGAGGAGGAGGAGGAAUAAGAAAAGGGACUCAUGUGCCCUAUAACCCAUGGCUAUAUACAAACACUUAGUUUCUCAACAAAGUGCUUCUCCUCCCCUCUCCUAUAUAUAUAUAUAUAUAUAUGUAUGCAAUAUUUACUAUGCGCUUGUGAAACGAUAGAGAGUUUAAGGAGCCAAAGCCCCAAACGCAGUUUAUAUAGGGGACUCCAUGUUGGAGGGAGUGGGCCCCACACUUGAGAAAAAAAAGAAAAUUUAAAUGAAAUUUGCUCUCCUGUGUUCUUUUUAAACUUGGGACCUUCCCCUUUUUUUUUUUCUGUGGGAACUUUCCUCGCAUAAGUUCAUAAAUUCAUGCACCGUAUCACCGCCGAGGAAAAUUUGGUGGGGUUGUUCAUUAUGGAACUGUUUCAUUCACGGAUUAACGAGUGACGUAGAAGAGGACUCUGGUAGCUUUCUUAUUAUCUGUUCCGCAACACAUAUAAGGAGACGAGGCACGUAAAGAAUCUAAAAGUAUCAAAAGCAAUCCAAUCCGAUUCCGGUUCUCGAAUACUCAAAAAUGGACGAACUACUGUGGUUUGUAGUAAAAGUGCUUAAUUACUAUUAAAAUAAAUAAACUUAAUUUGUCAAAUUCUUUCUCUUUUAUUGCUUUUUGUUGUAGAAAUUUUUAAAUUUUUUUUUAUUGUAUGGUUCCAAUUAAUUCUAUGAUCACUAUUUCAUGCAUGCACAAAAAAGAAAAAACCUCUUCUGUAGUACGUAAUAGCAUAGAAAUUGCUUUAUUUUUGUUUCUCAAAUAUUUAUUAGACAUUAUUUUUUUUUGUUUAGAAACAAAGAUAUAUAAGAACAAAACCAUAAAUAAAUUAUCUUAUUAUUUUUUUGUUAUAAAUAUUACGCAAUAUUUGAUUCGGUAAAUUAGGAUCUGCGGUUGUUGGGUCCAGUUGGUACGCUGAACAGCGUAGUCUCGUUGAUUUCCACGUCCAACGUCGAACACCGAGAGGCCCGCUCAGCAAAUCAAAACGUGCCACGUUUCAUUUAAUGACGCGUGGCGGAGGGGGGUAGGGCGAGGAUCCUGUGCGGUGUUUUGGGGAGUGUGAGACGGGGUCGGAAAAAGGGUUUCGGGUCGUGGUUAAUUUGGUGUUAUGCGAACCGAGUCGCCCGAAUAAGUGUGAUCGGUGGGACACGUCGCUUUGCGGUUUGUCCGUUCAAGUGGCCCUGUGGGGACCAAACCCUCCCACCUGUCCCCACCAAAUCCACCGAAUCCAGCCUAGGAACGCAAAUGGAUUCGGGUCGGUAGAGUUUUGCGCCCGGUUGAUCUGUCCGAAUAUGACGAUAAAUGAAGGCCAAAAACAAAGAAAAAGCAAAAAAUUUCUUUUCGUUUCUCAAUCAGUUUCAAUGCACAAAAAAUUCGGUUCUAUUCAGAUUUGUUCUGAAUAGAAUAGUAAAUAAGCAUAAGAACAAUUCCUCCCGAAUCUAUUCCAAUCAGUCAAGAAAACGGACAGUAGUAGCUAAAAGAUAGGGCUGUCAACUUGCCGAACACGAGCGAGCUUGGACCAAUUCGUGUUUGAUUCAUUUAAUAAGCGAGCAAAAUAUGACCUAGCUCAUUAAAAUAUUAAGUAGAAAAAUCGAGCUCAUAUUUGAUUUGCUUAUUAACAAGCUAAACACGAACUGACUCGCAAAUAACAAACUAGAUUAUUAGCCCUACUAGUGUGUGAAAAGGUGAAACAAAAUUAAAAUUUCAAAUUAUAUAUAUAUAAACUCACACGCACGAACUCAUUUCGAACCAAACACGAACAAGCCCACUCCAGCUCUUGUUUAGCUCGUUUAAUUGAUCAAAGAUCUUAUUUCGAGCGGAACACGAGCCGACUUGCGAGCAACAAACUGAAUUACCAGUCUUAUUGGAGGACUCUUUCUGCUUUCAGAUCUCUGUUCGAUUUGCAUUCCUAAUCUUGCUGUAUGUCAGAAACGAUCUACGAAGAGAAAAAGAAAGAGAAAGAGAAAGAGAGAGCGGACAAAAGGUCGCCGCAGAUAGACAAAGGUGGAGCUAGCAGAAGACACAGCGUGCGAAGAUAUCACUGUCGCUUAUGCGUUACGUUAUGGCAAACAGGAAUUGUUGUAGAUCCAUUAAGCAUAGCACUAACGAGAUAGCACAUCAAAAGAAUAAAAAUAUUUUUGGGUAAACUUCAAAUACUACUCCUGUGGUUUUGUAUUGUCUUACUUUAGUACCCUAUGGUUUAAAGUGUAUCAAGUUAAUAUCUUGUCGUUUUAUUUUUAUCUUUUCGUCAGCUUCUCCGUUAAUUUUUCAUUAAAUUAUAAACAAAAAAAUCAGCUACCCCACCUAGGUUUAUCAAAUAUUCACUUUAGUACCUUUUAGUUUUAACUUUGUCACCAAUUUAACGAAAAAGAUUAGUAAAAUCGAUAAUAAAAUUAAAGAUAAAAAUAAAACCAUAUGGCAUUAAAUUGAUACACUUUAAACUAUAGGGAACUAAAGUGAGAAAGUUUGAAACUACAGGGAUGAUAUUUGAAGUUUUCUCAAUAUUUUUAUAUGUAUCUUUUAUAAUAAAAUUUUAAAGUUUUAAUUAUUAUUAUUAUAUAUGUUUUUACUAUUGUAUUUGCAUUAAAAAAUAGUUUUCCUAAAACGAAUAUUUAGAGUUAAUUAUUCACGAUUCACGUAGUAGUAUGACACAAAAAUGAUUAUUUUGUAGGAGGAAAAUUAGCUUUAAUAAGCUAGCUAACGAAAAAACAUAUGUUAAAAAAUUUUUGCAACUUUAGAGGAAUAUAUUUUAUGACUAUAAUGUUGCAUGCGGGGAUCAAUAUAUAAUUUAUUAGUUUGUAGGAAUAUUAUAGAGUAGAGUACCUAAUUGGAUUAAUUAUUGAAUAUUUGCAACUUACGCGUUUAAAAUUUAUUUAGCAACAAAAAAUAUUUUUUUUGAAAAUAACAGGUUUUUUGUCAUCUUACCGUCUAAAUCGCAUGGCAAAUUAGUCAAUAAUGAUGGAAAUAAAAAACUUCAUUAGGUGACACAUCCGAACACAUAAAAUUUUAUAUAAAAAAAAUGUAUUAAAAAUAUUAAUGAGACCUUAACGUUGACUAUUUGACACUAAUUUUACAUGUAUAUACUAUUAUUAUAAUUACGAGUCUACUUUAUUUAUACUCCCACGUAGGUGUUAUAGUGUUAGACAACGCAUAAGCGCACAUCUUUUUUUUUUCUUUUUUUUUUUAACUAUUUGUUUUUACGUUCGUUUAGCACAGUGUUUGAUUCAUAGAAAAGUAUAUACAUAUAUAUAUUUAAAAAAAAAACAUUAUUUUUGUAAAAUAUUUUUGGAGAAAUGAAAGGAGUUUAUAUGUAGGGUUAAUUACCUUGUGAUCAAGUUGAGAUCUAAAAGCAACAAAAUAAAUCGAAGGAUGUGGACGUGCACGUAUUUAUGGAUCGAUAGUGUUCAAUGGAUAUAUUUUUUGUAAUUAAAUGAAGCUCACCCGUAACGCAUGUUCUUUCAUUAUUAUUGGUGAACAAACCAAAUAAACUAUUGAAUAUGUGCUUCUCUCAUUAGUGAGAGUCAAUUUCUGUUGAGAGCAAGUAAUUAAGAGGGUGUUUGAUUCCCCAGAAAAAUAAUAAUAAUAAUAAUAAUAAUUUUUAACUGAAAAAAUAUUUUUCAUCUGUUUGGCUCACAAAAGAAAUUUUUUUUUUUUCAGAUCUCAUGAAAAAGUUUUUUUUUUUUGGGUCUUUCAUGUUUUUUUCAUGGAAAACUAUUUUUAGGUAAACAAUUUUUCAUAAUAUUCUGAGGAGACAAGCAAUCCGAGAAACAACGUGCACAGACUUCAGUGUCCGAAGAAAAUGGGGAAUAUUUUUUUAAGAGUGCGGCUGGCAUGCUUCUGAAAGUACAGAGCGCUCCGUACUUCCAAAUCGUUUUCGAUAUUAGGACUUUCGAAUCGACGAUCAGCUCCAUUAGACUUAAGUAUCUAGAAAAUAAAUUUUGUGAUUUUUUUAUAUCAUUUGCCUAAUGAUCGAAGUGGCUUAAAAUCAACAGCUGAAAAUAAAAAUCUUACAAAAUAUGAUGAUAUAACAUUAAAAUUUUAGAUCAAAAAUAUUGAUCUUGUUUUAUACAGUAUAAAGAAUUUUCUAUCAAAAUUUCACGUGAUUUGAAUAUUUCUACACUGUUAAACUUGCAAACGACUCACCAUGGCCGUUAAAAUUAUUAAUUUUGAGCCCUUCGAUCAUUAGGCAAAUGAUAUCGAAAAAUCACAAAAUUUAUUUUCUAGAUACUUCAAAUACUCUAGAUCAAGUUUAACGGAGCCGAUCGUCGAUUCGAAAGUCCCAACAUCGAAAACGACUUGGAAGCACGGAAGGCUCCGUGCUUCCAGAAGCAUACCAACUCACUCUUUUUUUAAUAUCUUUUUGUAAAAUCUCUUUCAGUUUCGUAUGGCCGUGAGAAGUGGCUAAGUGAGAUACUGUGGUAUCAAAGUAGAAGGUACCGAGAUCGAUUUUCACGCUUUAAAUCUUUGGAGAAUAACAAUAGUUUGAUGUUCAUUAAUUAUAUAACAAACUUCACAAAUUAAGAGUCAUGUAAUUUUGCGUAUUUUCAUUUGAUAUCUUAAACUAUACCAUUAUAUAGAAUUUGAAUUUUUCAAAAUUUGAUUUGAUUUGUGUUCAUGUAAAACUUGGCCUAAAACAUGUGUUGAAACUCAAAUUGAAGUCGAUUUGGCUCGAGCUGAGGUCGAAAUCCGACUCGAGCACGAUCCAACCUAGCUAGAACAGCAACUUAAUUCAGAAUAAUUGAAUGAUACAAACAUUAAAUAUUCUUACUUAAUUGAAUCCCAACAACUAAGAUUUUUAAGUCAAAUUAAUGAUAAGCUUUGCAAUAUACCAACUCCACUUGUUCCCUUCAAUGCCCAAUGACUUAUCCAUCACUUCAUUUUCAAACUUAACACAAGCAAACACUUAUUAAAUUCAAAAGCCCUUGAUGUGGUGGAACUUAUCCAUUAAAAGCACACGUUGCGUGGCAUAUGAUAAUGCAAUAUUAUCUUGUUCACAAAAAAAUUGGAACUUAUCAAUUACAAACUUUUUGGCAUGUUGUUGAGGGUUCUAAGGAUGCACACAAAUGACCAGCUUUUGCUUAUCCUCAAAGUGCUUUGGCAUGCAGAUGUGGCAUAGAUAUCAUGCACUGGAUAGUGACAUCUUAGUGUUGUGAUAGAUAUAUAUAUAUAUAUAUAUAUAUAUAUAUAUAUAUAUAUAUAUGUCACAUUUUCUUUCAGAAAUUCCAAAAAAAAAAAAAAAUUUCCUUAUGAUGUAGUGUUUCAUUUUUUCGGGUUUAUCGCAAGCAAUCACGAAUUCAGUCUGAGACAAUUGUAUAAGUAUGUUCAAAGUGGUCGUUUUCAGGCCUAACAAGUCGCUAAUACUCUCAAAGCGAUCAUGAAUUCAUUUGAGAUGAUUGUUUUUUCGCCUUCUGAACUUGUUUCUGCAGUAGUUUUCGCACGUAAUUAAUUAUGCUAACUGCACUCUUAGUAUUGAGUUAGCACUUCCAAAUAUGUUUAACUAGUCAUUUUCAGGCCUAACAAGUCGCUAAUACUCAAAGAUCAUCAUGAAUUCGUUCUAGAUGGUUUUCUGUUUGAAUGAUUGUUUUUUCGUCUUCUGAGAUUGGUUUUGCAGUAGCUUUCGCACAUAAUUAUGAUUACUGCAAUCUUAGUAUUAGUUAGCAUAUUUGGACUUUCGAGGGAUGUAUUUUAUUGCUAUGCUGGAGGCUUUUAACACCAUACAUUUAGAGGUAGUUUGUUUUCGCGUAAGUGGAGAUGUGGAAUUCAAGUUUUAUUACUUUCGGUAUUUGUUUUGGUGUAAGUCAAAAAUAUAGUGUAACUCAAGUUACGUUAGAUCUCUAUUUCACGUAUUCUCGACUUUCCCCUAUAAAAUGCCGAGCUCGAUUUCCGUCACACUCAGCCUUCUCUAAAAAACUUAUUAAAUAGCAAAAUCUAAACUCUACUUCAUUUAUAAUAGAUUAGAAUUAGCUUAUUUAUAACAAAUUUGAAUUAUCUAAUUAUUUAAUAAGUUAAAUUUUAUAGGAAUAAGUUUAUCACUAUAUUCGGAAGAUAACGGAAUUCACUUACUUACAUCAAAAUAAAUAAUGGAACUUAAAAAAUUAAUUUUAGCAGCACCAAGUUAUAUCAAAACAAACAGAAAAAGUAAUUGAAUUUAACUUUCAGACUGUACAAGUUACAUCAAGACAAACAAGAGUUACGUUGGAUCUACAGAUUCGUCAAUUCAAACGCCCUAGAUGAGGAGAAAAUAGGAGAUACUCAUGUUGUGAUAUUCUAUUAAUAUUAUUAUUUGUUUUGGCAAUAGUAGUGGGCUAGUUCGCGCGGUUUGCUACGAAGUGAGUUUGUAAAUAUUUUAUGUUAUGAAACUACAGCAUAGACACAUCAGAUGAAAAAUAGAAUAUGAUUUGGAGUACAAGGAAUUAGAAAAAUUUAAUAAUAAUAACUAAACUUAAGUAUUUUGGAUUCGUGUUUUCAAGCGCUGAAAUGUAAUAUUACUUUAUUAUUUCAGAUUAGCCACUGGACCAUUCGAAAAUUAUUUUUUGGAUCCUUUUAAUAUAUGCUUAUUUAGAUUUAGUCCAUUAAGGACCAUUAAAGCCCAUUUCAAACACUUACGAAACAGCCCAGGCCCUUAUUCCUAAUUCAAUUUAAGCCCAACUAAUAAAAUAGCAAACUAUGUUGGUUUUCAAAUUGGACCGUUAAAGACCAAAAAAUUCAGAGUCGUUUCACUUCCUCCUAACGGCUUUUAUCGCGCAUUACCCUUCAUACUCUAAUUUGUUGUAAUUUUUUACUCAAAGUUUUAGAUUAUUGUAAUUUAGUCUAAUUGAAUAAUUUAGCUGAUUAAAUGAUACUGUAGUGUAUAUAUAGUCGACGAUGUGACAAUAACUAAGGAGUCGCAUCAAUGUCGUAGUUCGCGGACCAAAAGUGUAAGUAUUGAAUACCGAGAAGCUGCAUAAAAGGCCUGUUACUAUUCAUUAACAGAAACAGAUACAGGAGCACAAGUUCUCAUCCACAUCAGAGAGCAGCUUUUAGCGACUUCGCGCCAAGUUUUAUUCAAUUUGUCUUAAGAUCACAAUCAAAAUGAUCCAAUUACAUCCAAUUUUACUAACAUACAUAUAUAUUCUUCAGGAAUACUAGCUGGCAUUCGUCCGUAGCGGCAUUAACACGAACAUCCUGCACGAACGCGGGCCUACGGUGAAGUACAGUUUGUUUAUGAACUUCUCCUCCAAUAACUCAUGCUGCAGAAAACAAAUAAACUUUCUAAGCAUGAACUUAUAAACCUAAGUUUUGCGGUUUUGCGAAAACAAAGAAUCGACACAACUAAGAGUAUACCUCCCAUAAGUCUCUUACUUCGACCUUCGUAUCAGGGGGGAUACCGAUAUCGUCCCAGUGCGCGGUGAUCGGGCUCUCCUUUGAGGACCGGUUCAGCAACACAACCACCGUCCUAUAACCGGAAAGAGGCCCAGCCCAAACCUGCAAAGGAGAGUAAGUAAAACAUACCGAUUUCCGCGGUACAAAAUGACACACAUUAAUGAGCAGAUCUUAAAUAUUAGGGCAAGUGGCCAACCUCCAGAUCUCCCUCCAUCCUCACUUUCUUAGCUUGAACACCGAGAGAAUCUGUUCAUUCGACAGAUACGCAUUUAACUUACUCGAAAAGUGAUAUAAAGUUCUAAAAAGAAACAGUUUAGUGACCUUGGUUAACCGCGAUGACUUCCAUAUUGCCGAGGAUAUCGAAAGUCUCCUUCGAUAAAUCACGAACAUCGCAUCCAAUAAGAAGGGGAGCCUUUUGUGAAUGAACAAUUAGAUCUUCUACCAGUGAUAAAAAAGAUUAGAUGAUACGAAUGUGUAUAUAACUGUCGAUAAUAAUAAUACCUUGGAAAUAGCCCAUAUGCUGAAAUGAACAAUGUAUUCAUCCCUGGUCAUCCCUCCAUUCCCUACCUCGAGCAUAUCUGGGUCUGAUCAAUCAAAUCAGAUCAAAAAAACUGCGUUAGAUUUCGUCAUUCGAGUCUACUACAUGGUUUUCAGAUACAUGUAUUGAACCGAUGCUUUAAAGUUUUUGCUCAUUGAAUGUACGAAAAGGACUAACCAUUCCAGCCACCGGGCCUCGCGUACUCAGCAUACACUUCAUUUUGGUCGGCCCUCGACAGCAUGCUGCAACAGACAUAAAUAAGAAACCACUCAAGCCGAUUUACUAAGGAUUCAUCUUUUUGUUACCUGUCCCAUGAAUCACUUAUGUCAUUAGUUGUUCUCCAGCUAUUUCCGAGCUUGGCGCCCCAUAAAGCAGGGUGCAUAUCCCCCCUAAACAUCAAGAGGAAACCGAAUGAACCGCGCGUACAAAAUUGUUUAGUACGACGAAAACUACGGUUAAUAAGAUUAGAGCAUUGCUUUACCAUUCGCAUAAAGAGAAAAAGAUCGGUCGACCGGUAUUCAUUAUGGCGCGAGUCAUAACCGGGUAUCUACAAACAUUUUGUUUGUGUGAAUAAUAAGAAAUCAACAACCUGGCUUCGAACCACUCGAAUAAGAACAAGGCAUAUUACCGCGUCAUUGGCUUCAGAUCUCCGUUGUUACAGUUAUCGUACUUCAAGUAAUCUAUACCCUGCGAUCCGAGAACAAUCAAGCCGAUUAAGAAAGCGAAAUAACACCCGUAAAAAAGUGUCUGAACAUCUGAUCUUUCUCCUCACCCACGAGGCGAAUGUGUCGGCGUCUUUCUCCUCGUAACCAAGUGAUCCUGGCAUCAGUUUGCUGCAUGUAUGGUAUCUGCAACAAUCUGAAACAAUCCACUGAAAUUUCUUUUGGGCCAAAUUAGUUUGUUGAAAGAGUUGAAUUAGGUGAUAUUUACCCUGCAUCAGAGUAUAUCCCUAGCAUUAAACCUUUGCUGUGAACAUAAUCUGCAAGAGCCUUGAUUCCUGAGGGGAAUGUUGCUCUAUUUGGUACCAGAUAACCCUGAUGGAAACAAAAAAAUAGUAAUUCUAAGCUCAAUAUAAGAUGCAAUUCGUCGCCGAAAGAGAAAUUUUUGCUACUCAUUAAGAAGUCUAUAAAGCUAUUAGAAACAUCAAUAACCAGUUUCAAACUUACAUAAACAACACUAAAGUACUCAAAAGAUAUUGAAAAAAAAAAAAGUUACUUUUUUAUCAUUUGUGACUUGAAAAAAGUACCUUUUGAUCUACUUAUCAUUUUGUUAACUAUGUGUUCAUAAUCACCAAAAGAAAAUCAUGGACAAACCUCCGAAUCGCGAUCUUGCUCCGCCCAGCAAUCAUCUGAAUCACAAAGAUUAGCCAAAAUUUUCAUCAUUGGAUUUUUUUCAAAAAAAAUUUCAUUCAAUGCAUUUGAAUGCAAAAGUGUAUAAUCCUUUCUAAUUGAAUGGAUUAGAGUUAAAAAAAAAAUUAAAACAAACAAAAAAGAAAAAGAGAGUCACCAAUGUUCACAUAUCGAUAGCCGAGCUUGGCAAGGCCAGUUGAGACUAGUGCAUCAGCUGUUACACACACACACACACAAAAAAAAGAAAAAAAAAAAAAAAGAAUCAAAAUUAAGUGAUUAAGUUUUCAAAAUUCUUAAUUAUGUGUGAUUAUUCAAUCAAUUACCUGUUUCUUUGAUAACCGUUUCAUUAAUUAAACAAUUGAAGUGAUUCCAACUAUUCCACCUGUACUCACACACACACACACACACAAGUCACAUAAAAUUUUAAACUUUUUUUUAUAAAAAAAAAAAAAACAAUCUAAAUUACCUCAAAAGAUAUAUUUUUUUUAUAGAAAAAAAUUAAUGCCAAAAAAAAAUAAAAUUUGAUAUUGUGUGUGUGUNAAAAAAAAACAAUCUAAAUUACCUCAAAAGAUAUAUUUUUUUUAUAGAAAAAAAUUAAUGCCAAAAAAAAAUAAAAUUUGAUAUUGUGUUGCUCAAAAGAUCGAUAUAAUAUAAAAAAUAUUACGUAUCAUAAAAAUAAAAAACAAAAACUUAUAAAAUAAUUAAAUCUAGGAUCUUUUAAAAUAUAAAUUAUCUAAAUAAAUGAACAUAGAAAUUAUGAACGCAACUACAAUAAAUAUGUAUACCCCAUGGGAGGGGUGACUCCGAGGCCAUUGGCCAACAAGCUCCUGCGACCGUCCGAUUCUGCGAGAUCUCGUCGUGAUUCGGCGCCCGCCCAUAAUCCAACGGCGUACACUAAGCCCAGCAUCACCUUCACCCACACAAUACAUCUCUCCCCCAUCCCCCCUCUCUCUCUCUCUCUCUCUCUCUCUAAAAAUUUUAAAUGGCCUUAAGAUGGUUAUCGCUCUCUAACUUGUUUAUUUAUAGUAGUACACUGUACACGCAGCCCAGUACAACUCUUCGAGUGAUGUGAUGCCUUAUUGAUUCGGGAUGUAUAUGAUACGGAUACUUAAAAUUUUAUUCGAAUUCAAAUUUAAAAAUUUAGAUUUAUAUGAUAUUUAACGGAUAUAGUUUGAAUAUAGAUAUUAAAAAUGACAAUUCGAUUGAUUUGAAUUCGGGUAUGAAUUUUAUCUAUAUUUGAAUCAAAUCUGAACAUAACCUGAACCUGAAUUAAUUUUAUAUUAUAUAUUAUAUAUAAUAUAUAUAUAUAUAUAUAUAAAUAUUUGAUAUUAUAUUUGAAUUUGUAUUAUAAAUAUUUAGAUUCAAUAUAUAAGAUUAUUGUAAAAUAUGGUAGAGAGAAAUAAUUGUUUUGCGUUUUCAAGUUCAGGUUCAGGUUCGAUUUUUAGAUUUUUGGAGGGGUUCGGAUUUGGAUAUGAAUUUUUAAAAUUCAUAAGAUUCAGGUUCGGGUUUCGAAUUUUAAGUUAGGUACAAAUUCGAAUGGUUGAAAACUCACUCUGAAUUCGAUCCUCCUUGAUUAUACUUUAUGGCUCCCAACCUUUAUAUUUGGUUUUAAUUAAGUUUCAACUAUUCAAAGUUUGAUUACAUCAACUCUAAUAAAAUUUUAUCCAUAUUUUAAAAUUUUGUCGCGAGAUUGAGAUGGUUAAAUUAUAAGCUUAAAAAAUAGGGUAAAUUUCAAAUAUUAUUUCUGUGAUUUCGUACUUUCUCACUUUAGUAUCCUAAAGUGUAUCAAUUUAAUAUCUUGUGGUUUUAUUUUUUCGCUUUUCGUCAGCUCCUCCGUUAACAUUUCAUUAAAUCAUUUACAAAAAAAUUUCAGAUACCCUAUCUAGAUUUAUCAAAUACUCAAUUUAGUACCAUUUAGUUUUAAUUUUAUCACUGAUUUAAUGAAAAAAAUUAGAAGAGGAGAUAAUAAAAAGAGAAAAUAAAAUCACACAACAUCAAAUUGAUACACUUUAAACUAUAUGGUACUAAGUGAAAAAAUUUAAAAUUACAUAGAUGGUAUUUGAAGUUUUUCCAAAAAAAUAUAUAUGUAUAUAUAUUUAUGUUUUGUUAAAAUGGUAUGAUAUCGUUUGAUUCGGGGAUAAAUAAAAAGUGACUAUUUCAGGAAUAGAAAUAAAUUAAGGUAUAAGCGGGGAUUAGAUCAAUUUUGCGUUUAGAUGAAAAUUGAAUUAUUUAUAGAAAUAAAAAAAAAUAACAUUUGGUUAGGUCAGAUGGAAUAAGAAUUAAAAAUGGAUAGUUAUAAUAAAAAGUAAUGAUAUUUCUUUUUAUAUUAGAAUUAAAUUUUUAUAUUUUAUAUUUAUAUUUUAGAAUUUAAAAUAUAAACUUUUAAAUUUUAAGUUUUAAAUCUCAAUUUACAAUUUAAAAAAUUAAAAUUUUAAAUUUUAAACUUUAAAUUUAAGAUGAAAUUUUAAUUUAAAAAUAAAAAUAUCAAAUUCUAAAUAUAAAAAAAUUAAAAUACCAAAUUUUAAAUUUAAAUUUUUAAUUUUUGUAAUUUAAAAAUUAUAAUUUUAAUUUUUUUAACUUACGAAAUUAAAUUUCAUAAUAAAUUAAAAUUCUCUCUCUCUCUCUCUCUUCUCUCUCUCUCUCUCUCUCUCUUCUCUCUCUCAUCUCUCUCUCUCUCUCUCUCUCCUUCACGGGUGGAACAAGCUGGGAUAAGCCAGCUUGUUCCACCUUCGUGGUGGAACCACUGUAUUUUAUAUUUAUCGAUCCUACACUGUAUUUUAUAUUAUUUUUAUUUUUCUAUCAUGUACUAUUUUUUUCUUAUAAAUAUUAUUGAACUAUGUUUUUUCUCACCAAGCUCUAUAUUAUUGUAAACAAUUUAUUAUUUUAAAUAAAAUCUGACAACUUCGAUAAGGGGACACUAGUUAAAUAGUAGAAAAAUAUAAAAUAAAUUUUCAUCAUACGACUAAUUAAAAAUUUUUAUCAAGUUAUUUUAAAUUACUUUUUUAUUAUUUGUAUAUAUUUUAUUAUUUUUAUGUUAAAAUGAGUUGAAUAUAUAUUCUGUCACUUUUAAUCAGUAUGUUUUAACCGAUUUUAUAUAAAAUUACAAACUCAUUGGUUAAAGCGUAGGAAUUAAAAAAAAAUAAAAGUUGAGUGGUGCUUUUGAAAAAAAAAGAAAUAGUACUAUGUAGAAAAUGAAAAAAAUCUGUAUGAUACAAUUAAUGUAGUAUAGUGCAAGUAAUCCUAGUUAUUUAAAAUAAAAUAGAAAAAUAUUUUGCUUGCAAACAAAUUUUAUAAUAUUUUGCAAAUUUUAUAAUUUAAUAGUUGGAUUUCAACUUUAAAAUUAUAAGUCAUGCUUAUACGUUUUCAUCAAUUAAAUACCGUCACAUGUACUAGCUUGUAAAAUAUUAUAAAAUUUAUUUAUAAAUAUAGCAUUACUCGAAAAAAAUUAAUAAAAAUCAACACAUAAGAGUGAGCAAAUAAUUGUAAAGUUUUGUAAGUGGUAUCCCAGGUCCAACUAGUUAUUUAUUGGUGUAAGUGGGACUUUAAUAUCUGUGCAAUGAAGGGUCUAGAGUACAUGUCACGUGGGGGGUGUUUUCUAAUAAACAUUUGAAUUAAUUAAUUCAACCAUGAAAACUACGUACUUUGAUGGAAUUAAGUGUAGUUGAAAAGUGGGUCAUUGAUGUAUAGUUGAGGAAAAUUAUAGAAUAAAUUGUAUUAAUUUUAUCAAAAAUAUCCAAUUUUAAUCUCUCUAAUUGGCUCAUUAUUUGUGGUUGUGGAAUUAGUUCCUCUUGGUCAAGGUUUUUUAAGGAUUAGUAGUUGUGACUUUGAAUAGUAGUAAUGAAACAUAUUUCGUAUAAACGCGUUGUUGAUUGGUUUGGUUUUGUCCUAAUCUAAUUGGAUGGUAACAUUUGAUUAUGAUGGUUAAUUUGAUAAAUUAAUAAAGAGAAAGAUUUUUAAAAAAAUGGAGUAGGAAUUAAGAAAAAGAUAAAGACAACUUGAAUUCGAACCAACAACAUAAACAAAUAAAAUAAAAUUAAACAAAGGGUAAUAAUGAUAUUAUCUAAUUAAAUUUGAUCCUAUCCAAAUAAAUCCGGCCAAGUUUGCGAUGUUCAUACACUUACGUGUUUGAGUUAAGAAUAUAAUUUUUGUUUGUGUCAUGUGGAAUACAAGGCUUAAUUAUAUAUAUAUUAUAACAAAUUUAGGCUCUGUUUAAAAUUACAAAAAAAAUAUUUUAUAUAAUAAUAGAAAAAUUAUUAUAUUUACCACUCCGUUCCACAUAUAUUCGCCAAAAUAAAAAGUCUACAAAUCCACGUGAAUUGUUCGGUAACGACAAAAUUAAGCAAUAAAAGAUUAAAAGAAAAAUAUAAAUAAAGUGCAUGUUUCCACGUAGAACUGCGACAGGAUUGAAAGUGAGGUGGUAUGUUCUCUCGUGAUAAUAAUAAAAGUUGAGAGAGACCAUCCGAGAAGUAAAAGUAUAUAUCCGAGGAUUAAAAUUAUAAUGUUGUAUAAACUAAUCUAGCUAAAACAAUAAUAAUGUUGCAUGAUAUUAAUAAAUUUAUAUUUAUUAUAAAUGGCUUUAGAAGUAUAUUAAGACUUUUGUAUUCUAUUAAUACAGCUUAUCUACUCUACUUAACACUAUAUAUCUUAAACUUUUGAUAUGAUUAGAGCUAUCGAUUUUGUCUUCUACAUGUGAGAUACUGAAUUUGGGCUCAACUCGCUUUUGUAACUUAUCUGUAGGAUUAUUAUGCACUAAUUAUUAAUUUUAAAAGCUUAAAUUAUUAAAAAUAUGCAAACAGUUUACUUAAAAGCGUUUAGAUAUAAUGUAUCGCGUACAAGUCUCGAUUGUGAUUCAAUCUAAUUCGGUCUCUCGUCGCUUCGAACACGACUUGACUCAAUCUUAUAUAUCUUCAGUCAUUUUGGAAGUGACACGACUUAAUCCUAUCUUCUGCCACGAAACAAAAUGUUGGUUACUUUAAAGCCAACAUUAAUCCCCUAUUCUAUGCUCCUCUCUUCUCGGGAAUAGAAGUGCGUACUUUGUUUGUACGUUCCACGUAGCAUGCACGCAUGCGUGUUUGGGGAAACGCAAAAUUAGAACAUGCAUGCAUGCAUGGGUAUGCUUAUCCGCAACGGGAGAUUCAUAUGAUGUUAAUCCCCCUCAUCUCUGAGACCUCCUCGUAACUCGUGUUUAUGUAGUUUCUGUCCACGUUAUCAAAAAACUACAUAUAAUAAUAAGGAUAAUAAAUUAAUUAGUCGAUCUAUAUAUUCACGUGCAAUACAAAUUAUUUUUGAACAACAUUGAACCUAACACGCGCACACUAAAUUAGAUUCAUUAAAUCUGACGAUUAAUCAACUAUAAUAAUCAGCCUCUUACUUCUCUUGCUAUAUUAUAACCCCUAUGACUAAAAAAGAGUGUAGUAGCAUCACAGCAUGUGCAUCAAAUGGACCACACUGUUCAAGCAACUCAUCACCCCAACUUUUUUUUUAAAAAAAAAUUAUUAUCUCUCAAUAACUGGACAAAAGCUACGUACUUUAUGUCUCUAGAACCAAAAAAGCUAAAAAAAAAAAAAAAAAAAAAAAGAAGAAGAAGAAAAAGCUGAGACACAGGGUUGAGAGAACAUGUGCUAUACAGAGAGGAGAUUCCUUAUUGAAAGUGAACUGAUGGUGGACCUCACUGUUUUAUCUGCAGAAAAAAAAAAAAAUGUGUGGUGGGUAGAUCUAAAUUUCCAGACCCCUCCAGUGUUUUUUAUUUAUCUUUUUGGUGGUGAGAUUCAGUGAUUUAUAACAAUGCAAACCCACACAACAACUUUUUGUGUUGUUUUUAAUUAAUUUUAAGUUGUUAUAAUUUCUAAUAAUGGGCUGUGUUGGGCCAGCCCAUAGGUGAUUGCAGGAGAGUGGGCCUGGAUCGAAUACAUAUAGAGCCCGUUACGGGUUGCGGCGACUACAUCUGCACCGGCUCUGUAGCUAUUUUCUCGUUUUUUGAUUCGGAUUCCACCGUUAUGAAAUUACGGCACAUGCAUUUCGUGCACAUAAGCAAGCACAGAACAACUGAAUUAAGCAAGAGAUGUCUCUUAUGUGGUUGAGUAUAGAAAAAUUAGUUUUGUUAACAUUGUGUAUUUGGCAGGACAAAAAGGGAUAAAUUUCAGUAUUACAAUUCACAAGACUAAAGAUACUUCAAAUUAUAUUCAUUAAAUAAAAUCUAAAGUAUUUAAUGAAUAUAAAUGGGGUUCUUGUCAACUCUAGCAAAUUAGGUGUUGUGACACGAAAAAUUCUCUGCCGCACUCAUAAUGGAUCUAAAUGGGGUCUUUUAUAUAUAUUUCUGACUAAGUCUUGUUUGGAUUUAUAUAAAUGUGUGAAUGACAUAAGUGUAAAAAUUACACCUUUAUAUAAAUAUACAGAUAGUAUUUUUCUUUUUAUAAUUAAAAGCCUAUAGAUGAUGAAAACAACAUCAUGAGGCGACGACAUCAACAACAACAACAACAACAACAACAUAUAAUAAUAAUAAUAAAAUAAUAACAAUAAUAAUAAUAAAGAAUCGCUCGUUUCUAGAGCGAGUGAUAAAGAAUUUGGUGGUUGAUACCCAAAGUCCAAAAUUUGAAUUCUAAUUGAUUCACAUUUUCAGUUAAGUUUAUUAAUAAAAAAACAACAACAACAACAAUAAUAAUAAUAAUACUAAUAAUAAUAAUAAUAAGUAUCAACACAUCAUAAUAGGAGCAGGUGGGCUACUUUGCUGUUUCCAUAAACAAAUAAACACCUUAAUCUCUCGUUCCCUUCAACGUUUCGCACCAAAAAGCGCACGCCAUUGACUCCAAAAACUCGCACCUUAUAUGUUCGACGAAAUGCUCAUGGCUAUGGUGCGAUCCCCACCCUCGCAAUCCCCUCUUCUCCAACAAGCCAAUCCUCCCCGCGACGGAUUCGAUCGCCGGAACCCAAGAAACCACCUCCGGAGCGUGAGGAAUCGGUGCGCGAAGAGGCAGCGAAACUUGCCCGCAAACCGUUUGUACAAUUGCCGCAGCGAGGCGGAGUCCCCGAGGGUCUUCGUCGUCUCCGAUCUGCACACGGAUUACCCCGAGAACAUGGCGUGGGUGCGGCGCCUCUCGCGCGCGUGGCACGGGGGCGACGUCCUCGUCGUCGCCGGGGACGUGGCGGAGACGUAUAGGAACUUCGUGUCGACAAUGGCGGAGUUGAAGGAGAGGUUCGGGGCCGUGUUCUUCGUGCCCGGGAACCAUGACUUGUGGUGCCGGAGAGAAGAGGGCAAAUUUGUAGGUUUAAUUUAAUUUUUUUUGAUCCAUUUGUUUCCAAUUUCACGAGAUUGCCUUUAGUUUCUUUGUUCAUGAUGAUUACACGCAGUUCUUGUUUAUUAUAGAUUAUUACCUAAAAAAAUCUGAUUUUUGUUGUCAAAAAAAUUAUCUUAAAGUUCAGAUACUGAAGUGUUUUAAGUUAAAAUUACAGCAACAUAGUCGCGGUAUCGGAAUAAAACAAAAAUUGGCUGCGGGGAAAUGAAUGCUUGCGUAGUUUACAAUUUGCAUUACUUUGUGGCUGAAUUUGGAGAAUGCAUCUCCUUUCAGAUGAAUUCACUGGAGAAACUGAACGCAUUGCUUGAUGCAUGCAGUGAACUUGGAGUAGAGACCGGCCCGAGAACCAUCGAUGGUUUGGGAAUCAUUCCCCUGUUUUCUUGGUAUCACAAGGUUGUUGAUCUUUUGCUAUAACAUGUCUCUUCUUCUUUUAAUCAAACUCGUUCGUACCUGUAUUAUGUUCUGGCAUUUCUGAUGUUUGAUUGUCUCGCAGAGUUUUGACAAAGAGAAGGACAUAACUGAUGUUAAAAUUCCUUCACUUGAAAUGGUAAGUUACCUUGUUCCGUAUGUCUCACUAUAAAAAUAGCUUUUUUGUUAAUAACACCUGCAGAUGCAUUUACCGUUGGUAUACUAAACUCGCCAUUAUCUCAUCACAAUUUGAGUACCUCGAUUUAAAAUGCUACCUCUACUUUAAAAUCCGCUAUAUGGCUUGCUGCUUUCUCAAUACUAUGGUCAAGUUUUUUUUUUGAUCAGGCUUGCAAGGACUUUCAUGCUUGCAAAUGGUCUCCUCAGUUAUCCAACAAUGGUGUCGCACUAGCCCUCCACUUUGACAUGAUGAAUGAGAUGAACCAUAAUGCAAUUAAAGAAGUUCAGACGACCAGUAAUCAUAUAAUAACAUUUUCUCACUUUGUUCCAAGGUGUGUAGUCCAGGCAGUUAGAGCCUCCAAAAUCAUUACCUUUUUAAUAUUUAAAACCAAAACUAAAUUUCUUAUCGAAAUUGAACCGAUGCCCUCAUCCAUCCCCACCCCCAUGCCUUACCACUAGGGAUCCUGGUUGUUUGGCCCAUAUUCUGUCACUUACCUACAUUUCGAUUUUGCAUAUUCAUGAACAGGCAAGAAUUGUGCCCGGAGAAGAGAAUGCUUUUCUAUCCUAACCUUCCAAAGAUUAUAGGCUCGGAUUUUCUGGAAAAGAGACUAAGAUCAAUACAUGGAAACUUUGUAAGCGGCUCGGCUUGUCAUUUGUUUGGGCAUACACACUUCUGUUGGGAUUCUGUUGUUGACGGAAUCAGGUAUUACUUUGUCGCCUUUAUUCUGGAAUAUAUCCAAGAACAGUAGAGAAAGAAAAUUCUAGCUUUUUUUUUUUUUCUUUUUCAUGUGUAGGUAUGUCCAAGCGCCUCUCGCUUAUCCCAGAGAAAGAAAAAGGAGGAUGAAUGGCGGCGAAGAUUGGCUACCAUUCUGCAUUUAUUUUAAAGGAUUUACUGAUAAAUUAUCUCCGGCCUAUUGGUCUGAUUAUUACUCUGAGAACAAAAGGGAACCUAAGAACACUGAUCUUGCACCAUGGGUUGCCAAAUUUUAUACGAGGUAGCCCAGACCCUUUUUUUC